AAAAAGAAAGUAAGCUCAUGUCCAUUGCAACCGACUAUGCAGGUCAUAGAUGAGUUUGGGUCUUUUGACAAAUAUAUCUGGAGCUUUGUAAACUAUAAACCCAUAGUUAACCAAUUCCGACACUGCCGUCAAGUUCCAGUCAAGACCCCAAAAGCAGACAUCAUGAGCAAAGAUCUAGUAAGAAGAGGAUUUCGUUGUGUGGGGCCAACAGUCAUGUAUUCAUUCAUGCAAGCGGCUGGAUUGACAAAUGACCAUCUCAUCAGUUGCUUCAGAUUCCAGGAGUGUGUUACUGGGAGACAAGUAAAGGAAAAGGAUGCGAGUCUAAAGCCAAAUACUGACAAGAAAGAACGCAUGGAUCCAAUCGAUAUGGGAAGAUAAGUGCUAUGGAUGAGUAUAGUUCCUCAAAAUAACCACGUCAAGGUCGAUUAUCUGUUCUGUGUAAUUUUUGUAUAAAUAGUUACCACUACUGCUGGAAGUCAAGCUCUCUGUUUUUCAUUUUGGUAUGUAAUUACUUAUUUGAAUUGAUGUGACUGUAAGAUGCAAGCAUUAUUUUGUUCGAUCAAGUGAGAAUACGUUGAAAGAUUCUUCGAGAAAAUAUACCUCAAAAUGAAAAUCUGUCUAUGUAUUAUUUAUGGCACCAAUUCUUGGCAGGCUUUCAGAUACAGGGAAUUUUAUCUUUCCUUACAUCUGCAGGAAAGGUUGCUACACUAGUGAUGAGAUCAUUCAACCAGCAGAUUCUUUUUAUUCAGGUAAUAGCCAUCAUGAUUCAACUUGUUCUCUCUAUUGUUUUGUAAGAUCAGAAGCCUUUCUGAUAAGAACUUAUCGAAUCCGACAGAAAAUCAGAGUUUCAUUUUCAGUUAGAUGAUAAUACUUUUCAAUAUUCCUUAUUUUUGUUUCAGUGUGUAUGUGCAGUGUAUUCAUGUAUGCUUCUACUUCUCUUUCCCUUUGAUCACAGUAAAAAAAUAUUCUCCCAGACAUGGCUGCGCUUACCAAGCACAGAGCCUAGCAUCUGUUUAAAGGAAUAAGCCAUCUGUUGCAUCCCAAGUUGUUGGCUUUGGACUUUUAGGCUCCCUUUAGUUCAUCAUACACUGCAAGAAAAUUCUAAAUACAACUCAUCUCUUGUUAUAAAUUGAUGCAUGUACUGUACACGCAAGCUUGUUAGAAUUCCAGGUGCAUUAACAUAGCAUCCAUUCAUGUAAGAACUAGGAGCAUAAUAAAGUUUUUAAAAAAGUAAUAUUUAUUAUUCUUUAAGCAUUUAUUUAUGCAUGAACUCAAUCAAAAGAUAUCAUGAAUUCAGAGAUGGAGAAUGUAUUGAACCCACUUGGUCCUAGAAAAAUUCAAGGUUUUUGACCAAAAGAAGCCAUAAAAGAAGCUUGAGAAGUCAAGAUAGCAGGUUAUAUUUGACUAAGAUGGCACUAAUUGCCAAUUCUCAAGUCUUCCCAAUCCCAGCCACUUUCUUCAAAGCCGUCUGAAAUGAAUAUUUUUCACUUUUUCCCAUGGCCUGGUAAUGUCGUUUUGUUGGGAAGUAGUUGUGGUCCAAUUUUUAUAUAUAUUUAAUACUUUAGCAAAUAAUAACUACACUUUUUUUCAAAAGAUAAACCCAUGUACUGAUCGUAACAUGAACCGAAUCGUAAUUAUUAGAUUCAAAUCAAAACCAAAUGAUAAUGACACUUUGUUCAAAGUAUUUUGAUGUAAAACAAAAUAAUUCAAGACAGUAUUAUGAGGUAGAAGAGUGAUGCUGUCAAAUAAACAUCCACAGCCUAGAAGAUCAAUGAAGUGGUCCAAGUUAAUGUAUCUAUGCAAGUGAGCACUCAUUUGGCCAACUAAACUCCUUCAAGUCAAUUUUGGACAGCUACUUUGUUUAACAUUAAUUUUGGCCAACUAAACUGUAAUAAAAUUCUCAAAACCUAGAAAAUGUAUUACUCUUUUGAAAAGAUGAAUUCACGUUCUUAAAAAUGGCUAGAAAAUAUUUUUUUCAUUCAACAAUUUUUUAAGUACCCAAAAUGACAAAAAUGCAGAAAAGAUUUUCUGUAAAAGAAAAGGAGCUUUUGUUUUCCCUUUCCCCUUUUCUUCUUUUUGAUGUUGUAUUUACAAAUACAUCAGAAUCCAAACUUCAAAAUGGUGAGAGAGAUUACAAACUCAAAAUAAUUAUCAUCUAAAUUAUACAUAUAGUAAAUGGCUAAAUUUUCUGUGUGAUCCUACUGCAACAUUCUUCCUGAAAUAGCUGCUGCUAGUGCUGCUGUGAAAUUGGGAUCUUUAGUCAAGGAAGAAGCCAUCUGUUCCACCAAUAACUGCCUGACAUCAGAACUACUUUCCAUUCUUGAAUUUGAAAUUCUAGCAUCAUUGUUGUUGGUCUUGGAUUUUGUUAAGUCAAGAGUAACGGUCGGUCCAGAAGAGCCAAGUGAGGCUGAGCAGGGUACUGAGCCAAGGUUCAGACUACGAGUUGCAGCUGAAGUUGCCUCCAUUUGUGAGGGAUGUGGAUGAUUGUGCUCUCCUUCAUAAGUUGCCACUAGAACAGAUUGGUCUUCAAUGCUUCUUUGAACCUGAAGAGAAACAGUUAUUUUAUGUGUAAAUAAGACAACAAAUUCACUUUCCAUGAAAUAUGAUCAAUACCCAAUUGCUUUUAUGUAAGAAGAAGAAUGUUGUAAUGAUUUUUGGCUUAAUUUACCUUCUUCUUCACCGGGCAAGUAGGAGCAAAAGAGCAUUUGAAGUAAGCUCUUGGAGACGGAUUAUCUCUUGUGACCUUUUGCCCAUAUUUUCUCCAUUGAUAUCCAUCCUUGACAACCUGCAAAACGUUAAAAAUCUGGAUUUGUAAGAAAUAUUGAACCAAAACUGGCAAAUUAUGAGUGUUUGAUGAUAUUAUGGUACUUACUAGGCUUGCAUCUGAUGCUUGUGUCCUCACAUAGACCUUUGAAACCUUUGAUUUGAUUACUUCUUCCUUUGGUUUCUUGCAUGAUUCUUCAUCAGUUGAGCUGCUCUCAGAAUUCCUAUUCAUUGCAACUGUAUUAUCAUUGAUAUUGUUGUUGCUGCUCUCAGAUUUUCUCUUCCUUGAUGGGCUAAGUUCCUUGUCUGGAUUCUUGCUCAUGUAAUCCAUUAACUGGCUUCUCAAAACGUUGUAGUUUUCACACAGAACAUUCAGCAUUUCUGUGAGCUUCUUGUUCUCUGCGCUCACUCGGUUCAAUUCCUCUACCAAAGCUCCAUUCUGAAUAUAAAAUAAACACAAAACCCACAAGAUAAUUUUCUGGUUAAAAAUUCAAAACCAAGAGAAGCAACUGAUAGUAAUCAUGUUUAGCAAAUUCCCAGAUCGUAAACAAAAUCAGUAUCCAGUUAAACUAUAUAGAAUCUAACCUCUUGUUUCACAGAAACCUUCCUCCCCAACUCCAUGAAAUUGCUUUGAACUUCUUUGGACAAGCCUAAUCUUUCUCGUACAGGAGCAACAUCGUUAGAACGUCGAGGAUUAAUGUUAAGAUCCAAAGAAGUAUCUACCAAUGAAUAAGAAUAAUCCAUAGCUGCCGAAGUCGAACUAGUAUCCAUCCUUACAAGUACUGGAUCAAAACCCAGACCACGAAUUCUUGAUAUUAUCCCUCUCAAAGCUGCUCAAAAGCUUGCAGUAGUUGAAAACGAAAACCCAGAUGGAGAAAGCUAGGUCUCUAGUCUCUAUUCGUUUUGGAGAAGAAAGAAGAAGGUGGAAAGUGAGAAAAUUAAGAUAUGGUACUUGCUGGAAUGAAGAGACUAUAUAAAGCAAGGAGAGAUUGAAGAAGAAGGAGAAAGAAAAGGAAGAAAUAGAGAGGGUCAGUAUGUCGGUUGAGCACAACAAUUUUGUCAAAGUCAAGCGCCCACCAAAACAGCAUUAAACAAUGAAUGUUACAUGUGGGUAUUGUAAUACUAAAUGGUUGGGUUCAGGUCCUCUCGUUUUACAUGGGCCUUUCUAAUUUUUAGUCUAUUAAUUUUUAAAUUUAUUUUUCAUCUAUUUAAAAUAAUUAAUUAAAUUAACUAUAUAUAUAUAUAUUUACUUUAAUUCAACUCGUCAUCGAUAUGAAAUUUCAAAUCUCAUACAUCUAUAAAGAGUGUGACAUUCCUAUAUUAUUCUGCAUUUUGGAUUUUAUGAUUUCUUUUAAAAUUAAAUAAUAGAGUCUCAUUUACACGAAAUGAUAAUUACAUCCUUUUCUUGUUUCAUUAUCCACCUAGGUAUAUAUUAAUUUCUAUGGUUAUAAAUCUAAUUCCAUGAGCUUUUUCGAUUUUAUUAUAUGGUGAAAGAUAUUAUUAAUAAUUAGGUUUCGGUUGAAAACAAAUAAUCUCAAUUAUUUACUUUAAUUAUACCUAUCUCAUGAUAUAUCUGGAAGGAAAGAAAUAAAAUUAUUUUAAAAUUUAUAUAGUCUAAUCCAAUCACUAUAUCAAGUUAUAUCUCUAUUGAUUUUGACUUAUUACAAUAAAGUGUUGUUUUUAUUGAUUCUCUCAUUUAUCCAUUUAGAUCUUAUUCACUUGCGAUUUGGUAUUUUUUUUUGUAAGAUGUAUUAAAUUUGAAUUGUGAUAUAGUAUAGAAUGAUUAAUUCUCACAUAUUACUACUACUGUCAUAGUUAAAAAUAUUAUGGUAGAAAUGUGCAUAAUAUUAGGUAGAGGAAAUAUGUGUUGUGUCAGCACUCAACAGCAAUUCGUUUAAUUUAUAAUAUAAAAUUCAGAAUAUAAAAUAAAAUUGUAUAUACGAUUUUUUGCAGUUUGCCAUUUAUGGUAACUUUAAUUAUGACUAUUUUAAAUAUUUACUCUGACAUUCCACAGAUUUCAUUUUAAUGGAUUCUGCUAUAGAUAAAUAUUGCUCCUCAUAAUAGCUAAACUUUAUUUGAGAUACUUACUACCAUCAAAUUGAUAGCAGUAUCAAUUCAUAAAUUUUCGCUAAUGUUGUAAUAAGUUUCACUGUUACUUGCAGCAUGUAAUACAAUUAUCUUUUGCAUGUAAAAAAUAAAAAAAUUGUUGAAUAGCAUACUUUUUUUUUUUUAUAAUUGCCUACUACAUGCAUGCAUGCAUUUACUUUAAAUUAGCACUUGACUUUAAUCAAUUCCGUACUUAAAUCUAAUUAAGGAAUCCUUCAUUUCAAUUGUAUCCAUAAAUUAAACCUGAAAAUUUUAAAACUAGCCUGCACUCAAUUUUUUAUUUAUUUAUUCAAAAGUAUAUUUAAAAAAAUAUAUAUCUAAAUAAAUUUGAAAGAAUUUAAAUUCUAAUCUUUUAAUUUUUAAUUUUUAUUUAAAAAAAUUAAAAUUACUAUUUAAUAUUUUUUUAGUUUGAGUCCAUAUAUAUGAUAAAACAUAUUAAUUUUUACUUUAAUUUUAAAAAACAUUUUAUAUUAUUUAUUAGUUAAUUAUUUCAUUAAUUCUUAAAAAAUCUAAAAUACUAAAUUGUUUUAAUUAUUCACUUCAUUAAAAAAAGUGAAAUUUUUUAUAUUAAGUCGGUAUUAUUUAAAACCAAUAACACGCUUAAUGAGUUUUUGAUAUUAUAUGUAUUAAAUAAUAAUUUUUCUUAAAAUAUUUAUAUUUAAAUUAAUUAUAUUUUGUAAAAUAAAUAUAUAAUAUUUAAUUUAAUAGUUAUUGGAUUUAUUAACAUAUAAAAUGAAAUUUAGAAUAAUAUAUUUUUUAAUUUGUAGGGCUGAGCAGAAUCCGGUUCAAACCGAAAAAACCGACCGAACCGAAUCGAUUUGAAAAUUUAGUUCGGUUUUUUAUACAUUUCGGUUCGGUUCGGUUUUAAAUUUCAGAAAUUCCGGUUAUUUCGGUUCGGUUCGGUUUUGAUCAGAAAAAAAUCGAAAAAACCGAACCGAACCGAUUAGGGAUAAUAAUAUAUUUUUUCAAUAAUACUAUAGAGAAAUUAAAUUAUAUUAAAAUUAAAAUAUUUUAAUUAAAUUUUAAAAUACUAGAGUAAAAAAUUAAAAAAAUAUUAAAAAUCGAAACCGAUCAAACCGAACCAAAUCAAAUCGGUUCGGUUCGAUUCGGUUUCUGACCAAAAUCAGUUCGAUUUAAUUUUCAUAAAAACUAAAAUUUCAAUUUUUGAUUUAUUCAGUUCGAUUCGAUUUUGAACCGAACCGACCGAAUGCUCACCCUAAUAAGUAAUACAUUAAAGGAAAAUUUAUCGCUUAUAAAAAAAAAAAAAAAAGAAAGAAAAUACAUUAAAGGAAUGUGUUUACGUGUCAAAGCAGGUUGCAAGUUGCCCGUUAAAAAUAUCUAACAUGAGGUGGACCAAUAAAAAAGCGAGUCUAAAGAGAGUGUCCAAAGUGAUUUUGGCCACCAUUUUUCCUAAUUUCAAAUUUAUAAUCUCACUACUAUAGAAAUAAGAAAACUUCCCCCUUUUUUUUUUUUUCAUUUAGGCUUAAAAUAUUAUCUCAUUAAUUUAUAUUAAAAAUAAAAUUUAAUUUUUCUUAAAUUAUUUAUUAAUUAAUUAUGGGUCUCUAAAUUUUUUAUGUUGAUUGUGAUUUAGGUAGGGAUUGAUAUUCUUUUAAUUGAAUAUCUUACAGAUAAUUUGUUGAUUUUGGGCAUGGACUGCAUAUCUAGUUAGAUUUUGUUGUCAGGAAAAUACGCGUUUAAGGAUUCCAAUUGACUUAGGAUGGAAUAAGAAAAAUAAAAAACUAAUUAGUUUAUGUUAUAUCUUGACGUGGAUAGAAGUUGCAUGACUUCCACAUGGUACUUAGCAUAAUUAAAUUAAUUAAACUGUAUACUUAUACAUUUUAACAGAAAAGAAGGAUUCAUUAGCAAUAAAACUACUUAAGGUUUAUUUCAUUUAACUGUCAAAUAUAAUUAAUGGUGGUCGAUUUAUAUAUGAUUUAUUGUAAUUUAUUAUUAUAAUUGAUUUUAAUUGAUAUAUUUUAAAUGUUUAAUAAAUUAUAUUUAAUUGUUAAAAUGAUUUAUAAAAAUAUAUAUUAAUUUAUUAUAUUAAUGAAAUAAAUAUAAAAUUAAAAAAUAAUAGAAAAAAAUAGGUAUAUAUAUAUAUAUAGUCACUAACAAUUUCAAUUUGUAUAAAUAAAAAGAAGCAUCAGACCAUUAACAUGGUACCGCACGUGUUAUGUUACGCUAUCUUGUAACGGAUUCAAAUAGUAUCAAGUUAGGUUUAGAAUAGAUUGAUAGAGCAGAUAUGGCUGAACAGUAUUUUAUUUAAAUUAAAAAAAUAUGAAAUUAAAUUAAUUUAAAUUUUUAUUUAAUUUUUUAUUUGUUUUAAUUUAAUUUAAUUUUAAAUUUUAAAAAUUUCAAUUAUUUUAAUUUGAUUUAAUUUUAAUAAAAAAAAUAAAAAAAUUAAAUCAAAUCGAUUAGUAAUAAUAAUAUAUUAUUUUAAUAAAAUAAAGAUAUUAGAUUAUAUUAAAAUUAAAAUAUUCUAAUUAAAUUUUAAAAUAUUAAAAAAUAGUAUUAAAAAUAAAAAAUUAUUAAAAAUUUAAAACGAUCAAACUGAACUGAAUCGAAUCAAACUAAAUCAAUUCAAUUUAAUUUAAUUUCUGAUCAAAAUUAAUUCGGUUUGAUUUUUAUAAAUAUUAAAAUUUUAAUUAAAAAUUUAAAUUAAUUAAAUCGAACCGAAUCAAAUCUAACUAAAUCGAUUUAAUUUAAUUUGAUUUCUAAUUAAAAUUAAUUCAAUUCAAAUUUUAUAAAUAUUAAAAUUUUAAUUUUAAUUUAUUUAAUUUUACUCAAUUUUAAACUGAAGAUCAAAUGCUUAUUUUGAUAUAAAAUAUCUAAUUUUAAGUUUACAUUCAUUUUAAAUUUUAUGCUUUGAGUAUUGAUUGUCUGUAAUUAUUUAUAUAAAUAAUUAAUUAAAUACAUUUUAAAUAUUUUUUAUUUAUAUUUUACACAUAUUUCAUAUUAAAUUAGAAUUUGAAUAUUUUAUAUCAUUAUUAUAAUUUCAAAAUAUAAAGUAAUAUUCUAAAUUAUGUUUUAGGUAAAGUAUUAAGUUAAAAUUGAUAAAACUAGAAAGAUUCAAUUAUUUUUUAGAAUAAUAAUUAGAUUUUAAAUAGGUUUAAUUAAAUUUUAAAAAAAAUUAAGUAUUAAAUACAUUAAAUUGAUUCAAAGUUGAGUAUGAUAAAUUUUGUGAAAACAUUUAUUAUAAAAACUGAAAUAAUGAAAUUGGAUAGGGCGGUGAUUGGGGUACGUAUACGUCAACGUCACACAGUAGUCAGUAGUGUCAGUCACCUAAUACCUGUGAAGACUCGUAGACGGUAGACCCAAAACUCAAGUUCGUGGGUCAGUCCAUUGAACCUGAAAAUUCUUAUUCCUCUGCGUUCUCAUUCAUGAUUCAUGCAUGUGGUUCGGCUUUUCUUUUUUUAAAAAAUCAAUUAAUUAAUUACAUUAAAGACUGUGAACUACUUAAUUAUUCAUUAAUCUAACCAAGAUUUUAAUUUCCUGUUUGGGAUAUGGAAAUCAAAAUCCUGUGGUCGUACUUCCAAAGCACAUGUUUGAAACUGCUUUCGCCUCCACGACUUCAACUCUGGCUCACGACACUGGGCCCUCCCAUCCCAUUUACUAGUAUAAUUAUAUAAUAAUUGAAUUUUUUAAAAUUGAAUUAAACUAUUUUUUAUUUUUUAUGACAGCCGGAUUUCACUAUCCCGUUAUGAGACCGGACUCAUAACGGCAGUCCGCAUUUUAAGGCUUUUAUAUUUUCUUAAUGGGCCGGCCCAGUCCGUUCGGCCCUAAGAUCAGACCUCUCCUGGGCUUUAGUCUUAAUCUCAUCAUCCAGCUCAGUUCGGAGGAGAAGAAGUAGCCAGCCCAUCCGUCUAGUGGGUCCAUCCGCAUGCGUGCUGGGAGAGAAUUAAAUGGCCGUUACGCAUAGAGCAAAUAUCUGAUAUUCUCGUACGUCCGUAUCCGUAUGGCAGAGACAGGUGGCCCAAUGGCAGCGAGGCCGUUACACGUCACUGACAGAUAAAGGAAAAGAAUAAAAGGGGGGAAACAUUCUCCUCUCGAACCAAGUUCACUCAACCUUUGUAAAACCCUAUUUUUUGGAUCUCAGAUCAUCAAUUGGCGCCGUCUGUGGGAACGAAGGAGAUCUUUUUAUCGUCGGAGUUCCACUCUUACAAUACCCACUGAGAUCCACGAUGGCCAACCAUAAUGAAAACAACCUCGUUAAUACCCCAAAUGACCUGAGCUCUGCUCAGGAGGGACAACAGUUCUCUUUUUCCAGUCCCACAACCCCAAACAACCAACCACCAAUCCCCUUCAACCCCUUGCCGAGCUCGGCAGGGAACAUGCCCGGAGCUGCCUUAUCCAACCAGGACCUCCAAGCCAUGGCCCUUCAACUACAAAAUACCGCCCACUGGUUGGGGCAGAUGAUGCAACAGAGGGGCCUCAAUACCCCAAUGAACGUAUUGCCUGUGGUAGAGGAACCCCGAACCAAUGAACCCCAGCCUACCUUUAACCACCCCCAGACAAACAGCAGAGAAACCGAAGAAAGAGGUAGGAGGGCCGGGGAAGAAGAAGAACCGGAAGCCAGAGUUCGUGGGAGAAGGGUGAGGGAGUUGAUAGAAAACGACGAGGCAGACAAUUAUUCUGCCAGAACAACCAGGAGAACGGAGGAGGAUGAAUGGAAGGAAGAAGAUCGUCUGGAGAAGCGGCCCAGAUAGGAAGAGGAGGGUGUGGAUCAAAAGCUACAGAAAAUGAAGGAGCAGCUCCUGGCUGAGUUGGGAGCGAAAGAUCAUAACCAGGCUCUCUUGCCUACCUCUUCACCUUUCUCGAAAUGGGUGCAACCGGAGACCGUCCCCAAGAAGUUUAUGAUGCCACCCAUGGCAGCUUAUGACGGAGCGGGAAACCCAAGGGAGCACGUCCUCAACUAUAAGACUUUCAUGGAGCUGCAGACUCUAUCGGAUGCCUUGAUGUGCAAGGUAUUCCCCACGACGCUUACAGGGCCGGUACAGGUGUGGUUUAACAAUCUGGAGGCGGGAAGUAUCAGAAGUUUUGGAGACUUGGCCAACGCCUUCAUCAGCCGGUUCAUAGCCGGAGUGCCAGCUGACAGGAAGACCAGCUACUUGGAGACGGUCAGGCAGAGAAGAGAUGAAUCGUUGAGGGAGUAUGUCGCCCGUUUCAAUACAGAGGCCUUACAGAUCCCCGAGCUAGAUGAAGGCAGAGCGGUGGAGGCUAUGCAGAAAGGGACGACCUCGCCCGAGUUUUUUGGCUCGUUGAGUAGAAAGCCCCCCCACCACGCUGGCAGAGCUGAUGAAGAGGGCAGAGAAGUACAUAAGGCAGGAUGACGCCUUAGUAACGAGUAGAUUUGUUAAGGGGUCAGCAGACAGGGGAAAAGCCCUAGAAGAAAGGAGGCCAGAGAGGCAUGAUAAAAAGCAAAGAAAAAGGCCUGAGCCGUACAGGCAGCCCUGGGAUCGAAGGGACCAAAGACCCUUCCCCCCUCGGGUGCCAGAACAAAAGCCGUUUCCCGACGGAUUUCAAAGAACCUGACCCCACUCAACGCCUCCAGAGCCGAAGUGCUCAUGACAGUCCAGAACAAGGAGUUCCUCCAGUGGCCGAAGCUAAUGAGGGCUAAGGCGAGCCAAUGAGAUCCUGACAAGUACUGCCAGUACCAUCGCACGCACGGCCAUGACACCAAUAACUGUUACCAGUUGAUCAGUGAGAUUGAAAGGCUGAUUAAGAGGGGACACUUGUGAAACUUUGUGAAGAAACCAGAGGGGGAAAGGCCUCAGCCGAACCCUACAGCAGAGAGACCCCGAAGAACUGGAGCAGGACCGGUGAAUGAUGGCUCCAGUGGGACCAUCAACAUGAUUGUGGGAGGAACCAGAGGUCAGAUGAGCCGAAGGGGAAAGAAGAGAGGCCGAGACGGGGAGGGCAGCAGUGCCGAGGUCAUGCAGGUAGUUGAACAUUCUCCAGUGACCAUCUCCUUCUCUCCGGAGGAUGUCCAGGGCGUUCAGAUGCCUCACGAUGACGCUCUUAUUGUCGAGGUUGUCAUCCACAACUAUCGAGUGAAGAAGGUUCUCGUCGACGACGGAAGCAAAGUGAACUUAUUACCAUACAGGGUCUUCCAGUAGAUGAGAAUCCCCGAGGAGCAGCUAGUUCGGGACCAGGCCUCAGUCAAAGGGAUCGGAGGAGUCCCAGUACAUGUAGAGGGAAAGGUGAAGCUAGCCCUCACUCUCGGAGAAGCAUCUCUGGCUCGGAUACACUACGCGGUGUUUCUAGUGGUGAAGCUCCCCCUGAACUACAACGCAAUAUUGGGAAGACCUGUGCUGUAUGAUUUUGAGGUCGUAACCAGCAUUAGAUAUCUGGCUAUGAAAUUCUCAACAGAAGCAGGAGUGGCAGUAGUUAGAGGAAGCCAGGAAGAGGCAAGAGCAGUGUACGUGGCCACGGUAUCAGAGCCGAGCUCGGCAGGGGAAAGAUUUGACUCAGAAGUUCUGGAGGUCCGAGAUGAGAAAAAAGAGGCCAGAACAGAGCCGAUCGGAGAGCUGGAAACCUUCCCCUUAUCAGAAGCAGAGGCAGACAAGGUUUUUAGCCUUAACGCCAGCCUGACCGAAGAGCAGAAAACUGAAGUCAUGGCCCUGAUCUGAGGUCACGCAUCAAGCUUCGCCUGAAAGCCUUCUAACAUGCCUGGGAUAGACCCUGAAGUGAUGACUCACAAGCUAAACGUCCUCCCAGAGGCCAGGCCGGUGAAGCAAAAGAAGAGGGUAGUAGGAAGAGAGAAACAGCAGGCCACCAGGGAAGAAGUGCAAAAGCUAGAGGAGGCCAGGUUUAUUAGAGAGGUUAUGUACCCACAAUGGCUAGCAAAUCCUGUAUUAGUAAAAAAAAAAGCCAAUGGCAAAUAUAGGAUGUGUAUAGAUUUUACCGACCUCAACCAGGCAUGUCCCAAAGAUUGUUAUCCCCUCCCUAAUAUUAAUAAAAUGGUCGACUCCACUGCUGGUUUUGAUUAUAUGUCAUCUCUGGAUGCAAUGUCUGCCUAUCACUAAAUCCCAAUGGACAGGUCGAAUGAGGAGAAGACCUCGUUUAUAACAGAAGAUGGGACUUAUUGUUAUAGAGCUAUGCCUUUCGGGCUGAAGAAUGCUGGGGCAACAUACCAGAGACUAAUGAAUAAAAUCUUUAAAGACCAAAUCGGCAGAAAUGUAGAAGUAUACGUGGACGACAUGGUGGUGAAAAGCCCCACUUUUCAGCAGCACUUGAUAGACUUGAGGGAGGUGUUCGAGGUUUUAGAGCAGUACAGAAUGAGGCUGAACCCAGCAAAGUGUGCUUUCUUCAUCAAGGGAGGAAAGUUCUUGGGAUACAUGGUGACUGGAAAAGGCAUCGAGCCCAAUCCUGAGAAGGUGGAAGCCAUCCUGAAGAUGCCCGAACCGACCUGUGUAAGGGACGUCCAGAGACUUACUGUAAGGGUAGUAGCAUUCAAUCGCUUCAUGUCGAGGUCAGCUGAGAGAUGCUUGCCUUUUUUUAAGAAGUUGAGAAAAGUUCUGAACUUUGAAUGGAUUGAAGACUGUCGAGAGGCUUUCAAAGAGCUCAAAAGCUACCUUAGCUCGCCUCAUGUUCUCAACAGUCCGCUGGAAGGAGAAGAGCUCCUGAUUUACUUGUUAGCCUCAGAACAAGCUGUCAGUGCUGUGUUGGUAAGGGNNNNNNNNNNNNNNNNNNNNNNNNNNNNNNNNNNNNNNNNNNNNNNNNNNNNNNNNNNNNNNNNNNNNNNNNNNNNNNNNNNNNNNNNNNNNNNNNNNNNNNNNNNNNNNNNNNNNNNNNNNNNNNNNNNNNNNNNNNNNNNNNNNNNNNNNNNNNNNNNNNNNNNNNNNNNNNNNNNNNNNNNNNNNNNNNNNNNNNNNNNNNNNNNNNNNNNNNNNNNNNNNNNNNNNNNNNNNNNNNNNNNNNNNNNNNNNNNNNNNNNNNNNNNNNNNNNNNNNNNNNNNNNNNNNNNNNNNNNNNNNNNNNNNNNNNNNNNNNNNNNNNNAGUGGAAAGCCCGAGGUGGCAAAGAGGCCAGGCGAGGGAUAGCCCUAGGCCGUGAACGGUAACAGUGCCGGUGAGAGGGCCGGGCUGUUACAUCUGAACAUUGAAAAGAUAGCAUACGCUCUGUUAUUGGCAGUCAGAAAAUUCAGAGUUUACCUAGAAAGCCAUCAAGGAGUAGUAAUGACAGACCAGCCGCUGAAGAAGAUCCUCCACAGAUCGAAAACCUCAGGUCGGAUGCUUGCUUGGUCCAUCGAGAUCAGCCCGUACUGUUUGGAAUACCGGCCUCACACAGCCAUAAAGUCUCAAGCCCUCGCUGACUUCAUAGCAGAAUGUUCUUUCAGUGAGAAACAAGCAGGACCUGGUGAGACACCCCCGGAAGCACCAGAAGGGGAAAGAGAAAGACAGUCCGCUCGAGAAUUCAACUGGAAGUUGUAUGUGGACGGGGCAUCCAGUGCUGGGGGUAGCGGUGCAGGAAUAAUGCUAAAAGGACCUGAGGGUUUCAAAGUCUGUUAUGCUCUGCGCCUGGAAUUCAAAGCCUCUAACAAUGUAGCGGAAUAUGAAGCCCUGAUAAAUGGGAUGAUAAUCGCAAUGGAGGUAGGGGUAACUGAUCUUGAAAUAAAUAGCGACUCCCAGCUAGUGAUCAAUCAGAUAACAGGGGCAUAUCAGGCAAGAGACCAAAUAAUGCAGAACUACUUGGCGAAGGUAAAAGCCAUAGAGGCCGAGCUCGUCGAACAAGGGAUUAUGGUACGGUACCAGAGGAUACCCCGGGAGGACAAUGAGGAGGCAGACUUGCUUAGCCAAUUGUCUAAAGAGGAGCUGGAACAACUCCCUGACGAGGUAUACAUACAACAUAUUAGCACACCUGCUUUUGACAAAACGGCCACUGUAAUGCAGGUUGAGCAGGGCCAAAGCUGGAUGAUCCCAUACCUGGAAUACCUUGAGAAGGGAAAGCUCCCUGAGGACAAGGAUGAAGCAAAGAAAAUAGCUGCUCGAGCUGCCAACUACUAAGCAGUGAGAGGGACCCUAUACAGAAGAGGAAAGUCUACCCCAUGGCUUCGAUGCGUGAGUUCGGAAGAAGCCACAAAGGUGAUGGAAGAAAUACACUGAGGGAUAUGCGGAGCCCACGAGGGAGCAGAAACGCUGGCGAAUAAGAUAUUCAGGCAAGGAUACUACUGGCCCACCAUUAAAAGGGAGGCCGAAGAGUUCGUCCGCAGAUGCGAUGUAUGCCAGAAGUUUUCCAAUGCCAUCAACGUCCCGGCCACUCCUCAGUCCAGCAUAUCCAGCCCGUGGCCAUUCUCACAGUAGAGCAUAGACAUCCUGAGUCCUUUCCCUAAGACCACGGGGCAGAAAAAGUUUAUAGUAGUGGCUGUAGAGUACUUCCCAAAAUGGCCAGAGGCAGAGGCAAUUCCCACAAUUACUGCCCAAAAGAUGAUAGACUUUGUCUGGGGCAAUAUCAUCUGUAGGUUCGGAAUACCGAGGGUACUCAUCUCAGACAACGGCAGGCAAUUUGACUGCAGUGCCUUCAGAGAAUUCAUAGCAAACAUGGGCAUAUGGCAUAAAUUCUCCUCAGUGGCCCACCCCCAAACCAAUGGCCAAACAGAGGUCACUAACAGAGCUAUCCUCCAGGGAUUGAAGAAGCGGCUGGAUGGGGCCAAGACAAAUUGGGCAGAGGAACUCAACAGCAUCCUGUGGGCACUCCGAACUACCCCCAGGACGUCCACUAAAGAGACGCCUUCCGCACUUGCGUUUGGCACCGAAGCUGUGGUUCCAAUUAAGUUGCAGGUCCCUACCCAUCGAGUCCAAUUCAAUAGCAAGAGCAUCAACCUUGAUAAGUUAAGAAGUAACCUGGAUACUCUGGAGGAAGUCAGAGAAGAAGCUCGAGUCCGUAUAGCCGCUUAUCAACAAAGAGCGACUCGUUAUUACAAUCAAAGGGUCAGAGAAAGAAGCCUGAAAGUAGAGGAUCUGGCCCUGAGAAAUCUGGAAGCCACUGGAAAGAGAGCGGCAGUAGAAAAGCUGGCGCCAACCUGGGAGGGUCCUUUCAGAAUAAUAAAGGUGGUCAAACCAAGGAUGUAUCGAAUCGAGGACAUGCAGGGAAACCCUGAGCCUCAUGCUUGGAAUAUCCAGCAUUUGAAAAGGUACUUCCCUUAAGGUGUUACCAAAUGUAAGAGAAUCGAUUGUAUUUUGAAACAUGGCAAUAAAGUAAACGUUAUUACCAUCAAAUUUGUUAUUUGUCAUAACUUACAUUUGUUUCCAUUGAAAGAAACGAAAAAGAAAAAGAAAACAAACACAAAGGCCCAAGAUCUCNNNNNNNNNNNNNNNNNNNNNNNNNNNNNNNNNNNNNNNNNNNNNNNNNNNNNNNNNNNNNNNNNNNNNNNNNNNNNNNNNNNNNNNNNNNNNNNNNNNNNNNNNNNNNNNNNNNNNNNNNNNNNNNNNNNNNNNNNNNNNNNNNNNNNNNNNNNNNNNNNNNNNNNNNNNNNNNNNNNNNNNNNNNNNNNNNNNNNNNNNNNNNNNNNNNNNNNNNNNNNNNNNNNNNNNNNNNNNNNNNNNNNNNNNNNNNNNNNNNNNNNNNNNNNNNNNNNNNNNNNNNNNNNNNNNNNNNNNNNNNNNNNNNNNNNNNNNNNNNNNNNNNNNNNNNNNNNNNNNNNNNNNNNNNNNNNNNNNNNNNNNNNNNNNNNNNNNNNNNNNNNNNNNNNNNNNNNNNNNNNNNNNNNNNNNNNNNNNNNNNNNNNNNNNNNNNNNNNNNNNNNNNNNNNNNNNNNNNNNNNNNNNNNNNNNNNNNNNNNNNNNNNNNNNNNNNNNNNNNNNNNNNNNNNNNNNNNNNNNNNNNNNNNNNNNNNNNNNNNNNNNNNNNNNNNNNNNNNNNNNNNNNNNNNNNNNNNNNNNNNNNNNNNNNNNCCCAUUCAAGAUAAAAAGGGCCCAAACCCUGAGCAAGCUCAAAAAUAAAAAAGAAUAGGGCAGGUCUGGAAAGAGCUGAAACGCGAACCAAGAUGCACAAAUCUGAGCUCGGAAAGCCAAGCAAUAAGAGAGCCGAGCUCAGGAAGCUCAAGGGCAAACUGAAUGUUACAAAUUUCCUCUAGCCCAAGGGGCAAGUCAAAAGUAUGAACUAACGAACAACACCACAACCUCAGUUCCACUCAACACAAGACAUAAAACGAGCUCAAGAAAACAGAUUCAUCAUAAUAAGGUACUUUACCUUACUUACUUUGAUUAUACAAAAAUUAUAUGUCCGAGCUUGCAUUAUUGAUGAGUCAACAGGGUAAAAAAUAAAGAUGUAGUCCCAAAAUUACACAAAUUCACAAGUUAGAAGUUCGGUCAAUUGCUAGAAUUUCAGCCCUAAUUAACAAGGGCGAGAAAUAAAACAAGUAGUAUGGUUGAUUCCUUGAAAAAAUUAUUGAACACAUGGUUUAAGAGUUUUAUCCUUAACAUAUUGACAGAUUAAGCCAGGUAGGCCUUCAAUGGAUUAAGUCAAUUAGACUUUUAGCAGAUUGAGUAAUUUGAUAAGGACAGAAAAAUAAAUAACAGUGGAAAUAGCUCAAAUAUAAACACAAAUGAAAAUUGGAUUUCAUUAAAAGGAAAAUAAAAUUACAACUUAUUCAGUCAUCUACAACUCCUGGAAGAAAAAUUGUCCGUAAAGGACUUACAUGUCUAGGCGCAUCGCUAUUUACACUAUCUCUAUCUACACUACUGCCUACGAAAGGAACAAUUUCUCCUCCUUGGGGCCCUGCAUCUUCCCUCUGAAGCUUGGCAUCAGCCUCCGUGGACUGGCUGUUUCCUUCUUCACCUUCCUCCCCCAGCUUGGCAUCUUCUUUAUGAGACCCAGUUGCAGUGUGAGGAAAUCCUUUGGGCAAAGGUUUGUCGUCCUCCCCGUAAAGCACCUCCUCGCCAUCGAAGUCCUCCUCAGCAGCUCGGAGUUCAGCUAGCGGCGUGGAAGGGGCAUACCUGGCUUCCCUCAAGCCUCGAUUGAAACCGGAGACGAACAUGCGGAAGCCUUUUUGCCAUAUUGUAUUCUUCAUUUCGUCAGAGGCUUUGUAUUCCGCAAGUCGCUCCUCGCAGGCCUCAGCUAUCUUGGCCUUCAACUCCGAAGAGUCCUUAUAACCUUGGAGACAAGCUUCACAGGCCUGCUCGAUCUCUCUUUUGAGCUCUGCCGACUCCUUGUACUCCCUUAAGUGCUUCUCACACUCCAACUGGACUCUGUUCUCAGCGUGCUUGGCAUCCUCGAGCAAGGCUGAACACCUCUUCUUAAGGGCCUCGACUUCCUGGCAGAGGUGUUGGUUUUGAAGUCUAGAUGCCUCUACUGCCAGAGCCAGGUCUUUUUCAUUAUCAGCGCGCUUGCUCAACUCUUGCUCGAGGACCACAACCCGAGCUAGGGCUUCAUCCUUCUGAGCUAGCAUAGCAUCGAAAUUUGCCUUCAACGACUCCUGCUGGUGCCGGGCCUCAUCCCUCUCCUUCUGAGCUUCCUCUAAGGAGGACAGCUGCUCCAAGACCUCAUCACGGUGGGCCUCCGCAGCAGCUGCCCUCUUAUCAGCCCCUUCCAAAGUCUCCUUAGUAUGGGCCAGCUCCCCCCUAAGGGUCUUCAAAUGCUCCUGAGCUGCAGCAAGGUGACCCCGAGCAUCGCUGGUUGCGAUUAAAUUUUCUUCAAGACGCGCCUCUUCAAUCUGGCGGUCCAUUGUGCUCCGAGUUGAUUCGUCCCGGGAGUCUACCUCCAUAAAGAGGCCCAUCAGCUAACACAGAGAGAAAAAAUAUUAGAAUGACAGACAACAGAAACCAAACGAAAGAAUUCAAAAGUAAGAAGAACAACUUACCAUUAGAAGCAUCUCCCUAAUUGUGCCUCCGAGCUCCUCUCGAGUCCGAGACCGGAAUGCUACUUGCUCUCGUGUAGAACUCGCCAAAAGGCCAGUGAGAGCAAGCAGACGAGGAUCCGAAGCUUCUGUGACCCGCCAAACAUCUGCUCCUACAAGAUUUCUGCAACAACGCUCGCCGGAGAUUGAUGAGUGAUAUCCUCCGCGUUCAAAAUGUCGUUGUCGGGAGCAGACAGCAGAGGCACCACAGAAGUCUCCUUCUUCUUCUCGAGAGGAGGCAGAGCUGGAGCUGGUAUUCUAGAGGCCCGAGACCUCUUGGGGACAGGAGCCGGGGCAGGCGCUUCAGAAGGAGGAGGACACUUGCUCCCGACCCUCUCUGCAGCGCCCUCAUCGUCAACUGGUCUGGGCUCCACUCCCUCAGUAACAGGGGCAACCUCCAUCCCCCCUUCAGGAGCCCUCUCCUCAGUUGCGGAGGUCUUGAACCUCUCCUCAGGAACGUCCUCAGAAGGCAAGGCAGAAUCCGUCCUCACCAGCUCGAUGCCUUCAACCGGCCUGGCGGUGACCCUUGGAGCCUUUUUCGCUCCCUCAGUAGGAGCCCGUUGGGACCUGGGGGCUUGAUAAGACUGAGGAGCCAAGCUUGAUCUGCUGCGGCUUGAAGGGCCUGGAAGACCUGACACCUCGAGAGCUCAGCUUGGGAGCUUGGGAAGAAGCAGGAGCAGGAAGAAUGGACUGGCCUGCCGACCUGGAAGAGAUGACCUGGGCCACCUCCUGAGUGGCUUCUGACACAGAUCGCCCAGCUCGGAGGGCGUCUAACGCAGCAUUCAUACUCUCCCGAGAGAGGGUGAAGUUCUUGGGGUCCUUGAUGUUGUCCAUAUCUGCUCGAGAAGCUGCAAAAACAUCAAAUCAACACAAGUUAAACAUCUCUCAAGAAAGGAUAAAAGAGGAGAAAUAAAACAAUCAAACAAAGUAUAAUACCCGCGUCCUUGAUAUCCCGAAGAUUGGACGCAAACAUACACCUUUCGACAUCAUACUUCUUCGCAACAGAAGUCAGUCGAAGGUACCCGACCUGCUUAGUGAGACUCAGCUGAGGCAGGUCGUUACAGCCUAGAAAGACAUCCUCCCAGGAGAGCUCCACCUCCCAAGACAGCCCGGAUUCUUUCUUCAGCUCCACCACUGCAAACCCCUCUACCCAGCCUUUUAUCGAGUCCUUGCGACCCGUAAAGAUGGACAGCCCUCCGCGAGGGGCAAAAUAGUAAAAGCAUUGACUCGCUUUCACUAACCGAAAAAAGGUGAGAAACAGACGCGCUGUGGGUGUGAACCUCCAGCUCAGGCAAACUGACUCGAAGGAACACAUGAAAAGGAUGGAGUUAGGGGCCAGAAUCCGAGGGGUUAUCUCGAAGUACCGGAAUACCUCGAUGAAGAAGGGAGAGAAGGGAAAGGUUAAAUCGUAUUCCCUCUGUUUAGCGAAGAAGACCAGGCUGAGAUCCUUCUGUGGGUCGAUUAAACCAGGGGGAGGAGGAUUAGGAAGAACGAUCCUCUCAUUUCGGAGAGGGGCCCAGAUGAAAAAAAGGAGGGUAUUUAGGUAUUCCCUGGAAAAGAAGUUUUUUAGAGUAGCAGGGGUGAUGCUAGACUCUAGAUUAAUGACGUCGGGGAGAUUUGGGCUAUCCAUGGAAGAAUGAAGAGCGUACCUUGAAAAUAAUGAAGGCAGGAGAACGGAGCUAGCAAUGCGCACGAAGAACAGAGGAAAGCAAGAGUUUGGAGAAGACUGAGAGAAUUCGAAAUUUGAAACAAUAAUAAGACGAAAAGAUGUUUUGAGGAGAAUUGUCCUUGGGCGGCGCGGUCAUAAUGACUCUCGAUAUUUACCCCCUCAUCAUUCGUGCAAUAACUGAUGAAAAGGUAAAGGGGCAAUUGAUGACCGCUGGAUUUCACCAUCCUGUUACGAGGCUGAGCUCAUAACGACAGUCCCCAUUUUAAGGCCUCUAAGUCUUCUUAAUGGGCCGGCCCAGUCCGUUCGGUCCUAAGAUCAGACCUCCCCUGGGCUUCAGUCUUAAUCUCAUCCUCCAGUCCAGUUCGGAGGAGAAGAAGUAGCCAGCCCAUCCGCCUAGUGGGUCCAUCCGCAUGCGUGCCAGGAGAGAAUUAAAUGGUCGUUACGCAUGAAGCAGAUAUCUGAUAUUCUCUUACGUCCGUAUCCGUAUGGUAGAGAUAGUUGGCCCAAUGGCAGCGAGACCGUUACACGUCACUGACAGAUAAAGGAAAAAAAUAAAAGGGGGGAAACAUUCUCCUCUCGGACCAAGUUCACUCAACCCUUGUAAAAUCUUAUUUUUUGGAUAUCAGAUCAUCAAUUUUUAUUUUAAAAUUUUUUUUAUUAAAAAUAAAAAGUGGGGUCAAGUGACCCCACUCCAGAAGUAGAAACCGGCUAUGGUCAAGAGUCUUGCUCUUCUUCACCUACCGAUGUAAGGAGAAAAAACACAUGCAAUGGUAUAAUAUGGUAAUGAAAAAUGUGAACUGAAUCUUGAAAGAGAAUUUAGAAGAAUUGAAUAACAAGACAGAGCUGUUUGUUCUUUGUACAUGUUCAACUAAUUGAUUUCCCACGUAUUAGUCAAUUAGACUUAAUUUUAUCCCUUUGUCUAACCAACUUGAAACAAUUAUUACAACAUUGGCAACACUUGCAAGAAGACCUCAAAUUUGACACGUUUCUUUUAUUUAUUUAUUGUGUAAAUCUAAUUUUGUAUCUCGAGUCGUCUUCUAGUAGCUAGCUACCUUAUAUUUUUCAAAAAGAAUCUACAAAUAUUCAAUCAUGUGUACAUUGGAUGUGAACCCUUUUAUAAUUCAUUUUCUAUUCAGCUAGAUACUAAGUAAAUAAUAUUAUAAUAAAUAAUUUUAAAAAAAUAAAAUUACUUACUAAAUCCAUAUUAUUACUAGACGUCAUAUUUAUAUAAAAAUUGAAAUUUAAUUAAAAUUUAUUAAAUUAAAAAUUUUUUUAAUUAUUUUUAAUGAUUUAAUGUAUCAGCUCAGAUAACGUGAUACAUCAAAAUAUUUAAUAAAUUACUGUUGAAAAAGGAAAUAGUGACUGAGAAGAGGGGUAAAAAUAAUAAAAAAUAAUUUUUUAAAAUAUUCUAGAAGAGUAUAUCUAGAGUAAAAAAAUAUUUUCUUAAAUAAUAAUUAGAAAGCAUUAAAAUUAAAUUAAUUUUUUUUUAUGAAACAGAGAAAGCAAAUAUAAUUAAUUGGACCCAAGAGAUUGAUAUUUUGGUAAUUAAUUAAGGACAGCAGUAAUUGAGAGAAAAUAAUAUGAAAUUGUAUAUAAUAAUUAAUAAAAUUUAGGGUUUAUUAUCCUUCAAAAUCUGACGAUUUGAAAAAUAAUUUACAACAAUUUUCUUAAUUAAAUUGAAAAUGGAAGUAAAAAAAUUGUCCUUUUCAGAAUUGGUAAUUGUGGUGGAUAAGCUUAGGAGUUAAGAUAAUUCAUGACUCUGUGUGAUAUUGGCAAAAAAUGACCAUCUCAUGAUGCACAUGUAAUUCACCCUUCAUUUCAUAUUUACUCGAUAUGCCAUAGGAAUUAAAUUAUUUAUAAUAUAAAAAUAUACACAUAACUAAUAAUUUAACAUAUUAUAACCAAUUUAAUUCUUGUUUGCAAUAGCAUUGUAUUUGUAUAUUUUUGUAAUUAUAAAUAAAUUAUAUAUAUAUAGUUAAUUUGAAGAUGAAAAUUCUAUAAUUAAUAAAUAUUAAAUAAAAAAUUUAAAUUUUUAUCACUUUUUAUAUUUAUAUUCUAACAUUAAAAUAUUAGAUAAUAAAAUCAAUUUUUCAUAUUUACUUCUAUUUUAGCUAUUUGCCAUUAAUCAAUUUUAGUAAAAAAAUUUUAAUUCACAUGUCAUGACAUUUAUAAUUUUUUUUAAAGACAUAUUGAAUAAAAGAAAUUAAAACUUUUAAGUUAAUUCGUAUUUAUAUCUAAAAUUUUAAAUUUUAAAUAAUAAAACUAAAAUUUUUUUAUUUUAUCUCAAUUAUAAAUAAAAAAAAUAUUUGAAUAUGAAAAUUAUUAAAAAAUUAUAAUAUAGUAUUUAAAAUUUUAUUAGACUAUAAAAUAGUUUUUAAAAUAUAUAUUUUUAUUUCAACAAUAUCUUUUUUUUAUUAAUCUCAUUAUUUAUUUUUCAUUCUCUUUUUUAUAUAUAUUGUAGUUUAAUAAAAAUUUAAAAUAUUUUAUUUUAUUAAAUAUUAUUGAUAUAAAAUAUAAUUUUUUUGUCAAAUUAACUAAUAAUUUAAUAUACAUUACAAAUAUAAUUAUUUUAUAAAUAAAUAAAACAAAAAUAUUAAAUAUCUAAAAUAACCUAUAAAAAAUAUAGUUAAUAUAUCUAAAUUUUUAUAAAAAUUAUAAAAAGAUAACUUCACAUAGUAAAAUAUAUAUAUAUUUAAUAUUAUUAAUGUAAAAUAUAAUUUUUUAUAUACUAAAAAUAUAUAUAUAUAAUUUAUAAUAAUAAAUAUAAAUUUUCAAUGAAAUAUUUUAAUAUAUAAUAUUUAUAUGUGAUAUUUUAAUAUAAAAUUUAAAUUAAUAUAAAAUUUUUGAGAUUAUAUUAUAAUUUAUUAUUAAUUGAAAUAAAUGUAAAGGAAUUAAUUAAAUUAUAUAAAAUUUUUAAAUUGAAAUAUAAUUAUAACAAAUAUUAAACAUUUAAAUUUAUUUUUUCCAAUAAACGAAAAAUGUAAUAUGCUUUGACCACGCUUGUAAACAGGACGCUGAAGUUUAAGAAGCGAAGGUUUGUGGUUGACCCCAAGUUGAGUCCAUGGCCGCCAGUGGAUGAGGAUGAUGCAAUCCAUGAUCUUAUCUCCACCAUCAAACGCUAGUGAUUCAUCAUACACAUGGGCCACCACAUGAUUGUAUCAUCUUAUUACUAUUUAUCAUGUUGAUUUAUCCGCUUGCAUGUCUAAGGAAUUUUUGGUUUUACAAUGCAGCAGCUUAAGCGCAAACCUCAUAUGAUAUGGCCAUUGUAGCCCAUAAAGAUAAUUUAAUAAUAAAAAUAUUUCUUUUAAUAUUUAGCAUUUCAAAUAAAAAUUUAAUGAAUACUUACUUUAUUUUAACUUACAACUUCAUUUAAAAAAAAAAAAAAAAAAAUUCUAAAUCGCUCUUACCAAUACGAUUACAUAGAAGAAACCUUCCUCUUGCGUAAGGGAGUUGAACCCUCUUUAUUCGAUCACUGAUUAAGAGGAAUAUUAUUAAGCUUUUCAACACGUUGAUGCAAAUUUAAAUAAAUUAAAAUUUUAAUAUUUAUAUAAAUUAAAUUAGUCUAUUUGAUUGAUUAAAUUUUUUAGUAAAUUUUUUUAUUUUUUAUAUUUUAUUUUUAAUAUUUUAAGAUUUAAUUAAAAUAUUCUAACUAUAGUCUAAUUCUUUUUAUAUUAUAAAAAAUAAUAUAUUAUUAUCACUUUUUAAUUAGUAAAAUUAAACUGAAUUAAAAUAAUUAAAAAUUUUAAAAUUAAAAUUCAAAUCGAAUUGAAAUAAUAAAAAAUUAAAUUAAAAUUUUAAAAUAAUUCAAUUCAAUCAAACUUUUUAAUUUGAAUUAAAUAUGACUCACCUAAUUUUACGAAAGAAAUAUAAAAUUUUAGUUAAAUAUAAUAAUAGAAAUUCAUCGAGUUUAUUCUUUUAAGUUUCGAGCUUGAAUUUUUAAUUAGAGUUAAUUGUAAAUAAAAAAAUAUUAUUAAAUAAAAAAUAUUUCAGUGAAGUGACAUGAACCAUACAAAAAUCAAGUGAUGGUAUGAUAUAUUGAAUUUUUUUUUUUCUCUUUUAUAUUUGGAAGAAUUGUACUCAUUCUUGGUGAAAGAGAGGAUAUAGCAAGAUAGCUUAGAUAAAAAAAAAAUUUAAAAGUGAAUUUAUAUAUAUCUUUUAUAUUCGUUUUAUAAAUUGCAUAAGCCAAAAUAAUUGAAAUUAUUUGAAAUAAAUGAAUUAAAAUUUUUUUAAAUAAUGCAAUAAAUUUAAAUUUCAAUAGCAUUCUUUAUAUGCUGUUAAUAAUUUUAAAUAUAUAUAUAACUAAUGAAAAUUAUCGUUAAACAUUUCAUGAUGUGUAUAAAUCCUAUAAUUUAAUUAAAUUUUGAUUAAAAAUUUAUUAUAUUUUAUAUAUUUACCAUCAAAGCGUAUUAUAUUUCUUGAUGUUAUUUAUUAUGUAAAUCAUUUAGUUGUGUUUAAUUAUCUACCAUUUAAUUAAUAUGUAUGUAUAAUUUUUUUAUUUACGAUAAUAAAUAUUAUUAAAAAUAUAAAUAAUUUUAUAAUCGAUUUUAAUGGAUUUACAAUAAAUUUAUAAAAUAAUAUUAAUAUUUUUAAUGAAUUUAUGAUUAUUUUUGUUAAAAUGAUCUUUCUAUUUUCAAUAGUAAUUUUUCGUCUUUAAUUAUUUCUGACAGAUUAGCGAUAGAUUGAUUAUCGGAUGAAUUUAGAUUUUUUGAUGAAUUUAAUGAUGAAUAAAAUUUAUCACUAAUAUUUUUUGAUGGAAUAAUCAGUCAAAAUUCUGUUGCAAAUAUUUUUGAUAUAUUUUAAAUUGUUAAAAAUCUGUUACAUAUUAGCGAUAAAAUUUUAAGUGACGAAUUUUAAUUUAUAGAAAAUCAUCGCCGAAAGUGUUAGGUGCGGAUUUUAGACUAUCAGCGAUCAAAUUUUCCGUCUAACGGAUAGUCCGUUUUUUAUAAUGAUACAUAUUUAAAAGUUUUAGUUAAAUUAAUUUUAAAUAAUUUUUUUUUUCUUUAUGUAUUUUUCAAAUUCAAUAUAAAUAACUUAUUCUGCACAAUCUCGGACACACAUAUACAAUCAGAACUAUUCUUUUUUUUUUUUUUUUUUGUGGGAGCUUUAAUUUAUUCUCAUCUUAAAAACAGACCAAAAGAAUAUGGAAUUUUAGUUAAAUAUAAUAACGGAAAUUAGAUAAAAUCAUGACUAAAAAUUAUCAGCAUAUAUUUAUUGUCUAUAAAAUUUAUAAUUUAUAACUUUUAAUAAAAAAUUUAUAUUAAUUUAUAACCACUAUAUAUUAUUUAUUAAUUUAUAAAUUAUUUUAAUAUUAAAAUGUAUUAUAUUUCUUGAUCUUAUUUAUUGUGCAACUAUUUUAUAUAAAAUAAUGUUAAAAAAUAUUCAUUGGAGCCUUCUAAUUGGAGGCAUAAUAUAAUAUUCAUUAUAUUUAUCAUUAAAACUAAUAUUAAGUUUGUUUCAAUUUUAAUUCUUAAAAUUUUGUAAAAUUUAAUUAAAUUUUAUAUUUUAUGUUUCUAGUUUGAAGAGAUAUUAAAAUUAGUAUUAAGAAUUCAAUUUUAUGGAAUUGGUUAUAAUUAAAAAAUUAAUUCUUUCAAAUUUUGAUAAAAUUUGAAAUAUUAUAUAAUAAUAUUUUAUAAACUAACAUGUUCAUAAUAAAAAUUUUUCUUUCUAUUAUCAUUUAUUUUAUUAGUUGAUUAAAUAAAUAGUUAAAAAUUAAUAAAUAAUUAAAAAAUAUUGAUGAUUACAAUAAAUGAUUAAAAUUUAUUUUAAUAAAUAAUUAUAUUUUUAAUUUUACUAUUAUUUUAUAAACAUUAAAUAAAAAUAAUAGUAUUACAUAAUCAGUCGUCUACCUUGAACCUUCAAAUUCUCUGAAUAUAUUUUGAUAUCAACUCUCAUAUUAAUUUAUUUUUAUUUUAUCAAUAUAUUAUUAAUAAAUUUAUAUUUUUAUUUAUUAUUACUAUUAUAAUAAAUUUAUUAUGAAUAAUUUUUUUUAUAAUAAAAAAUUAUAUAUAUAUACACUUUAUUCUUAGGGUAAUUUAGAGAGUAAAUAAAUUUCAAUUCUAAAAUUAAAUCAAACAAAAAUUAUGUAAAAUUAAAUUGAAUUCUACAUUUUUAAGUUAUAUUAAAUUAAAUAAUGAAAUUUAUUUCAAAUAAAUUUUAUUCAUAAUUUAAUUGAAUUAUAUAUAAUUUUAGUCAUAAAAUUAAACAGGAGAAUAUAUAUCAAUUACUUGUAUAAGGCACACAUUAGGUUCAUAUAAUAAGGGGAAAUCACAGCAGGAAGAUUAUAAUCCUCCCAUGGUUUUACACACACAGAAACCAAAAAAACCCAAAAGAAAAAAAAAAAAAAAAGGUGGAAAUUACAUUACAUGUUAAUUAUUGAGGAUGGCAAGAACACCAUUUAUUUAUUCCUCCCAUUUCCAGUGAUUAGAAACUUCAAACUUUUUCUUUUUGACAAAGAAAAAAUUUACCUAACAUUAAACCCAAGGUUGUAAGCAUAUUUGACGAGAUCAUCAAUCUCUGACAUGUCGAUAACUCCAUCUCCAUUAGCAUCAGAAAAUUUGAUCCCUUGACGGGCCCUAUAAGCAGGGAACAUAGCUCCAAGAUAAUUGAAAGCUUGUCUGAUCUCUUCUCUGCUAAGAACAUUGUCUCCAUUUAAAUCGAACUUCAUGAAAACUUGCCUCACUUGUUCUUCAGUGAAGGGAACAGGAGCAUCUUUGUAUUUGUUCACACGGAAGGGAUUCACCGCCAUAUGAUAUUGACGUGGUGCCGGUGGCGGUGGUGGUGGUGGAUUGUUUGCAAACCAAACACCUUGUGGAGGAGGAGGAGGAGGUGGAGGUGGUCCCCAGAAAGACUGAGACCUGUCAUAAUAGAUUGGCGGCUUUUCUUCAUACAUUGGCUGAUUGUAUGGAGAAGGAUAAGGAACAACGUUAUAGUCUUGGGUAUAGCAGCGAUCGUAGUACAUGAUUUUCAAGUGGCGAGGAUAAUAACUGGAGCAGGUUUUGAGUUUGAAGUUUUGUUUGAACUUGGGAUGGAUUUGAAUCCAUGAAAGCAAUCUUAUUUAUAAGCUGCUUCAGGGUGUUUUUUUUUUUUUUUUUUUCCACUUGAAUGAAUAAUGUUCUAACUUAUCUUACCAGGAAUAAUUAAAUCUUUCCUUCAAGUGGGAAUCUCUUUUUUAUGUUAUUAAAUAUGCUGCGGUUAAAUUUAAAUUAGAUUUCAUAUCAGUAUGAAUAUAAAAAUUGUACACAAUGUUAUAAAAUACUAUUUAAAUAUAAAAUUGAAUCAUAGACUCUAAAAUGAAAAUUCUUAUAAAAUUAUAAGAUAUUUUUUAUUUUUUUUUUAAUUAUAAAACUUAAGAUAAAUAAAUAAUGAACUGAUAUGCAAAGGACAGUUUAACAUGACAAUACGAAGUGGAGAAUAUGUUACAGGACUCACAUGAUAGAUAUCAUUAUCAAAUUGAUAAUGAAGAAUAAAGAUUUAUGCCUUCAAAUUCAUUCCAUCUUGGACCUCCUUAUUUAAUCAUUUUUAUGCUAUAAAUUAUUACAAUUCAUUUUAGUUAGCUGAGUAAUUAUGUUGCAAUUAACACUUAUAUAUAUUUCAAUUUUUUAAAAAUAAAUAAUUUAUUUUUUAUAUUUUAAUUUUAUUAAAUUAAUAAAAAAUUAUUUUAACAAAAGUACUUUCAGUUUAACAGAAUCAAAAUAUAUGAAUUAAUAUGUUGAAUUUUAAAAGUAAAAUGAUAUGUAUAUUAACAUCAGAGAUAUGUAAAAGUGAUUUUUUUUUUAUUUAUAAGUAUAAAUUAUAAGAUUUAAGUAUGAUAUUAAAUUUGAAUUAUAGCAUUAUUGAAAAGUAAUGAAUAUAGAUUUGCUCAUCUUUCUUAAUCACAUGAAAUGAGAGUUUGGCAUAUAAUAAAAUAAAGUAGCAAAAUAUUCUUAGGUCAGUUGGCCAACAUCAUCUUCAAAGCAUUUUUGACGUCACAGAUGUGCCCACGCCUUUGACUAGUCGGUUUUACAUAUUAUUCUGAAAACUAUAUUUACCUUUGUUUUUUUAAGCAAAGCAAAAUCUUACCAUCAUUCAUCCUUUAAAACCAAGUGAUCCGAUUAGAAGGUAGCAUUUAAUCGGUUCAAUUUAAAAUCAAACUGAAUUAAAUAUAUUAAAAAUUAAAAUUUUAAUAUUUAUAUAAAUUAAAUCGAAUCGAAUUGAUUUUAAUUAGAAAUUAAAUUGGACUGAAUCACUUUGAUUCAGCUCAAUUCAAUUUAAUUUGAUCAGUAUGAAUUUUUAAUAUAUUUUUUUAAUUUUUAUACUUUAUUUUUAAUAAUUAAAAUUUUAAUUAAAAUAUUUUAACUUUAAUAUAAUUUGAUCUUUUUCAAUAAUAUACUAUUAAUAUUAAUUCGUUCGGUUCGAUUUUUUAAAUUCUUUUCUGAUUAAAAUUAAAUCGAAUAAAAAUAAUUGAAAAUUUUAAAAUUAAAAGCUAAAUUAAACUAAAAUAAAUAAAAAAAAUUAAAUCGAAUUUUCAAAUUAAUUUAAUUCGAUUAAUUUUUUUAAUUUAAAUCGAAUACUACUCCCACCAAUUGUAGAACUGAUUAGACUAAUAAUUGGAACAGUGAAUCAGUAAAAGAAAAAAUAAGAAGAAGAAUACUAUAAAUUUAUUUUAAAAUUAUAUAACCAAGGUUAAAUUGUCUAGUUUAAUUGGCUAAAAAAUAGAUGACUUGAUUUCAAAAUUUUAGAUUUCGAGUCUUAUUCCUUUUCGUAGUGUAUUUAAAUAUUAAAAAAAACAUACAUAAUAUUAUUUAAUUUCAUUAAGUUUUCUUUUUUUUUUUAUUAAAUGGUUAUUUAAUUAGUUUAUAUUUUGAUUUUAUUAGUUACCUAAUUAUAUAUAUAUAUGUCAGUUAUGCUAUAAUAAAUAGUAAUUAUUAUUAGGCAAAUUACAAUAUUUGAAAAUCUAUUUAUUAUACAUGCCUAUACUUUUAUAUGUUAUAUACAUAUAAUUUUUGUUUUUAUUUUUUUAUAGAAUAAUUGUGAUUCUCAAAUUAUUAAUAUUAUUUAAAAAUGAUAUUUUUAUAUAUUAUAAAUCUUUAAUAUAUCAAGAGCAUUUUUUUUAUAUAUAUUUGAAAAUAUGAAGAUAUCACAUAAUUUAAUCAAACUUUAAAAUUUUAUAUCUUUAAUCAAUAAAAUUGUGUAAAAUAUAAUUAGUGAUCAUAUUGUCCGCUUGAUAGGUUGGUAUCUUAUUCUUUGCAGCAAUUUGGGCCGUUGAUAUUGAGAUUGUGGUGAAUCCAUUCCUAAAUACAUAAAUUGAUAUUUGAUAGGCAACUGAUUACAAUUCAAAUCAAAGUUUAAAAUUAGAGCUGGUAUAGCCGAUGGAAAUUAUUCUGAUAGGAAGAUUUUUAAUCAAUUAUUCUGGUAGGAAAAAUUAAAAUAAUAAAAUAAAUUUGAUUUGCAAUUAUUCUGAUCAAAUCCAUAAAAAAAAAAAAAAAUUCUUAUACGGAUCAAGAGAAGUGAAUUCAUAUAUUAUUGGUUUUGUCAAAUAUAAAAAUUUAAAAUAAAAUUUAUUUAUUUUUUUAAUUUUUUGAAAAUUUAACCUUCAAGCAAUUUCCAAUUAUUUAUAUGAUUUGUGAUGUAAGAAUGGCACACACCAUUAAUACUUAAAACAUAAAAUAUAUAAUUUUAUGUAUCCAUGAGGGAAAACGUAGCAGGAAGAUUAUAAUCCUCCUAUGGUGUUACAACACAAACAGAAAAAAAAAAAAAAAAAAGGUUAAUUAUUUAGAUCGCAAUUAAGAGCACCAUUUAUUUAGUUGGAUUCCCCUCAUUAGAAUCAUCGAACUCUUUACCUAACAACAUAUCCAAGGUUGUAAGCAUAUUUGACGAGAUCUUCCAUCUCUGACAUGUCCACAACUCCAUCUCCAUUAGCAUCAGCAAGUUUGAUCCCUUGACGGGCCUUUUGAGCAGGGAACAUGGCACCGAGAUAAUUGAAAGCUUGUCUAAUCUCUUCCCUGCUAAGAACAUUGUCUCCGUUCAGGUCGAACUUCAUGAAAAUUUGCCUCACUUGGUCUUCAGUCAGGGGAACAGGAGCACUUUUGUAGUUGUUGGUACGGAAGGGAUUGGAGGGAACAUAAUAUGAACGUGGUGGUGGAGGAGUUGGAUUGCUUGGAAACCAAACAUCUUGGGGAACAGCAGGAGAUGAUCCCCAGAAACCAACAGCUGCAGGCUUGUCAUCACACAUUGAGGGCUUCUCCUCAUUCGUUGGCUGAUGGUUUGGGUAAUGAUAAGGAGUGAUGUUGUAUUCUCGGGAGUAUUGCAUAGAGUAAGCCAUGAUUUUCAAGUGGUUGAGUUCGUAGUUUUAUUUAACUUGCGAUGGAUUUGAACCCAUGGAAGCAACGCUUAUUUAUAAGGAGUUCGUAGUUUUGUUUUUUUUUCCCCACUUGCAUGAAUAAUAUUCUAAGUUAUCUUUGCGAAAAGUGGAACUACUUUUUGGCAAAUUCUAUAUGCCUUUUCUUUUUUUUUUUUUUUUUUAUUAAAGCAAACUCACAUAGUAUAGAUUCUCCACGUGUCCUACAACAUAAAAAUUCUCCACCACCAAAAUGAAAAUGCAAAUAUUCCUAAAUUUAGGAGACAAUUUAUCUCUCAAUACAAAGUAAGCUAUAUAUUUUUCUUAAACGAGUGAUAUGUGAUAUUUUUUAAUAAGAGUAUUAUUUAUUAUUUUUAUUGAGAAUUAAUAAAAAAUUUUCACUUAAAUUUAAAAAAAUUUACUAUAUAUUUUUUGUGACAUUAAAAAAACUCAUUAACUUAUUAUAUUGAUUCUGAAUAAUAUAUUAUGAUUUUUUAGAGUUUAAAAAAUUUAUUAAUUAAUUAUUUUAUUAGUUUUAAUUAUUUAAAAAAAAUAUGAUCCGUAGGUCUCAUUUUUAUAAAAAUAUUUAUUAACUAUUUAAUAUUAAAAAUAUUUAAAUUUUUUUAUAAUAUAAAUUAAUUAAUAAAAUUUUUAAAAUUUUAUAGAUAUUUUAAUUAAUUUUUAAAAAUUAUUAAUAAAUUGAAAUUACAAAUAUAAAUUUAGCAUAUUUAUAUUUCAAAGUAUUAUUUUAUAAAUUUGGUUAUAAUCGAUAUUUAAAAAAUUCCAAUACAUAGAAUUAGAAAUUUUUAAGUUUUUAUAAUAAUAACCAAUGAAAAUAUAUACACUUAUAAAUUAAAAAAAAAAACAAUUUCUAAACAAUCUCAUGAAAAAAAUUCAAUAAUUUAAGAAAUAAAUUUUUUAAAUGAGAAAAAUAUUUAAAUAAUGAUUACAAAAAUCAUUAUUAAUUAAUUCUAAAAUUAUUUAUUAAAUUAGUAAAUUAAAUAUUAAAACGAUUCAACUUUCUAAUUUUACUAGACUAGAAAGUAUUAUCAUCUGAUCAAAUUAAUUUUUUUUAAAAAAAUUUUAAUAAAUAUUAAUUUAAUUUAUAAAUUUUUUUAAUUUUUUUUUUUAAAAUUUGAAUCCGAUCUAACUUAUCUAAAAAUUAGCUUAAAAUAAAAGUGUCUAAAACACUUCUAAAAGACACAUCACCUAUAUUCUAAAUCGAUGUGGAAUCCCCUCACGUCCAAAACUACACUGAAACAUGACAUAUUUAUGAGAGAUUUAAUUUCGGUGGAAAACUCUAAUACCAUGUUCAAUUUGGGUCAAACCUAAUUUAUCCCAAAAAUUAGUUUAAGGAGGGAGAAGUGUUUAAAACUCUUAUAAAGGCUAUAUUGAUUUUAUUCUAAAUUGAUAUGAAAUUUAAAAUUUUUUAUUAGCUAAAAAACUUAUAAAUUUUAUUAACAUGAAAAGAACCAUCAAAAGAGGCUCUCAGAAUCAGCAAGUGAACUCCAUACAUCCAUCUUAAACAAACUAGCAACGUCUAAUGAUGAAAAAUACCUUAAAAGAAACACAAAAGGAAACAAAAACAAAAGCAAGGCAACAAAGUCGUACAAUCUAAGACUUCCAGAUUUAGCAGGAUUAUCAGUAAAGCAAUUUGUUUCCCCUUUUGAGGAUGGAUGAAAGUCACCGUUGCAACAGAAUGGUCCAAGAAAUUGAGCUUAAUUUCAGAGAGGAAAAUAAGACAACCAUCUGAUUUGGAGAAACUUUGUUGAAAAGUUUUAAUUAAUUUUAUUUAAAAGAAUUACCAUCAGUUAACUAGAUUUUAUUAAAAUUUACUAGUUUUUCCUUUUUUUUUUUUUAAUUAAUCAAUUAAAAUAUUUCACAUUUUAUAAACUCAAAUAAUUUAAUCAUUCUGCCUAAAGAAUUGCUAAUCAAUUUAUUUUAAUAUUAAUUAAAUGGACUAAAUUGUAUAAAUAUUUAUCAAUUAUGGUGACUAAAUAACAUAGAACUGAACAAUAUAAAUAUUUGAUAACUCAAAGAUCCACGAGAAACUAAAUUAAGGAAAGUAAAUAUUAUAGAUGAAUUUAGUAAAUGAGGGUAAUAAUAAUUUUGAGUUGAAAAUAUUUCGAAAGUUUGCAGAAAAUCUAUGAACACUCCUAAUAAAAUUUAUUUGGUCGUAAUUUAGUAAAAGUACUAUGAGAACAUACACGUGUUUUAAUCUUAGGUGUUUUAUAUAUUAUUAAUAUCCAAGACAGCCGGUAAUUCUUUUUAAUAAAAAAAUUAAAAAAAUAAAUUUUACAAAUAUAAAAUAUUUUAAUAAAUAAUUUUUAAAUAUAAAUAAAUUAAUAAAUUUCUAAAAAUUUAAAAAUUUAUAAUAAUUUUUCAUUUUAUUUCAUUCAAUUUUGGAAUCUAACUUACCUACAUUACUGCACUAAUUAAAUUACUUUUUUUUUUUUUUGAAAUGGGGAUGGGGAUUCGAACAUGAGAUUUAUCAGGUUUAACCGAAUGCACUUAACAUCAGAUUAAGUCUGGGAGUGCACUAAUUAAAUUACUUCUAAAUAAAUAUUUUUCCUUUUAUAUAUUUUCAAUUUUCAAUAUAUAACUCACUACAGGCAUCUAUGAGCCUUUUUUUCCUGUUUCAUGGAGGGAGCUUUUAUUCUCAUCUUAAAUAUGGAUUUUUUUUUUUUGAAAAGUUAAAUAUAAUAAUGAAAAUUAGAUAAAAUCAUGGCAAUAUUCAUGUAUGAAGUUGCAUACGAAAAUCAAAUACGUAUAUGAGUAUUCUUCUGACCACUUAGAAAAUUUGAGUUUAAAUUCCUCAUCAUAGUUAAUUAUAAAAAAUUUGGAAGUUCAUUUCAUUCUUUUGUUCGUUUUGAGAAUUUCAUAAACCAAAAAAUUGAAAUUAUUUUAAUUAAAUUAAUAAAAAAUAAUUUACAAACAAUCCAAUAAAUUUAGGAUUUUUAACAGCAUACCUCAUAUUAGGUUUAAAAUGCUUAAUCAUGAUAAAUAAAUUCCUUAUAAAAUACUAACGAGUAUUUUAUAAGGAAUCUGUAAAUGCUUAUGAGAUGGAAUCUGUAAAUCCUUGAGUUUUACUAGCUCGGAGGCUCUUUUAUUUCUGAGUAUUUUCAACCAAAUCUUGUCUGUAUAAGAUUGAAGAAGCGGCAAAUCUUCAACAUCUGCUAAACAGAUUCCUGAUACUGAAGCUCAAGUCCUGGAAUGCUAAUGUCUUUGGUUUGGCUAGCCCAAAACUCUUUGAGAUUAAUUUUCUGUAGAUCUAUUCGAAAGUUUUACGAAAGUUCGUGAUCUUACAACCUCUAAACAAGCUAUUUUACAACGUUGUAAAGCUGAUAAAGAAAUAUGGCAAAUGAUAAUGUGUGUCCUUGGAGGCAUCCUAAGAGAUCAUUUGGAACAUUUUCUCUGCAUUUUCUCUUGCCCAAUAGGUAUUGAUGCCUAUAAUGCUACAGAAUUCAAAGAAAUAGCAAAGGCCUUGGAACUGCUAUGCUCAACCUCUUUUCACCCCCAUAUCGGUUCUCAUUUCUUAGUAGAAUCCUAUUCUAUAGCUGCAAUUUCUUUGGCACAAAAUCUAGAUAGCUCACCAUGGCAUCUUUCUGGCAAACUCCAAUGCUUCUUCAUUAUCUUUGUUGCCUAAGGUUAAGUUUUGUCAUACUUUGCGGAAUGGAAAAUCCAUAGCUGGCUCUCUUGAUAAGCAAGGUGUAAAUAGAUAUGAAGACUUCGUGGCUUUCCACUAGUUCUUGGUAACUUAUCGCUACUGUAUUCUAUGCCUUAUAGUUGCCUUUUUAAUGGGUUGGUGCUGGCUAUAGCUUCUUUUUUUUUUGGGUUUGGAUUUGUUUGUUUUUCUUUUGCUCCUGUUGUCAUGAUACACAUACACCAAAUGCAAAAAAAUUUGAGUUAUUGAUAUGGUUUAGGAUAUUGUAAGAAUCACAGACAGAGUUAAAACUUAAAAUACCACAAACAUUGUAUAGGUAUAUAAACCCAUGAGGGGAAAACAUAGCAGGAAGCUUAUAAGCAUACAUGUUAAUUAUUGAGGUGGCAAGAGCACCAUUUAUUUAGUUGGAUUCCCCUCAUUAGAAACAUCCAACUCUUUACCUAACAACAUACCCAAGAUUAUAAGCAUACUUGACGAGAUCUUCCAUCUCGGACAUGUCCACAACACCAUCUCCAUUAGCAUCAGCAAAUUUGAUCCCUUGACGGGCCUUUUGAGCAGGGAACAUAGCACCAAGAUAAUUGAAAGCUUGUCUGAUCUCUUCCCUGCUAAGAACAUUGUCUCCAUUCAGGUCGAACUUCAUGAAAAUUUGCCUCACUUGGUCUUCAGUCAGGGGAACAGGAGCACUUUUGUAAUUGUUGGUACGGAGGGGAUUGGAGGGAAUAUGAUAUGAACGUGGUGGUGGAGGAGUUGGAUUGCUUGGAAACCAAACAUCUUGGGGAACAGCAGGAGAUGAUCCAAAGAAACCACCAGCUGCAGGCUUGUCAUUACACAUUGAGGGCUUCUCCUCAUUCGUUGGCUGAUGGUUUGGGUAAUGAAAAGGAGUGAUGUUGUAUUCUUGGGAGUAUUGGAUAGAGUAAGACAUGAUUUUCAAGUAGUGAGGGGAUUAAAGCAGGUAUUGAGUUUGUAGUUCUAUUGAACUUGCUAUUGAUUUGAAUCCAUGGAAGCAAGCUUAUUUAUAAGCUACUCCAGGUUUUUUUUUUCUUUUUUUUUUUUUUUCUUUUUUCCCACUUGCAUGAAUCAUAUUCUAAGUUAUCUUUCUGAAAAGUGGAUUCUAUAUAUCACAGAUAAGGAACUACUUUAUCUGACAAAUUCUAUAUGCCUUUUUCUUCUCCAUAAAGUAUUUUGAAAUGCAUGCAUGCCGUUUCUUUUUUUUUUUUUUUUCUUUUCCUGAUUAGAUUAUGGCAUUAAAUUGAUAAUCGCGGUGAUGAUUUAAUGUUAUUUUGUAAUUUAAAGAUUCAUAUGUAAAAUAAUUUAUCUUAUUCUUUGCAGCAAUUUGGGCAGUUUAUAUUGAGAUUGUGGCGAAUCCAUCCCUUUCAUGUACAAGAGGGUUCAAAGCUGUGAGUUUAUGUAGUUCUCAAUAUUCUUUUCCUGCUUACAAAUAAAAAUAAAAAUUAUUAUCUAAUCUGUAUGAUAUUGAAAAAAUAAUUUAUAAGCCUCUUAACUUUUAAAAAUAUAUUAAAAUUUUUAUAUAAUUUUUAAAAUAUCUAUUGAAUUUUUUUAGAAAGGCGUAAAAUUAAUAUGUAAAGUACCUAAACCUUUUUAUGUUAAAAAGUAAUUUUAGAAGAGUAAUUUAAAAAAAAAAAUUGUUCUCUAAUCUUUUGUGCUAAAAGUAAUCAUUUUCAAGUUAGCAGCAUGAGCCUUUUAAUAGAUUAUCAAAAUUAUUGGAAGGUUUUAAUUUACUUUUAAAAAUUAAUAGCUCAAUUAGUUAAUUUUUUUUAUAUUUAAAAAUUAAAUAAUAAUUUUAUAAUAGAAAUUUAAUAUUAUUUUCUGAAUAUAUUUUAUUAAGCAAGCAAGAAAUCUGAAGAGAAAAAAAUAAGAAACAAGAUAAUUAGAAAAUAAAAUCCUCUAAGACUUGAUACAUAUUGGGGCCUACAAUGUAGGAAUUUUUUUUUCUAAUUAAAGCAAACUUACAUAUUUAUAUUCUCCAUGUGUCCUAGAACGAAAAAAAUUCUCCACUCACACACCACCAAAAUGAAAACGCAAAUUCCUUAAAUUAAUCUGUUUUUUAAAUUUUUGUUAAGGUCCAAAAGACUGAAGAGGUAUAUGAUGCAAAGUCAAAAGACUAAGAGAAAUACAAAUGAAAACACUCGAUAAAGCUCGAUUAAAACAACUCAAAAAAAUAAAAUCAAACAAACAAACCAAAUUAAAAAAAAAAAAACAAUUAAAUACAGAACCAAAUAAUCAGCCACUGAUCCACCGCACAGCCUACUCGGCUUGGAAUUCAGCAAUAAGAGACAUCAUCGGCCAUAUUAGCGGCAAUACAAACAACCUGAAAAAACUAAAAAGACUCAACACACCAACAAAAAAGCAACAUGCAAACAAUAUCAAGACAGAAAAAGUCCAUGACAAAGUAUUUUUAAAACUUCUUUAAGAUAGAAAACACUAGCAUAUCCGAGGAGGAGAUGACGAUAGAGUUGACGAUUCUAUCUUCACCGGCGAGCGUGGUGGUCACCGGACGUAACUAUACAGUCUCAACAUACCGAAGUCACAUCGGUAAGAAGUCUCUUGAGAAAAGAGAAAUAAACCAAUUAAAAGUAGGUCUAAAGAAGCCUUUACAUGGAUACCACGAGACUUGUAAAUGAGAAAGCAAAAAACUAAAUAAAAAUCGCCAAUGUGUUCGACGAAAAUGAGGUCGUCAAACAGAAGCCAAAACUGAUGGUUUUUCUGCCUCGAAGAGUAAAGAAACCACAAUCAAAGCUACCAACAACGACCCAAUUUUAGAAACAGACAAUACCUUAUAACUAAAAGGAAGAACACUAUUGUGCACACCAAUCGAUUUCUGUCCCCCAUAUUUUUGCCCUUUUCUUCUUUUCUCAAUCUUCUCGUCUUAUUAGAGUGCACAUUUCAGUCGGUUCGGUUUAAAAUUGAAACUAAAAAUUGAAAUUUUAGUUUUUAUAAAAAUCAAAUCGAAUCGAUUUUGAUAAAAAAUUGAAUCAAAUUAAAUUGGUCUAAUUCAAUUUGAUUCGAUUCCGUUUGAUCGGUUUCAAUUUUUAAUAAUUUUUUUUUUAUUUUUUACCAUUUAUUUUUAUUAUUUUAAAAUUUAUUUAAAAUAUUUUAAUUUUAAUAAUUUUAAUAUGAUCUAAUCUCUCCAUAUUAUUGAAAAUAAUAUAUUAUUAUCACUAAUCGGUUCAGUUUGAUUUUUUUAAUUUUUUUCUGAUCAAAAUCCAACCGAACCGAAAUAAUCAAAAUUAAUAAAAAAUCAAACUGAAUUUUCAAAUUAAUUUAAUUCGAUUGAUUUUUUUAAUUUAAAUAGAAUACUCAUCACCCUUAACUCUUCAUCUAUUUAUGUAAUAGUAGAAAUACAGUUGGUUACUAUAUAUUUCAUCAAGUCUCCCUCAACCUUUUGGGAUAUAUCUCCUUAAAUUUAAGAUAUAUAUAUAUAUAUAUAUAAGCAAAUUAUUUUUCUUAAACGGUUAAAAUAAUAUCAUCUUCUAAUGCAAGUAUAAUUUGCCACUUUUAUUGAAAAUUAACAUGUAUAUUUUUUUAAUUAAAUUUUAAAAAAUUUAAUAUUUAGCCUAUAUAAUAUGCAAACUCAUUAGUAAGUCUUAAUUUUAAAAAAUACAUUAAAAUAUUUCUAAACUUUUAAAAUAUUUAUUAAUUUUUUAUUACUUUUAACCAUUAACUAUUUUAUUUUAUUUAAUUCUUAUAAUAUAAAAAAAAUUUAUUAAUUGAUAUUUUAGUUUUAUAAAGAUAUUUACUAAUUAACUUCUCUGGAUUAUUUUCACAAUAUUUAACAUUUAAAAUUAAUAAAAAAAUUAAUUGGUAAAUUUUUUAAAUGUUUAUAAAUAUUUUAUUUUUAAAAAUUAAAAAACUGACUAAUAAUUUUUCUUAUAUUAUAUAUAUGAACCAAAUAGUAUAUUUUAAAAAAAUUAAUUUUAAUUAUUAUUAUUAUUAUAACUAACUUUGUUAGCUUUAGUUAUUUAUGGUUAUUUUUAUUUAAUCAAUAUAAAUCAAAUUAAUUAUUAAUAUUAAUGAUUUUACAUAAAAAUUUUCUAAGUAAGUCCUCAACUAUCACCGUAAAAUAGGGCCAUGCAGCAAGGGUUGAGAAACUGAUAAGCAGUUUCACUCAUAGAAAGAAAGACUUGAACGACCAGCUCGAGCAACCAUCAUGCUCAGAAUUAAAAGAAAAGACCCGGCCUUAGGACAAGUCGGCUUCAGGUCAGAUAGACCCGUCCUCUUAAGCGAUAAGACGAGUCUCCGUAAGAAAGUUACUAUCUACUAGCUACAAUCUUGCAAAUCUCCUGCGAUCACGAGAUUUCCAACUAAUUAGCCAAUAAAAAUACCAUAUUUUCUUGAGAUUAUAGGAAGAAAACUGUUUUUAUUUUCUUACCUCUUGUGUAGUAAGUUACAGUGUUUAUAUAGUACGUAAUAUGAACAAUUAGACCUUUGAUUGUGCUCUCAAUUAUGUCCUAGAAUCAUGCUAUGCUAAACAUGGUAAGAUUUGAUCACUGAUUGAUUUACAAUCAUGACAGAGGAUUCUUUCCAACACUCCCCCUCAAGUUGGUUCAUGUGGAUCUAGCAUACCCAACUUGCCCAAAACCUCAUGGAAUAUUCGUCCAGCUACUGCUUUGGUUAGGAUGUCCGCCCAUUGAUCCUCUGAUUGAACAAACGGUAAAGAUAUUAGACCACUGUCCAACUUUUCUUUGAUGAAAUGUCGGUCUAUUUCAACAUGUUUUGUUCGAUCAUGAUGAACUGGAUUUUCAGAAAUGCUUAUUGUUGCCUUGUUGUCACAACGGAGUUCAGCUGCAUCCUUUGAUCCAAGCUCAAACAUCAACUUUCUAAUCCAUAGGAGUUAUGCCAGUCCUUUUGCUAUUCCCCUGAAUUCUGCAUCAGCACUUGACAGUGCCACCACCUUUUGUUUCUUACUUUUCCACGUUACCAAAUUUCCUCCUACAAAGGUGAAGUAUCCUAAAGUAGAUCGUCUGUCGGAGAGAUCUCCUGCCCAACUUGCGUCCGUAUAUCCACUGAUACUGAAAUGACCAUUCUUUUUGAACAACAUGUCCAUCCCAGCUGUUCCUUUCAGAUAUCGAACGAUUCUCAAUGUUGCCUCCAUAUGGUCUUGUUUUGGAUUAUGCAUGAACUGACUUACCAAACUCACAGCAUAUGCCACGUCUGGUCUGGUGUGUGAUAAAUAAAUCAGUUUUCCUACCAGUCUCUGGUACCUCCCCCUGUCUGUGGGUCCUUCUUUUGAGUCCUUGCUCAACUCGUGAUUGACCAUUACUGGAGUAUCGACUGGUUUGCAAUCUAUCAUUCAUGUUUUAGUUAACAGAUCAAGAAUGUACUUUCUCUGUGAUAUCAAAAUUCCCUGGUCUGACCUGAGAACUUCGAUUCCAAGAAAAUAUUUUAACAUCCCUAGGUCUUUCAUCUCAAAUUCUUGGAAUAAGUUGUCCCUCAGUUGUUUGAUUUCAUCCACAUCGUCUCCAGUUAUAAUCAUGUCAUCCACGUAUAUAAUCAAACACGUGAUCUUCCUUCCUUGCCUCUUCAAGAAUAGAGUGUGAUCGGAGUUACUCUGUCGAUAUCCAUUGUAACACCCCGGAAACCGGUACCUCUCUGUAUCGGCCUAAAGUGCUCGGCACUAGGAUCCAGAUCGGCUUAAGGCUGCCUAGACCCGUAAUAAGCCUGCUAUGAACUCUGUGUACCUGGUAAAAUCCCAUACAUGAUCCAACUCGACUACUAAGUUUUACUUUCUUUCUCUGUAAAAACUACCAGACUUAACCUUUAAAACAUCAGACAUCUCAAUCUGAAAUAGCCCUCAGGGCUAAACCAGUGAUACUCUACCAAGUAACCUCCAUGCACUAUGCUCUGAAACAUAGAACCCACUCUGUAGGGUCAGCAUAUCAUAAGUUAACCUUGGCUACCAUAGAGUCACAGGAUUCAAACCUGGUCUUCUCUAAUGGCCUCUCUAUGGGUCACAGGAAUCAAACCUGAUCUUCCCUCUGCACUGGUCUUGGGUCAAGGGAAUUAAACCCUGUCUUCCCUCACAGUUAUAAUUCACUGGGUUUUCGAAACACAACAUCUAUUAAGUCUGGUUUGACUCAUUUCUCAUCAAGAAACAUAAAACAGGAUACAUGCAUACACUAGGGAUCAACAUACUAUAAAGAUCAACAUACACUAAAAGCAAAGCACAUUCUAACUUAUACAUACACGAUCUUACUAACUAUUACAUGCCUUUACAUCUAUCUCUUUAAUUUACAUCAUGUCCACUACUCUAUUACACAUGCAAUACUGGAGCCAACACUCUGAUGCUUCUGACUCCCCAGCUAACUCUGUACCUGCAAAACUGGGAUUAAGGGAAAGGGAUGAGCUAUAAAGCCCAGUGAGUAGAAACACUGAAAACAGUUCAUUCAUACACACUUUAUAUGAAAUGUGUCACAACUCAAACAUUCCACAUCUUGGAUUAGACAUGACCUCAAAACUCCCUCUGUCGGCACCCGAUUCCCGUAGGAACUCACACAGGAUUUUCACUGCCAUGACAGAUCGUGGGCUAUUGAUGUCGCCUUGGUCCAAUCCCCACUAUCAAUCAAUAAUGCAAUGCACCAUAUUCGUGAUUCUCAUGCAAUCACCCUAAUACAUAACAUGGUAUCCAUGAUGCAUGAACUAUGCUAACGCAUUCCAUUUUCUCAGUAUAAAAGAUUAAGUUUAGUUCUACUCACCUCUGCUCCUCUAGCAGCUACUGUACUGACUCUGAAAUCUCUAACUCUGAUGACCUCCUCGAACUCUAGGGUCCAAACCUACACAAAUGGACUCGCAUGAGGUGUCAAACAGACUCUGAAUAACUCUUAAACAAUUCCCCAUAAUCCCCUCUAAACCUCUGAAAAUAAUUACAUAAAUCAUGCAAAAAAAGGCUGAACAGAACACAUUCGGCGGCAGGUUCGGCGGCCGAAUGUCCUCUCCAGAGCCGAAACUCAUGCAUGUUCGGCGGCACCUUCGACGACCGAAUGUGCAUGACAGAUCCGAAAGUCCAUUCUUUCGGAGGCAACCUUAGGCAGCCGAAACGACCUCCUCAAGGGGUUCGGCGGCCGAAUCCUCCCUUCGGCGGCCGAACCUGAGUUCAUCCAGAACUUAGUUUCGUGCAUGAACAAGCCUGCCAAGCACCAACUCCACUCCACAAGAGGUUCGGCGGUCGAAGCUGGGUUCUCCAGAAGGCAGAACCUUGCUUCCUCUCAUGCACAACCUCUCCAAACUCACUCUAACAUGCAUAACUCAACUCCUCAACUCACAUAUAUUAUGGUAUAUGCACAAAGGGGUCCAAACUACCUAUUAACCCCAACAAAACAACUAACACAACACAUAAUCAUGCUUUCACCAUGAAAACAUCAAAACUAAACUCUAAAACCUAAACAUGCAACUCUACCCUUAACCUCUUUAAAAGCCGUUAAACCAAGAAAACAAGUAUAAAGACCUCUCUUACCUCCGGAAACUAGAAGAGGAACAACUUGCACUCAGCAAAUCCCCUUCACAAAGCUUCAAACCACCAAAACCUCUCUUUUCUCUCAAAACCUUCAAGACUCGUUGAAACACACUCAACCCUCUGCACGAGCUGAUAAAAGCUUGCAGAUGAGUCAAGGGAGACGUGGCCUAACCUCUGGUCAUGAUCUGGAGGUGAACACCUGGCCAAACCACGGACUGAGGAGCGUGCACAACUUACCGACCACCUCAGCUUCGGCUGCCGAAACUGCAUGCAAAACCAUGCAACUUUCGGGGGCCGAACAUAACCUUCGGGGGCCGAACAUUGGGCACUUUCGGCGGCCGAACUUAACCUUCGGGGGCCGAACACGACAGAAACUCCUUUGGCCAAUUCUCCACAAAACUCAACUCUCCACAAAACUCAACUCUUUUCUUAAUCAAAAGCUUAAAACAUGUUAAAACAUUUUAGAACAAACUUACUUUGACCCUUCUAGAAUCUCUGACAGCUCUGAAUUCCACCGGACGGUAAGAAUUCUGAUGCCUGAACUAGCCGGGUAUUACAAUCUUUCCCCCUUAAAAACAUUCGUCCUCGAAUGUUAAAAAACACACAAGAACAAACAAAACCGCAAACUAUUCCUGAACUUCACAGCUUUCGCUGCGCUACUCUGAUCCUUAUCCUUCUCUUUCUUUUUAUCUUUUCUCAACUGUCCUCUUUUCCCUCUUAACUCAAAUAAUCUCUCUGUGAAACUCUCUCUCUUUAAUUCUCAACAGAUCAUAUACCCAUAUCUGUACUCUGAUCAUACCAAACUGUAAAUCCACUCAUCUUUGAUUAGAACAGUUAGUAGAUCAACAAUUCUAACUAGGAACACCUGUCCUUAGUAGGGACUUUGUUAACUGUGUACAGUCAUAACAAAAUCUCAAGAGUCUAUCCUUCGUUUCCCGCAACAAUACUGAAAACAUUCCAGGGUGAGGUACUAAGUCAGAUAAAAUCUUUAUCUACUAAGCUUCUAUACUAUUCUUACAAUUCUUAACUCUCUUUCUCUCUCUGCAGGUGCCAUCCUGUAGGGAAAGGAAAGAAAUGGUUCCGCGUCCAGACACCACUCUCGUUCCAAACUCUAGUUCCCUAACAGAUGGAAAACCUGACAGCUCGUCUAGGAAACAUCUAGUACUCACUGGCAAUAGGCACUGAGGCUAAUUCCCUGUCCUGACUUUUAAACAUGCUCACACGAGCUAGAAUCUUCUGAUAACCUUUCCUUUGUAGCUAUGAGCCUGAUGGGCUGAUAUCAAACCUCUGAGCAUCUAUACUCUGGACUCUGUCCUGUCUAAGGACUACCACUGAUCCAUCCUGUACUCUGACCUUUCUUACUUUCACUCUGUUGGCACAAGAAGUACCAUGAGUAGUUAGCCAAUCCGCCCUAGAAUGACAUCACACAGUCAAAUCUAGAACCAUAAGGUCAGCUGGAUCGCAUCUACUCACCUCUACGCUGAACUGAACGGACUGACUCUGCCUCUGAUGGAUCAUACUCAGGUCUACCGACCCAAAGAAAACACUCUAAGCCCAGAAGUCAUCAAACCCCCUCUAUCAAUGGCUCACUAAGCAACAAGGAAAAUGAAACACUGGGUUUCAAAACAACCAGCAUACACAUCCAAGCACUUCUAAGUGAACGUAUCUCACGUCACCGUGCAUAAUGUGUUAGCCGCCUACUAAAUCAGGAUGAAGAUCCAAGCUAAAGCUAAUGGAACUUCCCUCGGGAAUCUACUAAAGAAAAGACUGACUCUUUUCUCUGCCUCAACUACCAACUAAUCCCAGACUGACUUUAUCCUCUUUCUACGCUCACUCUUACUCCUCUUUCUUUUGAGAAAUCAAUUCUCACGAUUCUUGGGUUUAUAACAACCUGAGAUAUUAAAAUCUCACAGCAACUUUUUCUAGCUUUUCUUUGAUUCACUAAUCCUUUAACUAUUAACUCUUCUCUGAAUCUUUGCCAUAAAACUGACAUCCUACUAGGAUCCUCACAAACAUACCUCAGAUUACUCAAAACAAAAUGAGCAUACCUGGCGCAGAGGUAUCAGAUGUGUCUGCCUCUCUUCCUUGCCUAUUGGCUUGAGCCACUCUAUCUGCUAAAGUCUGCUGGGACUGAACUAUCCAGGGCGCAAUAGGACACUCACGCAUCAUAUGCCCCUCCUGACCACAUCUAUAACAUCCUGUUGUCCCUGCAAGACAAACUCCCUUAUGCAUUCUUCCACAUCUCUCACAUUUUGGUUUACCUCUACCAGAACUUGGACCAGCUCCACUAGUCCCUAACUCCUUAUUCUCAGACCCUUUAAAACCUCUCACCUUUUUCUUUCUAGUUCUCCCCCACUUCACUCCUGUCCAAGUGGCUGUACUCCAAGUGGAAAGUUCAUUCGCUCCUACACCUGACAUUUUAGUCUCCCUGAUCUGAUCAUCUUCUUCUACCAUAUUUACCUGUACACCAAUAUCCCUUCUUUGUACACCUACCUCUAUCUCUCUCCCGUCUCCUAACAUUCCUUUUCGGUCCAUUUCUUCUCUAUUUUCCUCACAAGACCCUUCAGACGGAUCUGAUUCCACAGAACUACUCAUCUUAGUUCUCCUUAAGAACAACACACAAAGAAACAAACAUUAGCACACAUGUUCAUAUGAAACCACAUGAACGUACAAUAUAUACAUGCAUACAUAGCAUAACAUUAAUACCCAUGAAUAUACAUGUGUAUUUCACAUCAGCAUGCAAAACAACUUCCUAUCUUAGUGGACAUGAUUCUACUUAUUGUGCUUUGCCUUUCUAUGACUCUAAACCAACCUCUUUCCGAUGUGGGAUCUCUCUAAUCCUUGAACAAACAUGCUCAACACACCGUACUUAGGAGGUCCUAUGCUCUGAUACCAACUGUAACACCCCGGAAACCGGUACCUCUCUGUAUCGGCCCAAAGUGCUCGGCACUAGGAUCCAGAUCGGCUUAAGGCCGCCUAGACCCGUAGUAAGCCUGCUAUGAACUCUGUGUACCUGGUAAAAUCCCAUACAUGAUCCAACUCGACUACUAAGUUUUACUUUCUUUCUCUGUAAAAACUACCAGACUUAACCUUUAAAACAUCAGACAUCUCAAUCUGAAAUAGCCCUCAGGGCUAAACCAGUGAUACUCUACCAAGUAACCUCCAUGCACUAUGCUCUGAAACAUAGAACCCACUCUGUAGGGUCAGCAUAUCAUAAGUUAACCUUGGCUACCAUAGAGUCACAGGAUUCAAACCUGGUCUUCUCUAAUGGCCUCUCUAUGGGUCACAGGAAUCAAACCUGAUCUUCCCUCUGCACUGGUCUUGGGUCAAGGAAAUUAAACCCUGUCUUCCCUCACAGUUAUAAUUCACUGGGUUUUCGAAACACAACAUCUAUUAAGUCUGGUUUGACUCAUUUCUCAUCAAGAAACAUAAAACAGGAUACAUGCAUACACUAGGGAUCAACAUACUAUAAGGAUCAACAUACACUAAAAGCAAAGCACAUUCUAACUCAUACAUACACGAUCUUACUAACUAUUACAUGCCUUUACAUCUAUCUCUUUAAUUUACAUCAUGUCCACUACUCUAUUACACAUGCAAUACUGGAACCAACACUCUGAUGCUUCUGACUCCCCAGCUAACUCUGUACCUGCAAAACUAGGAUUAAGGGAAAGGGAUGAGCUAUAAAGCCCAGUGAGUAGAAACACUGAAAAUAGUUCAUUCAUACACACUUUAUAUGAAAUGUGUCACAACUCAAACAUUCCACAUCUUGGAUUAGACAUGACCUCAAAACUCCCUCUGUCGGCACCCGAUUCCCGUAGGAACUCACACAGGAUUUUCACUGCCAUGACAGAUCGUGGGCUGUUGAUGUCGCCUUGGUCCAAUCCCCACUAUCAAUCAAUAAUGCAAUGCACCAUAUUCGUGAUUCUCAUGCAAUCACCCUAAUACAUAACAUGGUAUCCAUGAUGCAUGAACUAUGCUAACACAUUCCAUUUUCUCAGUAUAAAAGAUUAAGUUUAGUUCUACUCACCUCUGCUCCUCUAGCAGCUACUGUACUGACUCUGAAAUCUCUAACUCUGAUGACCUCCUCGAACUCUCGGGUCCAAACCUACACAAAUGGACUCGCAUGAGGUGUCAAACAGACUCUGAAUAACUCUUAAACAAUUCCCCAUAAUCCCCUCUAAACCUCUGAAAAUAAUUACAUAAAUCAUGCAAAAGAAGGCUGAACAGAACACAUUCGGCGGCAGGUUCGGCGGCCGAAUGUCCUCUCCAGAGCCGAAACUCAUGCAUGUUCGGCGGCACCUUCGGCGGCCGAAUGUGCAUGACAGAUCCGAAAGUCCAUUCUUUCGGAGGCAACCUUAGGCAGCCGAAAGGACCUCCUCAAGGGGUUCGGCGGUCGAAUCCUCCCUUAGGGGGCCAAACCUGAGUUCAUCCAGAACUCAGCUUCGUGCAUGAACAAGCCUGCCAAGCACCAACUCCACUCCACAAGAGGUUCGGCGGCCGAAUCUUUACUUCGGCGGCCGAAGCUGGGUUCUCCAGAAGGCAGAACCUUGCUUCCUCUCAUGCACAACCUCUCCAAACUCACUCUAACAUGCAUAACUCAACUCCUCAACUCACAUAUAUUCUGGUAUAUGCACAAAGGGGUCCAAACUACCUAUUAACCCCAACAAAACAACUAACACAACACAUAAUCAUGCUUUCACCAUGAAAACAUCAAAACUAAACUCUAAAUCCUAAACAUGCAACUCUACCCUUAACCUCUUUAAAAGCUGUUAAACCAAGAAAACAAGUAUAAAGACCUCUCUUACCUCCGGAAACUAGAAGAGGAACAACUUGCACUCAGCAAAUCCCCUUCACAAAGCUUCAAACCACCAAAACCUCUCUUUUCUCUCAAAACCUUCAAAACUCGUUGAAACACACUCAACCCUCUGCACGAGCUGAUAAAAGCUUGCAGAUGAGUCAAGGGAGACGUGGCCUAACCUCUGGUCAUGAUCUGGAGGUGAACACCUGGCCAAACCACGGACUGAGGAGCGUGCACAACUUACCGACCACCUCAGCUUCUGCUGCCGAAACUGCAUGCAAAACUAUGCAACUUUCGGGGGCCGAACAUAACCUUCGGGGGCCGAACAUAACCUUCGGGGGCCGAACAUUGGGCACUUUCGGCGGCCGAACUUAACCUUCAGGGGCCGAACACGACAGAAACUCCUUUGGCCAAUUCUCCACAAAACUCAACUCUCCACAAAACUCAACUCUUUUCUUAAUCAAAAGCUUAAAACAUGUUAAAACAUUUUAGAACAAACUUACUUUGACCCUUCUAGAAUCUCUGACAGCUCUGAAUUCCACCGGACGGUAAGAAUUCUGAUGCCUGAACUAGCCGGGUAUUACAUCCAUUUUUCUUCAUUGCUUGAGUAAAUCUCCCAAACCAUGCUCUGGGUGACUGUUUCAACCCAUACAAGGCUUGCCUCAAUCGACACACUUCUCCCCUUCUAUAUCCACUCAUGAACCCUAGUGGAGCAUCCAUGUAUACUUCCUCUUCCAGAUCACCAUGCAAGAAAGCAUUUUUUACAUCAAAUUGGUGAAGUGGCCAGUCUAGGUUUGCAACUAGAGAGAAUAGGACUCGUAUUGUAUCAAUUUUUGCUACUGGAGAGAAUGUUUCAGGAUAGUCAACUCCAUAAGUCUGAGUAUAUACUUUUGCUACAAGUCUAGCUUUAUAUCUGUCCACCAUUCCGUCUGACUUGUACUUUAUGGUAAACACCCAUUUGCAUCCCACUGGUCGUUUUCUCUUAGGUAGCCAGCAUUUUUUCCAGGUCUUGUUUUUCUCCAGGGCAUCCAUCUCGGUCUCCAUCGCCUCAACCCAUCUUUUGUCCUUCUGGGCCUCUGUGGCAUCCUUUGGUAUCCAUUCUGAGCAAAUAUUUUUUUGUAGGUUGACCAACUGAGGUGAUAGUUUUUCUCCUCUGGUAACGUUUGCCACAUGGUAUCUAGACUUGGCUGCCUCGAAUUCUGGAUCAUAUCUCCUGGGUGGAAUUCCUCUAUUAUUCCGAGGGGGUAGAAUAUAUUGGCCUGUUUCAGGAACCUCAAGGGAAAUGGGUUCACUGGUGAGGUUAUUAGGAACAGGGAAAAGUUCAGAUUCACAUACCUCAGUUGUGUGUUCCUCAGGAUAUUCUACGGUGUCAGGUUCUGGUUGUGACAUUGAGGCCGAGGACUGUACUAAAUGGUCAGUGUCUCCCGGUUCUGGUGUAGACUCAAGAAGGGAAGAAUGAUCAAGUUUUGGCCCCCCCCCCCUGACUAAGCCAAUUUGGCAGUGGUGGUGAUUGUGCCGCUGUCUCCCCCUCACUGCUAGUUGGCGAGGGAAAAAAAUAUUCCUCUUCCAGAAAGGUGCAGUCCAUGGUGGUGAAGAUCCGUUUAGAGAUUGGGUCAAAACACCGAUAACCCUUUUUAUGUACACCAUAUCCAAAGAAAACACAUUUAAGAGCACAUGGAUCAAGUUUAGUGCGGUGUGUUUUAGGAAUGUGAACAUAAACUGUGCAGCCAAAAAUUUUAGGUGGAAGGUUGAGAUGGGAAGGGAUGGUAUGAUGAGAGGACAAGGUAUGCAAGGGAGAUUGGAAAUUAAGAACGCGAGACGGAAGUCGAUUGAUGAGGUAAAUGGACGUGGCAACUGCUUCAGACCAAAACUUAGGAGGAACUUGGGCUUCAAACAAUAGGGCUCGGGCAAUCUCAAGAAUAUGUCGAUUUUUCCUUUCAGCGACCCCAUUUUGCAAGAUUAUAGGAAGAAAACUGUUUUUAUUUUCUUACCUCUUGUGUAGUAAGUUACAGUGUUUAUAUAGUACAUAAUAUGAACAAUUAGACCUUUGAUUGUGCCCUCAAUUAUGUCCUAGAAUUGCUAUGCUAAACAUGGUAAGAUUUGAUCACUGAUUGAUUUACAAUCAUGACAGGGGAUUCUUUCCAACAUAUUUAUCUCCAUUUUCUUAUAGCAUAAAAGGAGAACGAUAUCAGAGAUCGAAGUAUGCUAUCUUCUCACACAAAUACUCUGAACUUUAAGUAAUUUUUUACUCCCGCCUUGUUUUUCAGUUUACUGACUUGAGUAUCAGAGUGGCUGUCGUAGGUGUCAACCACCUCACACACACUUUCUCGCAGGAUUAGCCAAUCGUGCACAACAACUCAGUUCCGCUUUGGCCACAUCACCAUUUUUCAGUUCCAGCAACAUCAUUAGUUUCGCUGUCGGGAGAUCCAUUGAAUUUUCUCUGUUUAUUUGGAUUAAAACCGAUUUUCUAUCCCUUUUAUCUUAAAAGAAACCUUUUCUUUUAUUUUCUUUUGAAUGGUUGGCAUUUCACGAGUUGAUAAUAAGGUUCCUGCCAAUGAAGAUACCAUUAUAUCUUCCAUUCCUAGCAAUGAAUAAAUCACAUCUUCUAGGGUUCAUGAGCCAAAUUUUAACAAUAUGAGCACUGAGCAAAUGCUUCAGUAUGUCAGAAGAUUACGGAUUAUUUUUUAGUGGUGGAAAGCUCGGGAAGAGACGUCACUCAUGGCUCCUAAAACAAGAGAGGAAGUCUCCAUUGAUACCUUAAAGUCUCGGCCAGGAGCAAUCCAGACAUGGUCCAAAGGGAAGAACAAGAUCGAGGAAGAUGAGGUAUCAGACGAUGCUCCGAAAGACAUCGACCGGAGGCUAAUACAAGCUACUCCAAUGUACCAGGGAGGAUAGAAAGAAAAUAAAAAGAUGAGCCAAAAGCAAGACCAAAAGUAAAAAAAAAAAUAAAGAUAUGAGAGAGAUCACAAAAGUGACCAAGUCUCCCAAAAGAGGGAGAAUCAAAGUAAGUGUAAGAAUUAUAGUCCAUUGAAUGAUUUAUGAAUACAUAUUCUAAUGUGGAUUAGGAAGAGUGACAGGUAGGUCGGGUGGCCUCUCAAGCUCAAUCCAAAGGAAGCUGAAAAGCGAGAUAGGACUAGAUAUUACUGUUUUCAUAAAGACCAUGGAUAUAUAAUAGAGGAGCGCAGGCAUUUGAAAUGCGAGAUCGAAAGGUUAAAAACGGCACACUUCGAAAGUUCAUCAGAAAGAGUAGAAAAGAUAAGAGGUCUAAACUCGAGAUCACAAUUUCCAAAAUCACCCUUGACAGUAAACCUAUGAAAGAUUAUUCAUGUGAUUUAAGGAGAACCGAAGUUAAUAGGGGACCCCUGAAUCAAACUCUAAGAUUUUGAUAUUAGUCAAGUUAGAUAACCGAGUCUUUUAUUUUAUUUCUAAAAAGAGGUAAUUCGUGAAAAAUAUUAUAAAUAAAAGUAUUAUGUAUUCUUUAACAUUUUCUUUUAUCAAAAAAAUUGGAUGGAUAAAAGUGUGGAGAUAGAACCAAAGGCCAUAAGGCCGUCCGGACAGGGUCUCAGACUGGGCAUGGGUCCCACACAUAUAUUAGUCUUUGAAAACAAAUGCCACAAGGCUAUCCGGACAGAGGUCCCAGAUCGGGCAUAAGUUUUGCACAUAUUUUAGGCAUUGGUCCGCAGAAACAAAGAUCACAAGACCAUUCAGCAGAGGUCCCGGAUCGGGCAUGGAUCCCGCAUCAUAAUUUGGACGUUGAUCCACAGAAACGAACUCAUAAAAGCAAUGGAUAACUCAUCAGCAAUUGGACGAGUGUCGCUCAUGUAUUCGGCUACAGGGUGACUGCCUUUGGUGAUACGAGCAAGUUGGUCUUGUAAAUGAAUGAUUCGGGUUUGAGAUUUGCUGCCAAAAGCAGUUUGAAGAGAGGUCCAUACUUUGCAAGCAAUGGAAGCAUUUGUGAUCGAAUAAGCAAGUGUGGGAACAACAGAAGCUAAUAUGGCAUUAUGAACUAAUUUAUCUUGUUGAAACCAUUUCUGGUAAGCCGGAUUGGAAGUAGUAUUGUUGUCAAUAGUGAUUGUUUAUGGUGGGGCAGGGAAGCUACCAUCUAGAUAGCCAUGAAUAUUGUGUCCAUACAUUGAGCAUGGAGACUUGGGAUUUCUAAGUUGUGUAGUUGCUGCUGCCUGUGAGUUUGAGAGGUAACUGAGAUGCUGGAUUAAAUUGCACUACAAUGUUAGUGCCGGUGGUGAUGUCAGAGUUGACAGCGUUUAUAGUUGAGGCCAUUAUGAGAUCGGAAACUGUGGGCGACGAAGGGAAAAAUAAAUAAAUCAAUACUCGUUGGAGUGUAUUAUUACUCUGAUACUAUAAGAGAUAUUUAAGUAAAUGGAGAAAUUUAUAUUUUAUUCAAUAAUAAAUUAAGUAUAUAUAAGUAAUAUAUUCAACACAGUUCUAAAAUAAUCUCAAUAAUAUAAUUGAAAUAUAAAAAAUAAAAAAAUAAAAAAUCAAUCAAUAAAAAUUAAAAUUAAGAAAAAUUAAAUAAAAAAAUAAUAAAAUAGUGGACUUGGUGAUCAGCAUUUGAAACAGUUGGUUAUUAAUUUGCAGCAGAAUAAAGACAUCUCUUGCUAAUUCCGUCAAAAAUAUAAAAGGAUGAACGAGGAAUUUGUGGGCUAUAUAUGAACGAGGAAUUGUGAGCCCACAAAAAUAACCUUAAUUUAAAUAUUAUUUUAUAAUUUUAAUUAUAAUAUAAUUAUAUGUUAGAAAUUCUUAAUAAUAAUUUAAGUAAAAGCCUAUUUAUGUGCAUACAGUAGUAUUAUUUUAGAAUUUUGAUUUUAAUAUAAUUAUAUUGUAAAUGGAAAUCAAUUGUCUUUUUAAAAUUAGAAUUCUAAUCAAUAUUUACAUUUAAAUAUAAACAUUUUAAUUUCAAUUUAAUUUUAUUUAAAUUUUAAAUGCCUUUAAUGGCUAAGUCUAUAAAAAAAAAAAAAGAAUUUUGAACAAUAAUAUAAAUGAAACGUUGAGAAUCUACGCAUGUAAAUUGUGGAUAGUGUAUGUGUAUAGAUUAUAUAGAAUUAGAGUGUUUAAAAUCACCAUAAUUUUAAAAUUAAUUGUUUUUUAAUAAAAAAAAUUAAUUUUAUAAAAUAUAAAAAUAUUUUAAUUAAAUAAUUUUUAAAUAUAAAUGAACUAAUAAUUUUUUACCCAUUAUAAUUCUCUCAUAUGGUUUGGAAUUUUUGUUUUAAAUGAAAAUUGAAAAUUGAAUAUUGAAAAUUGGAGAGUAGAAUUAGACAUCUAUUAGAUUUACUCAAAUACACUUAUUAUAAGACUAAAUUUGUGAGUGCAUAGUUUGGGAUAUUAUUAAAUUUUAAAAUACCACAAACAUUAUAUAAAUAUAUAAACCCAUGAGGCGAAAACAUAGCAGGAAACUUAUAAGCAUACAUGUCAAUUAUUGAGAUGGCAAGAGCACCAUUUAUUUACUUGGAUUCCCCUCAAUAGAAACAUCCAACACUUUACCUAACAACGUACCCAAGAUUAUAAGCAUACUUGACGAGAUCUUCCAUUUCUGACAUGUCCACAACUCCAUCUCCAUUAGAAUCAGCAAGUUUGAUUCCUUGACGGGCCUGUUGAGCAGGGAACAUAGCACCAAGAUAAUUGAAAGCUUGUCUAAUCUCUUCCCGGCUAAGAACGUUGUCUCCAUUCAGAUCGAACUUCAUGAAGAUUUGCCUCACUUGGUCUUCAGUCAGGGGAGCAGGAGCACUUCUGUAACUGUUCACACGGCGGGGAUUGGAGGGAAUAUGAUAUGAACAUGGUGGUGGUGGAGUUGGGUUGCUUGGAAACCAAGCAGAUUGGGCAACAGCAGGAGAUGAUCCCCAGAAAGCACCAUUUGCGGGCUUGUCAUUGCACAUUGAGGGCUUCUCCUCAUGCAUUGGCUGAUGGUUUUGGGAAUGGAAAGGAAAAGGAGUGAUGUUAUAUUCUUGGGUGUAUUGGAUAGAGUAAGACAUGGUUUUCAAGUGGUGAGGGGACUUAAACAGGUUUUGAGUUUGUAGUUUUCUUGAGCUUGGGAUGGAUUUCAAUCCAUGGAAGCAAGCUUAUUUAUAAGCUGCUCCAGGGAUUUUUUUUUUCCCCACUUGCAUGAAUAAUAUUCUAAGUUAUCUUUCUGAAAAGUGGAUUCUGCCACAGAUAGGGAACUACUUUAUGGCAAAUUCUAUAUGCCUUUCCCCACUGCAUACGGUAUUUCGUGAAAUUAUAUAUUAUUCUGAAAAGUAUACUUUCUUUUUUUCACCCAUAAUUCUCUAAUAUAUAUAGAAAAUGAAAAGAGAAUAAUAAUGAGAUUUUUAAAUUACCCAUAAUAAUUUUAUUUUGUGACUGUCCAAGAUCAAAUUUAAUUAGUUAUAUUCAAAAUUAUUUUAUUUUAUUUUUUUUAUUUAAAAAUAUUUUAGAGUUCAUAUAGAUUCAAAUUAUUUUGUAUUUAAAUUCUAUUUAAUUGUUUUAAAUAAAAUUCUAAAAAAUUAACUUUAUAGUUAAAAAUUAUUAAUUACUUGUAUAAAAAUGUAAUGUUGAAAAUAAUAGAAUUACCUAGAUUAUCCGUAAGAUUUUAUAUUAUUUACAAUGAUAUUUUUAUUAUUAAAUUAAUUUUAGAAUUCAUGUAAAUUAGUUAUUUUAAUUUAUAUAAUUUCAAUAAUUAUUUUCUUUUUAAAAUGAUGGAAAAAAAUCAAAGCAUUAGUAACUAAUUGUGUUAUUAAAAAAUUUAGUAUAUUAUUUUGUUAUAGAGAUAGAAAUAAUAUUGUUUUUAUUUAAUUAAUAUAUAUUUAUAAUGAUUACUAUAAAAAAAUUUAGUAUAUUAUUAAUAAUUGACUCACUUUUUAUAUUUUAAAAGUAAAAGAGAAUCAACCAUGUAUUAAAUAAUUAUUAUUAUUCGAUAAAUUAAAAUAUAUGAAAAUAUAUUUAUUCUACAGACUAUACUUUUAUAUGUUAUAUAUAUAUAGUUUUGUUUUCAUUUUUCUUUUUACAAUAUAAUUGUGAUUUUCAUAUUACUAUUAUUAUUUUAAAAUAAUAUUAAUUCUUUUUGAAAUUUAAAUUUUUAUUAUUUUUAAUUUAAAGAAAAAACUUAACAUAUAAGAUUCAUACUACAUUUAUAAUUAAUAAAACACCUAAAAUAUACUCAAUUUUUUUAAAUGGAAAAUAUACUCAAUUUAAAAUAUUAAGUAAAAAAUUUUAAAAAAAUUUAGAAUUAAGAAUAUUACAAGUCCAAAUAUACAAGUAGGGUUGAGUAGUAUUCGGUUCAAAUAAAAAAAAUUAAUCGAAUAGAAUUAAUUUAAAAAUUGGGUUCAGUUUUUUAUUCAUUUCGAUUCGAUUUAGUUUUUUAUUUUAAAAAUUUUGAUUAUUUCGAUUCGAUUCGCUUUUAAUAAAAAAAAUCAAAAAAAUUAAAUAAAUCAAAUCGAACUAAUUAGUGGUAAUAGUAUAUUAUUUUCAAUAAUAUAAAAUGAUUAGAUCAUAAAAUAUUUUAAUUAAAUUUUAAAAUACUUUAAAUAAAAAAUUUAUUAAAAAUUUAAAUCGAUCAAACCGAACUGAAUCGAAUUAAAUCAAUUCGAUUUAAUUUAAUUUUUAAUCAAAAUUAAUUUAAUUUAAUUUUUAUAAAUACUAAAAUUUCAAUUUUCGAUUUAUUCGAUUUGGUUCGAUUUUAAUUGUUGACCCCUGUAUGUAUAUAAAAGUAACUAUUUAAUUUAUCUUUCCAAUCCACUAAAUUCAAUCAAACCAUUGUGAAAGGAUGAUGUCUGCACCAUGGUUAACGACAUCCAAUCAAACUAUUACAAUCCACCAAUUGCUCCAAUUGGCAGAACCAGAAAAGGUUCCUUGCUAAAGAGAAGAACCAGAAAAGAGGACAAAAAUGGAAGGCAAAAACAUGGCAGCAACUGCAUCGGACUGAACCGAUGCCGUUUUGCCCCGGAUUACCCAAAGAUGAACCGUCUAUAUAUGUUACUAUUUGGUGAAGGGGAGACCAUGCUAGAGGAGGUCUGAUUUUUCUAUUGUUGGAAAAGAAACGAAUUGCAUUGGACUCUCCUGACAAUUGCAAACCAGAGUGCGGGAAGCUUUUACAAUUUCCUUUUAUCCAUAAGGAUGCAAGAUAAUGGAGCAAAGAGAAGAGAAGCAUGGGUUCGUAGCUUUAAAAGCUACUUCAUUGCCAUGAAUCCACAAGGACCACAAAAUUCUUAAAAAAGGGGCAGCACCAAAAAUUUCUCUGCAUUUUACCAUUUGCUAAAAGCUACAACUGCUUAAAAAGAUAUAUGCCACCUUUAGAGGUAGGCUAAAUUGCACCUUCAUAACCAUUGCAAAGAAAAAUACCAAACCCUUGUUGAGAAAUUACAAUGAAUAAAAACAUGAUUAACUUCCUUUUUUUCAAAAAAAAAAAUACAUGUCUUUAAAUUUAAGGGAUAUAAUUUACUCUCUUACAUUACCAAUUUAAUUUUUAAUUAGAAAAAAAAUAAAAUAAUAAAAUAAAUUUUAAUUUGUUUUGAUUCUAACCAAUUUUAUAUAUUUUUUUAGAAUUACGGACACAGUUGAUAAAAGAAAUUUAAAUACCACACAAUGGGGGAACAUAAAGCAGGAAGAUUACAAUCCUCCUAUAGUUUUACAACACAAGUAGAAAGUGAAAUAAAAGAGAAAGAAAAAAAAAAAAGUGUGGGUGGAAAUUGCAUUGCAUGAUAAUUAUUUGGGAUGGCAAGAACACCAUUUAUUUACUUUCCCCCUCCAAGUGAUUAGCAACUUGAAACUUUUUACCGAACAACAUACCCAAGAUUGUAAGCAUACUUGACGAGAUCUUCCAUCUCUGACAUGUCCACAACUCCAUCUCCAUUACCAUCAGCAAGUUUGAUCCCUUGACGGGCCUUUUGAGCAGGGAACAUUGCACCAAGAUAAUUGAAAGCUUGUCUGAUCUCUUCUCUGCUAAGAACAUUGUCUCCAUUCAGGUCAAAUUUCAUGAAAAUUUGCCUCACUUGGUCUUCAGUCAGGGGAACAGGAGAACUUUUGUAAUUGUUCACACGAUGGGGAUUGGAGGGAAUAUGAUAUGAACGUGGUGGUGGUGGUGGUGGUGGAUUGCUUGGGAACCAAACAUCUUGAGAAACAGCAGGAGAUGAUCCCCAGAAAGCACCAGCUGCGGGCCUGUCAAUACACAUUGACGGCUUCUCCUCGUACAUCGGGUGAUGGCUUGGAGGAUGAAAAGAAUUGACCUUGUCAUAAAACAUUGGCGGCCUCUCCUCGUACAUUGGCUGAUGGCUUGGGGAAUGAUAAGCACUGAAGUUAUAAUCUUCGGAAUAGUGGCGAGAAUAAAACAUGAUUGAUUUUCAAGUGCUAAGGAAACUAAAACAGGUUUCGAGUUUGUAGUUUCCUUGAACUUGCAAUGGAUUUGAAUCCAUGGAAGCAAGCUUAUUUAUAGCUGCUUCAGGCUGUUUUUUUUUCCCCACUUGCAUGAGUCAUAUGAUUCCAACUUAUCUUCCUAACAAGUGGAUUUGCACUUACCUUCAUUUUUAUUUAUUUAUUUAAUUUUGCCUUGGUGAGUGCUGAUCUUAUUAUUUGAUUCUUUUGUUAUACAUAUAAUUUACUUAUUUAUAAUUCCAUGUUCUUUUAGAUUGGUUGUUAAUAAGUAAAGGAGAACUUGAGAUGGCAAUACGUAGUGGAGAAUGUAUUACACGAGGCUCACGAUAUAAAGAUAGAUGCCUUCAAAUACAUUUCAUUUUGGACCACCUUAUUUAAUCAUCAAUGCUUUAAAUUAUCAUAAUUCUUUCGAGUUACCUGAUUUGAAAUAAAAUUAAUGAAUUAAAAUUUACUUUCUUUUUUUUAUCAUUUUUAUUAGUAAAUUAUAAUAUUUAAGAAUUCGAUUAUAAUCCAACAAUGACGGACAGCUAGAUCUAGUUCGAUUUACAGAGUGCACUAUUUUUUCCUUUGAAAGAGAUUAAAGCAAAAAAAUCUAAAAUUAAAACCAAUGGGGAAAGGUAAUGGACGGAGGGCCAGACUUCCUCCAAUUUACUCAUCUUUCUAAAAGUUUUUUUUUUUUUUUUUUUUUUGAAAUCAAUGAUUUACUCAUCUUUCUUAAUCAUAUGAUACGAAAGUUUUGGAAUAUAAUUGAAUGAAGUGGCAAAAUAUUAGUGAGAUGGAAAGUUGGCCAACAUCAUCUUCAAGGCAUUUUUCAUGUCACGUCACCAAUGAGUCCACCCUCCUUGGUCGGUUUUAUAGAUUCUUCUAAAAGUAUACUUACAUUUUUUGCUUUUAAAUCUCAAGAAAUCCCUAUCCUGUGAUUUCAAGCAAACAGUCUGAUACAAAUAAAUUUUAUAAAUAAAAAAAAAUCCUAAAAUAAAUAAUAUUAAGUUUUUUUUUUUCUGAAACAAAUAUUUUUAUCUGAUACAAAUAUUUUAUAAUUACACCAUUUUUAGAAAAUUAAAAAAUUUUAAAAAUUUCAAAAAUUAAGCAGUUAAGAUUAGAAUUGAAUGAUGAGAAUAAAUUCCUAGUGAAUAUAAAGAAAGAAAUGAGCCAAGUAUUCAUAAUAUAUUAUUUUGCUCGAUUCUCAUGAAAGAUAAAUAGUCAAAAGAAUAUUAGAAAGAAAGGGCAGUAGUGGAUUUUAUUUCAACAAUAAUGAUGGACAGAUUUUUAAAAAAAAAAAUCAAAUCAAAUGGUUCUUAUUAAUGUGAUAUAAUUUAAUUAAAAUUUUAUAAAAUAUAAUUAGUGAUCAUAUUGGUGAAUGACAAGUUUGGUAUCUUAUGCUUUGCUGCAUUUUGGGCAAUUUAUAUUGAAAUUGUGGUGAAUCCAUUCUUUUCGUGUAAUCUCUGAGUUUAUGUCUUUUCCUGCUUAAUCAUAGAAAUUUUUGUACUAUUUUCUAUUAUAUUUUAAGCAAGCAAGAAAUUGGAGGCGUAAAUACUAGAUUACAAAUUAGAUUUUUAUAUGUAAUAAUUAAUUUAUUCAAAGAGGUAACUUUCAAAAAAUCAUAGUCUAUAGGUGAAAUUAUAAUUAAUCAAUUCGAAAGUUUUAUAUUAUGAUCUAAAAUAAUAUCUUUUAAGAAACGUAUUAAUAUUAGGGUUUAAGAGUUGUGCUCGUUCUUUUUCUUUUUUAAGCUUUCAGUGAGCUUUCCAAAGAGAUGAAAAUACUUUCCUCUUUAAUUUAAUCAUGUGAUUUGUACAACCAUAGUCAACAUUCUAAAUAUCUAUUUACGUUUUACUCAACUUGCAAAAAAAUUCCCUUUAGAACUGAAAUUGAUUUUUUUUUUUUAAAAAAAAAAAGAAUCGAAAAUUGAAGAGUAGAACCUAUCAAAUUUAUUCAUAUUUACUUAUCACCAAAUUAAGUCUGUGAAUACAUAAGUUGAAAUUAAUUUAUUGAUUUUACUUUACGAUAAAAUUUUUGAAUGUGACUUUAUUUAUGACAAAAAUUACAUUCGUAUAUAUUCUAUUCUCAUGUCUAUAUGGUUUGUCUUUUCAUAAUUACUAUAAGUUAGAAAAUUUUGCAAUCUCUAUUUUCAUCUUCAUUUCACCUUUAGUCACUAAAAUAAAAUGAUUGUACAAAAUUAAUAAAUGGAUAAAUGGUAUUAAACUGUGAUUAUUUCAGCGAAAAAUAUUUUGUAUAUAUAUGAAUAAUUUCUCAAAAAAAUAACUUAGUUUAUAUUAUUAUAUUAUAAUGUUAAUAAAAAUAUUUUAUCAAAAAAUAUUUUUUAUUAAUCAAUUUUUUUAAUGCUCAAAAAUUAAAAAAAAAAGUGAAAAAUAUUUCUUUCAAAAAUGUGAAACAAGCUUGUAAUGUGAACCAAUAGGUUGCAAAGUCCUCUUCUAAUAUAUUGGCCCACAAGCUUUAGGUUCUCGUGGGCUUUUGUUUAGAUAGGUUUUGUAGGCUAACUUCUCUUUGUAGGCUGAAACCCUCAUGUACUUAUAUCAGCAAGGGGUGAGCAUUCGGUCGGUUCGGUUCAAAACCGAACCGAACCGAAUAAAUCAAAAAUCGAAAUUUUAAUGUUUAUAAAAAUCGAAUCGAAUCGAUUUUAGUUAGAAAUCGAACCGAACCAAACCGGUCUGAUUCGGUUCGAUUCGGUUCGGUUUGAUCGGUUUCGAUUUUUAAUAAUUUUUUACUUUUUUACACUUUAUUUUUUAUAUUUUAAAAUUUAAUUAAAAUAUUUUAAUCUUUAUAUGAUUUAAUUUCUCUAUAUUAUUGAAAAAACAUAUUAUUAUCACUAAUCGGUUCAGUUCGAUUUUUUCGGUUUUUUCUGAUUAAAAUUGAACCGAAUCGAAAUAACUAAAAUUUCUAAAAUUAAAAACCGAACCGAAUCGAAAUGUAUAAAAAACUGAACUAAAUUUUCAAACCGAUUCAGUUUGAUCAAUUUUUUCGGUUUGAACCGAAUACUGCACACCCCUUAUCAGCAAAUGCGUUUAUAUCUCCACAUCUAAUCUUUACAGUCAUAUCAAGACAACAAGAAUAUUUGGGUUAACAGUUAGUUUUAUUAAAUGGGUGUAUUUGGGUUGCAUCUAUUGAUCUGGGAUUUGGUUUAAGUUGGGUUUUUUCCAUUAAUUUUUAUCUAACAAAAGUUUGUAUAGAAAAAAAAUAUGAAUAACCUUGAGAAAGGAUCUCCGCAUGGAUAGGUUUAAAAUCUUAAAUAAUUUCAAUUUUAGUAUGGAAUAUGAGUAUAAUUCAAUAAUAUUAAAAUUAUAUUCAAUUUGAUCGGCAAUUUUGUCCAUGAGAAAAAAAAAAAAAAAAGUUAAUGAAAGUGCCGAAAUUUUCUUCAAAGCAGCAACAAACUUGAGGAUCAAGGUAACUGGUGGAGGCGAUAAAGGAAGGAAACAAUCCUACACAUCUUCGUUUAUCAUGAUGAAAGCCCUCAAAACAUAUUUUCUUCGUCUGCAAGUUUUGGAAUCCAUCCAUCUUAGAAAAUUAAUCAAAUCGAAGAAAAUAAAAUUUAAUUUUAAUUGAGUAAGUUGAAAAUAUAUAAUGAUUUAUUUAAAUAAAAAAAAUAAAACCUACUUAGUAUGUUGCAUUAGCAGUAAAUUUUAAUUAAUUUAAUUUUAAUAAUUCAUAUACAACACUAAAAAAAAUAUAUAAUUGAAUAAAUAAUAUCUGCUGCAUUCAAACAAGAACAGAAUUAUUCAAAAUGAGGAGAAAUUGGUUGCAUCAUUAAUUCUUAUGCAAUAAUUAACAAAAUUCUACUUUUAGUCAUUUAUAGUAUUUCCUUAUAAAGGAAACCUUUUAUUAUUAUUACUUUUUUUUGGAAAUUACAAGAAGACCUUUUAUAUAGACAUAGAAAGUGAGAAUGCAUAUAAAUUCUAUAAAAAGGAAAAAAAAAAAAAAAAAGAGAAAGAAAACAAAAAGACAGUGAGGAAUGUUUGACUGUUUCUUAUUCUGUUUAUUUCGAUUUUAUAAAUAAUGAAAUUUUAAUUUUUGAUCUAAUUAAUUUAAUUUUAAAUCUAUCUCAUUAAAUACUAAUCCAACCAAUCAAAUUUCACCCCUAACUAAUUCUUUUUUUAACGAGUUGAAUUUUGAAUGAAAAAUGUUAAUGAAAAUAAAGGAGUUAAAAUUUUCAAUUUGCUCGGUAUUUGUGUCCAUGAAAAAAAAGAAACCGUCCAUGGAGGUGCCGAAAUUUCUUUAAACAGCAAGCCGUCCACUACAGCGCAAAGUUGAGGAUCAAGGUAACUUGUGGAGGCGAUAAAGGAGGAAGACAGUCCUACACCUCUUCUUCUUUCUCUCUCAAAAAGAUUUUCUUCAUUUGCAAGUUUUGAAAUCCCUAAUUCCCUAUUUUAUCUCACAUUCUUUUUUAUUUUCGGUUGAUUAUAAUAAUAAAUUUAAUAACUGUUAAUAUAAAUAUAAAAUCAAUAUUUAUAUAAGAUUAUGAGCCCAAGCUAUUUUCGUAUUCAAAUCCCGCAAGUCCUGACGUGCAACGGCUACUUUUCCAAUUAAUUUCUGCCACGUUUACUUCGGCCCGUGCUUUGCGACUUGCUUCUCUAUAAAAUUAUUUAAUAAACUUAGUAUUUAAUAAAAACAGUAUAUUUAUUGUUCUCUUAAAAUGUAAGAUUUGCUGUAAAUUUUUAAUUAAUUUAAUUUUAUAAUUCAUAAAAAAAAUCGAUAAUUAUAUAUAAUUGAAUAAAUAAUAUCUGCUAUAUUCAAACAAAAAUAAAUGGAUUCAAAAUGAGGAGAAAUUGGUUGCGUCAUUAAUUCGUAUGCAAUAAUUAAUAAAUUAAAUUUCUACUCUUAAUUUUAUCAUUUAUAGGCUGUCGUUUUGAAGAAAAUAAGACCUUUUACUACGUAAAAGGAAAAAAAAGUAACAUUGAGAAAAAAAGAAGAAAGUGAGGAGGAAUGUUUGACUGAUAUGAUGAAGCAGUUUUUUUCUUUAAAUUUUCUUUUUUUAAAAAAAAUCAUUUAUGAACACUUCAAAACAUACCCAUAAUGACUUGCGUCGCUGAUUCGCAUGUGCUUGUCUUUGAAUUGUGAAAAGGAGAAAAAAAAGAGGAAAAGCUAGACUUGUGUCUGGUCACAUGGAAGAAGCCUGCACUAUAUGUACAUAAACCGUCAAUCUUCAGAAACUGCCAAUAGCCACCACUGCCCAAUAGUAGCCAGUAUACAUAAACCCCCCAAAUAGCUAUAUCACCAUAAUGGUCUGUUCAAUGUUGAUUUGGAAGAAAGCCCUUGUUCUUGGAGCAAAGGUGAUAAUGAUCUUUGCAUUAUUUCUUCUAUUAUUCACGGCAGCAGCAACCAACGCAAGGCCUUCUGGUGGGGAGGAGGACACCACUUUCGGCGCAAGCAAAGCUGCUUCCGUAGAGAGCAAAGGCGGAGGAUACAAUUCAGAGCCAAAUCCCUGCACUCUCCUUCCUAUUUAUGAUCCUAAUCAUUGCGACUGAGCUAUAACGUAUCAUUCAAAUCCAUGCACUCUCUAUUAAUUUCUAGCUUAUAUGUUCUUUCUAUCUUGUCGUUUAAUUUAAUCAUUAGCUCAUUGCAUAAAUCAGCUAUAAUGAUUAAUAUUUUAUAUAUUUGCAAUACCCUCAUUUGCAUAAAUGUAAGGUUCACUUUUCACGAUCUGCAACUCUAUUUAGAAUUAAAAAUUUCUAAAAAAUUCAAUUGAAUUAAAUUUUUUUUGUUUUUUAAAUUUAAAAAAUAUUAUUUAAAAAGAAUUAAAUGAUUCAAUUUAGUUUUGAACCAUUAGAUCAAAAUUUUUCUAUUCUAAGGAUUCAAUUUUUCAUAGCUUUUAAUUCUUACCUAUUAGAUUAAAAGUUGUUGAAGUAAACAAGACAAGAUAUUGAACUUUUAAAUUCCAACCAUUCAAUUUUCAGUACCUUUUAUUUUUUAGCCCUUAGAUUAAGAGUUUGUUAAAGUUGAAGAAAUAGAUUAUACACUUGUUAAUCCUAAUCUUUAAUUUUGUUUAAGUAAAUUUUCUAAACAUUGGAUUAAAAAACAAUAAAAGCAAAAUCUAUAAAAUGAUCCCAGCCCUUCAUUCAUAAAUUAGGUUUUAUAUUUGUUUAAUUUUUAUUAAUUUGUUAUAUCAUACAGGUAAUUUUAUAUAAUAUAAUUGUUCUUUAUUAUUAAUUUUAUAUUAAUAAAAAAAUAAGUAACAUUAUGAUCAUACCCUCUUUGAUGUAAUUUUAGAUAUUUUUAUUUAAUAUUGAUAAGUUGUUUUACAUAAAAUUAAUAAGUUAUUAUAUUUAGUAAAUGUGGCAUUGCUAACAAAAACAUGUAAAAGAAAUGAUUAAACUUGAAUUGGAGACGCGAAAAGGCAUAAAUGUAUUAUCCCUUGAUUCCACCAUUUCACAAUUUUUUCUAUCUUAUUUUUUUAUAUAUUAAGAAAAAUAAUUUUAUAUUAAUUUUUCAAUUAUAUUAUUUUAUAAAUAUUAAAAAAUAUUUUAAAUACUCAUUUAAAAAAUAAUAAUUAUUAAAAAAUAUAAAAAAUAAAGAUUAAUAAAAAAUUUUAAGCAGCACGAUUUCAAUUUUUUCAAACGUCUAAACAUGAACUAAAAACAUCGGUGCAAUGAGUAGAUAGAGAAUAUAGCUUUUAUAAGAGUUUUAGAUUCUUUUACUUUUUGAAUGAGCUUUCGAAAAUGAAUAAUAGUAAUCAUAAAAAAUUUUGAAUGUUUAAAAGGUUUGAAAAAACUUUUUGAUUUUAAAAAUUACAACUAUAAUACUUAAAAGAGUGUAUAAAAUUUUAAGAGUAAAUUGAAAAUUAAAUUUAAACUAAUUAUAAGUAAAUAUAGUAAUAAACAAAUAUGGAGUCGUAGAAUCAGGGAGAGAGGCUUUUCAGAUGAUAAAGACACAGAACAACUCAACUGUUUGAAUUGCCACUGUGGCUCCCAUAAAUCUCACACGGGACCAUUAAAGUUAAUUUUGGAUAUAUAUUUGCUUUUUUUUUUCUCUUAUUUUUUUUAUGAAAAAAAAUCGAAAUAUUUAAAUUAAGAGUUAUAUUUAUAUAAGAUUUAUUUUCAAAUAUUAUUAUUUUAUAAUUUUAAAAUAAUUUUAACCUAUUAAUUUUUAUUUAUAAUAAUUAAAAUAAUAGAUUUUAAUAAGAAUAAAACUUUAUUGAUAACAAUCUUUUAUUAUAUUAAAAAAAUAAUAAUAAUAAAAUUAGUUAUAUCUUUUAAAUUAUGAAUAAUUAAAUUUAAAAUUAAAUAUUUUAAGUAAAAUAAAAAUAUAAAAUUUUUCAUUUUAAAUUUUAAAUUUUAUCAUAUUAGAAUAAAAUUAAUAGCUAAUAAACCAUAAAUUUUACCUGCCACUUCUGUUAUAAUACUUUUUUAAAAAUAUAUACAUGCUUAAUUACUUUAUUAUAUAAUAAGCAUUAUUACAUCAAUAAAAAUUUUAUAUUUUAUUACACAUUUAUAAUAUUUUAAUUAUAAUAAUAAAUUGACGAAAGUAAUUAAUAUAUCUUAUUUAUUAUUUUUUUUAUAUUAUGAUAAUCUUAUUAAUUAAUUUUGAUUAGAUAUAGUUAUAAUAAUUUGGUAUUAUAAUAAUAGAGUAUUAAAUUUAAUUUUUUUAUAAAUAACUAAAUUUUAAAAUCAAUAAUUUUAUGCAACAAAAAUUAUUAAUUUUAAAAUUUUAUCAAUAGGAUAAAAUUAAUUAGUAAUAAAUCAUUAUUGUACUUAUAAUAUAUAUUAUAAUUGUACCAUACAAAUAAUAUCUUUUAUUGUAUUAAAAAUAAUUAUAAGUAAAAUAAUUAAUAAUAAAAAAUUAGUCAUAUAUUUAAAAUUAUGAAUUUCUACAUUUAAAAUAAAUAAUUUUAUACAAAAUAAAAAUAUAAAAUUAUUAAUUUUAAAAUUUUUAUUAUUUUAAGAUAAAGUUACUUUCUUGGCAAUUCUUAUUUACAAAAGUAAAUAGGAAAUUGUGUGGUUGAACAUUUUCAAUUUUUAAUCACCACGUGUCAUUAUUGAUAGACUUUUCAAUCACUAAAAACUUUUAAUUGAAUUUUGAGAAAAUUUUAAAUUAUUUUAGUGAUUUUAUGAAAUAAUUAAUAUUUAAUAUGCUAUUUUUUUUUUUUGAAACGGGGUGGGGGAGUCGAACCUUUGACCUCAAAGGAUUACAAGGAUGCACUUUCCACCAGACUAAGCCUCGGAGUGCAUAUUUAAUACGCUAUUGUCUUGCUUUAAUACAUGACUGAAAUAUCAUAAUUAAAUUUAAUUGGUUAUAUAUAUAUUUACUAGAGUUAUUCUAUAUUUUAAUUCAAUAUAAAUAUAGUUAAAUCUUUUAAAAUUUAGAAUUUAAUAAUUAAAAAUUAAAUGAGUAGUAAAUAUAUUAUGAAACUAAAUCGGCAUAUAUAAAACUAUAGUAUUAUUGAAAUUUCUAUUUUGAUUUAAUAAAAUUUUUAACUAAAUUGAAAUUAUAUUUAUUUUAUCUUCACCAACUUUCUAAAUGGUUUAAAAUUAAUUUUAUCUUCAGAGAAUCAGAUAGGAUAAUUUAUCAAUAAUAUAUUUUAUCAGCUGGGAAUCAAACAAGUUCAUUAGAAUACAUAAUCAGAACACGUGGACAUUUAAAGGAUGGUUGAACAUGGAGAAUUUCAUCAGAAAACAGGAAGAAAAAGUUUAUAUUUUUUAGUAAUUUCAAUUUAGUUAUAUAUCUAAUUAAUUAAUGUUUUUUAGUGAGGUUUUAGGAUUAAAUUGUAAAGGAGUUCUGUGGGUGUUUGUGGAUUGGAAGAUGACCUUUCUCCUGCAAACUCUUAACUGUUUCAUAGAGGCAUUGCUUCACUGGGAUCAAUUCCAGUCCAAGGUCCUUGAGCUUUUUGCUUGAGAAUUUGUGUGGUUUUGCUCUUGGGUUCUUCUCAUCUGAACACCUGCAAUUAUCUUUCGCAUUAUUUUCAUUUUUAAGAGAAAUUAGUAAAAUUACUUGACCAAUAUGAUCCACAUGUAUUCGUUAUAUAACAAGAAAUUUGCCGACAGUACUGAAUAAUAACAAUAACUUACCUCGUGGGGAUUGGAUACUCUGGGAAGAACUUAGCAAGCAUUUCCACCACUUCGCCGCGGUGGAGGACGCUCUCACCACAAAUGUAUCGCCCGGAGGCAGAGGGCGUUUCAUAGAUAAGAAUAUGGGCAUGUGCCACGUUCUUAACAUGCACAUAGCCUUGAACAGCAUUGACAUAGGUCUUGGCUGAGCCAGUUAGGUACUUAAGGAUGUGAAUGCUACUAGCAUUUAUAGUGGACUGCAACAAUGGUCCAAGCACCACUACUGGGUUCAGCACUACUAGGUCCACCCCUUUCUCCUUGGCCAACUCCCAUGCUGCCUGCUCCGCCACUGUCUUCGCGUAGCAGUACCAGUUCUGCAAUAAUUAUCGGAUUAGUAACAUGACCAGUUUGGCUAACAACUCUAGCUCUGGGCUGUUAAGGAAGCUCUUGGCAAAUCAUAAAUAUUAAGAAGAACGGUGAAGUAAAACUUGCCUUCACUAUUGUAUUAGUAAGAAAAGGUGGCGACUAAUUCAACAGGAUAAUCAUACUUGAAAAUUUGAUAAUUACAAUUAAAUACGGCCAUUAUAAGACUAGAUUCAUAUGAAAGUGAAAUUAAAAUUUUAAAAAAUUAUUUUUUUAAUCGUUAACAUUUAAUAUAAUUAAAAAUCAUUUUAUAAAAAAAUUAUGGGAAAAUUACUUUUUAGUCCCUCAGGUUUAACGUAAUUAACACUUCUGUCCCUCUAUUUUGGCGACCCAACACUNNNNNNNNNNNNNNNNNNNNNNNNNNNNNNNNNNNNNNNNNNNNNNNNNNNNNNNNNNNNNNNNNNNNNNNNNNNNNNNNNNNNNNNNNNNNNNNNNNNNNNNNNNNNNNNNNNNNNNNNNNNNNNNNNNNNNNNNNNNNNNNNNNNNNNNNNNNNNNNNNNNNNNNNNNNNNNNNNNNNNNNNNNNNNNNNNNNNNNNNNNNNNNNNNNNNNNNNNNNNNNNNNNNNNNNNNNNNNNNNNNNNNNNNNNNNNNNNNNNNNNNNNNNNNNNNNNNNNNNNNNNNNNNNNNNNNNNNNNNNNNNNNNNNNNNNNNNNNNNNNNNNNNNNNNNNNNNNNNNNNNNNNNNNNNNNNNNNNNNNNNNNNNNNNNNNNNNNNNNNNNNNNNNNNNNNNNNNNNNNNNNNNNNNNNNNNNNNNNNNNNNNNNNNNNNNNNNNNNNNNNNNNNNNNNNNNNNNNNNNNNNNNNNNNNNNNNNNNNNNNNNNNNNNNNNNNNNNNNNNNNNNNNNNNNNNNNNNNNNNNNNNNNNNNNNNNNNNNNNNNNNNNNNNNNNNNNNNNNNNNNNNNNACUCCCUCUCCCUCUCUCUCUAAUGAUUGAGAGGUCGCCAUUGUCAACCUCCCACUCUACGCUUAUUCUUCUUCUCAAUGCUUCUCUUCAAAGCUACCUCAUAUCCUAUCCUUUCACUUUCUCUAUUGUGUUCCCCAUGCACCCAUGCAUGAUUCAUUGUCCUUUACUGCAAGAGCUGCCCUAUGGAUGCUUUGUUUCAAGAGGCUGGAGCUAGGUACCUGUACUUCUCGCCUCCACCUUUGAUUUACAGAUCAAAAGCGAGAAUUACAGGACACUCAUUAUAUUCCACCUACAGCUCUUGUUCAAUACCCAUAGAAGGUUUCCACUUUGAAGCAGGAAGCAAGCAUGGAUUAGGAUUGGAGACGUUCAUGGUUGGAAGGAUGACUUGUUAGAGGGAAUGAAAUAUGUUAAACCUCAGGAAUUAAAAAACUAUUUUUUAUAAUAAAUUUUACAUUAGAUAAUUUAGAUUAAAUAGUAAUACUAAUGCUGAUAAAUUAAUUUAACCUGAGUAUUCUUGCAAAAGUCGAGGUCACUCCAGCAAGAUUCAUCGACAACAUCAUCUGGAUUCCUAUUGGGAUUCAUAUAAACCGUUCCGAUGGUAGAUGUGAAAACCACUCGCCGGACUUUGGCUUCUGCGGCUGCUAUCAUCACAUUUUUGGUCCCAUUCACGGCUGGCUCCAGCAUUUGUUCCUUCAAAAUUUAAUUAAAAAAAAAACAUAAUUACUAUUAAUAUCGUAUUUUAUUUUUAAAAAAUCGUCUAGAACAUAUUAACAAUAUUUCGGCGUCAUACAGGAUCAUUAGUGAGAGGAGACGCAGUGUGGAAAACUCCAUCACAUCCAGUAAUGGCCUCUCGAAGACUUUCAUAAUCAAGAAGAUCAGCUCUGCACAGACUUAAUCUCUCCUUGGCACCUUCAAGCUCUCUCAAAUGAGAAUUCUUGGGAUCAUCUAUCACUCAAAAAAAAAAAACAUACGUAAAAUAGAGCCCUUCCGUUCCCAAAAAAAAAUCUUCAUCAUUAACAUAUCCAAAAACAGAACCAGAAUAAAAAAAAAAAAACAGAAUUAGAAUCAAACCAGGGUUCCGCAUAGUUCCUUUAACGGUGUAACCUCUUUGAAGAAGCAACUUAACGAUCCAAGAAGCAAUGAAGCCACCGGCUCCGGUGACGCAGACGGUUUGGCCAUGGCCAGAGAGUGAUGAGGUGUGAGCAGGCAUGGUAAUUUGGGGGAAAAGACGAGAAGAUAGAGAAGUGGAAGUGGGGGGUUUUGGGCGGUCGAGAGGGAUGAGAUGAGUAAAGUGUAUUGUUUAGAAGAAUGGAAGGCAGGCAGGGCACAAAAGCAAAGCAUGUGCCUGCGUCCGUAAUUUAUAAGGAAAAGUACUGUUCUACUUAUUUAUUUAAUUUCAUAUCUAUCAAUUUAGAGAAAUUCUUCCGUCAAUCCGGUUCACCGGCCAGUUUGCAAAAUUAUAAAUAAAUGGGUUUAUUUUUUUUUUUAUAAAAAGAAUUACUUAUUUAUACGUUAUAAAUAUUUUAAUUCAUAGUGAAUCUACUAAAUAUUUUUCAUUUAUUUAUUUGUAUUUCAAAUUUCAAUGAUAAUCUGAGUUUUGAUAAAAAUUGCACCUUACCAUACUAUUUUAUUAAAAAAAAAAACUUAAUUACACUAAAUAUACAUGGAUCUGUAAUAUAUAAUAUAAAAUAAUAAUGGAAUUUUAUACCUUUAUAUUAAAAAUCCUUGUAAAUAUAAUUUAAAUAAAAAUUAUUGAACUUAUUUACAGAGAGAUUAAUUUAUGUAAUAUUUAUUUCUUAAGAGUUUUCCCUUCUCUCUUAUUUCAAGUAUACGUUGCUUGAUUUAAUAUUUACGUGUUUAGAUCGUAAUAAUUUUUAUUUAUUUUUUUAUUGUAUCAAAUUAUUAUUAUUUUUUUAUAAUGUAAUAACCUAUAAAUUUACUAUUAUAAUUCUCCUCAUUAAUUAUUAUUUUUUAAAAAAAUUUAAAAUAUUUUUUAAUAUUUAGUAAAAUUUAAUAUUUUUAACAUAAAUAUAAUUAAAAAAUUAAUAAAAUUUUUUUUUAUUAAUUUAGACUGAUUAAUAUAUUUUGAAAACUAAUACUCCUAUACAUCUAGUUAAUUUUGGUAUGUAUUAAAAAAUGUAAUUAAUAUAGUUAAAAAAAUAAAUUUUAUGUUCUCUUCCCUAAUAUUUAUUUUCCAUUUAUAUUAAUUUAUUAUUAAAUUAUUUUGAAAUAAAUAGUUUUUAUUUUUCAUUUUACUAUCUUAAAAAAUUAAAAUUUAAUUAUAUAACAAUCAUAAGUGUCCUCAAUUUACUAACCUGACGCUAAAUUCUGUCUGCACGGAUUGACUCACUAAAAGCUAAAAUACAUCUGAAGAUUUUUUCUCCAUACAUGAAAAUAAAAAAUUAUCGAUGUCACAAUCACGCAUCUCAAUAUUCAUUGAUAAAAUAUAAAAAAAAUUAUUUUAUUGCUAAUUUUAUUGAUUGUAUUUUAAAUUUCUUUUAUUUAAUUUUAUCAAUUUAUAAAAACUUAAAGUAUAAUCAAUAAAUUUUAGAGUGCAGUACGAUUAAUAAUAUAUGUAAUUAAUAUCAAUUUUUUAAUGAUUAUUAAUAAUAUAAUUAAUUUAUAUUUAAUUAUUAUAAAUUUAAAUAUUUAAUAAAUUAUAAUUUUAAUGUAAAUAUUUAAUAAAUUUAUCUUAAUUAAUAUAAGAGUCGACGUAUAUAGGUAAGUAGUAUUUGGUUUAAAUUAAAAAAUCGAUCGAAUCGAAUUGAUUUAAAAAUUUAAUUUGUUUUUUUAUAUUUUUUGGUUUGAUUCGGUUUUUAAUUUCAGAAAUUUUAGUUAUUUCGGUUCGAUUCGAUUUUGAUUAGAAAAAAAGGGAAAAAAUUAAACCAAACCGAUUAGUGAUAAUAAUAUGUUUUUUCAAUAAUAUAGAGAAAUUAAAUUAUAUUAAAUUAAAAUAUUUUAAUUAAAUUUUAAAAUAUUAAAAAUAAAGUGUAAAAAAUAAAAAAAAUUAUUAAAAAUCGAAAUUGAUCAGAUCGAACCAAAUCGAACCAAAUCGAACCGAAUCAGAUCGGUUCGAUUCAAUACGAUUUUCAAUCAAAAUUAAUUCGAUUUGAUUUUUAUAAACACUAAAAUUUCAAUUUUUAAUUUAUUCAAUUCGAUUUGAUUUUAAAUUGAACCGACCAAAUGAUCACCCGUAGAAGUAUAUAUUCAGUCCAAUACAAAUUAUUGUCCACGUAAAAACAAGUCAUCCUUACGCCUCUACCUGCUGCACUGCAGCUACUACUGCCAUAGAAAAGAAGAUAACAUUGAAAAAGUCAAGAUAUUUUAGGUACUGCAAAUUUAAAUUGUAGACCACUAAACCUACCUUGUUUUGCAUAUUUCUAGAUAAAUUAUUUUUUAUUAUUAAUUUAUAUAAAAUUAAUAUAUUAUUAUUUUUAAAAUUAAUAAUUUUAUUUUAAUUUAAUUUCAUAAAUUAAAAGUUCUUCCAUUUAAUUCUUUUCAAUAUUAAGGAAAUAAUUACACCACCUUUUAAAAUAAAUUACUUUUAAUCACCAAAUUAUAUUAAAAUUAGUAUAAAUGUAUCUGGACUUUUCUAAACAUUAAUAAUUUAGUCUUAUAUUUUAAAUUUAUCAAUUAAAAAAAAUACACUAUUAAAAGGAUCUCAAUUUGAUAAAUUAUAUUAGAAUUAUUAUAUUUUAAAAAAAAAAUUGCUUAAAUAUAUUAGAGGUUCUAUAAUUAAUUUAAAGUUGAAUUAAUAUUAUGUAAAUAUUUCAAUAUUUAACAAUAAUACUAUUUUAAAAAAUAUUAAAAAAAAUAUUUAUUAUUUAAUUUUUAAAUAUUACUAUUAUUAAUAAAUUAAUUUUUAUAUUUUUAAAAUUAUAUUUAAAUAUUUUUAUUUUUUUAUAACCUAUUAAAACACUUUUAUUAUUUAUUCGUUAAUAAAAUAGUCAUUUAUUUUAGAAAAAAAAAAUGACGAUAGUAAAUAAAAAGAAAAAUUAAAAUUAUUUUUUUAUUUUUCUUUCAAAAGAGGAAAAAGAAAAAAAUCGAAGAGAAAAGGUUGAAUAAGAAAGAGAAAAAUAUAAAUGGGAGAAAGAGAAAAAAGAGGGGGAAAAUGGAGAGUAAUUUAAUUUUUUAUUAUAUUUUUAAUGAUAAAAACAGAGGAAAAUGCUAUUUUAUUUAGAGAAAAUAAAUAAAAAUAUUUUUUAUAAAUUUUUAAAAAUAUAAAAAUUAAUUUAUUAAUAAUAUAAUACUAAAAUAUUAAAUUAUAAAUUUAAAAAAAAAACCCUCAGAUUUAAAAGGGAGCAGCACUUGACGGGAACAAAAAUCAGCGACUGCCAAGUGCCAACAACAAUGAUAAUUUUCUUCCCACAUUCAAAUCAUUUCCAUUAAUGUCUUUGACAUUUGGCUCCGUGUAAUGUUCGGCAGCAUGUUGUCACAUAUCAAAUUAUUUUUGCAUGAAUUAAUUCACAAUAAAUAUUUAUGUCGGUUUAAAUCUAUCAUGAAAGUUCAGUGAAAAAGAAAUCACAAUAAAUAUUUAAAUUUAUGAAAUUGAUGGAUAAAUAAAAUAAAAAUAAAUAAAUGUGGAUCAGGUUGAUUCACAUUUGAAUUAAAUCUAUGUAUAAAAAUAUCUUAUCUUAAAAAAAAAUAUCUUAUCUUAAAAAAAUAAAAUAUCUUAUGCUAAAAAAUAGUUAAAUACAAAAUAACGUAAAUUAAAAAAAAGAUUAUUAAAAAGAAAAUAAAAUCAAUACACCGUCUAAAGUCUACUACAAAUUAAAAAGAGAAAAAGGUAGAUAUCUAAUAGUCAUUUAAGCCAUAUUUAGUAAAUAAAUUUAUUUUUAAAAAAUAAAUUUAAUUUGAUAAAUAAAUUAUAUUAAUUUUUUAGGAUAAAAAAUAAUUUUAUAAAAUUUAUGAACUAAAUAAAAUAUUAGUAAGAAUUUAGGAAUAUAAAGAUAAUUCUUUAUUUUAAUAAAACACUUACUUCAAAUGAAUUUUUAAAAUUAAGACUUAAAUAUUUGGAGGGCUACUUGGCAAAAGUAUUUCAAGUUGUUAGGAACAAGUUCUUCAAAAGAGAUGAUAAAAUUCAGAGAGAAAACGAUUGAUCAACUAACAACUGUGUGAAUUUCAUCAAAGCUCCACAUCACCUGAAACUAAAGAUACAGGAGCUUUCUACGUCAUUUUCAACGCUUGGAAUUUCAUGGGGCUUGGACUAAUUUUUAUCUUUGAAGAAAAAAAAAAAAAAGAUCAGAAUCCAAAAAUCCACCCUCUUUCAAUUCAACAUGGAUUUUACUGUUAUUAUUAUUAUUAUUCAAAAAAAUUAAGAUUUAAUUCUAAUAAUACAGAAAAACUCACUAAUUUAUUUUUUAAUUUUAAAAAAUAUAUUAAAUUAUUUUUAAAAUUAAAAAAAUUUAUUAAUUAAUUUCUCUAAUAAUUUUUAACUAUUAAAUAUUAAAAAUAAAAUAAAAUACUCUAAUAUGAAAGGAUUAAUUAUUAAACUUUUAAAAAUUUUAAAAAUUAACUAAUAAUUUUUUUAAAAUUAUACAAAUUAAAUAGUAAAAUUAAUAAAAAAAUUUUAAUAUAUUUUUAAACGAAAGAUUAAUUAGUAAAUUUUUUUAUGUUUUAAUUUUUUCUUAUUAUUUUAGUUCGGAAAGAAGACGAAUCAAUUGCUUAAAAGAAAUUCCAUUUCCUGCCUCCAGUAAUCUACUUACAGGCUCAGCAACCAAAAAUCCCAAUGCUUACCAUGCAAAAAACAAUAUUUAUGUCAACUUCAUGCAAAGAGACAACAACCCUGCACCAAACCAAGACUUGCAGGGCUUUCUAGCUUCUUCCUCUCUGUACACACUACACUUUGUUUCUAUUAACUAGGGUCAGCCGAGUCCAAAAGAUCUCCCAACCAACUUUCACUUUGUUGCUGACUUUUUUACAGGAUAGUUUAGUGCUCCUUUUUAGGUCUGGCUGUGACACAAAAUUCAUAUACCGCCUCCGAGACUUUCAUCGCCGGAUGGACUUGCAGUCUCUAGUGUUGUCUGUUUGGAGUUUAUUCCAGUCCUUGGACUUCUGAUCUUCAACUUGCUACCAGAUUCUUUGCCAUCUCCUUCUGAGCCACUGUUAGGCUUAGGUGUAUAAUCUAUAGAUUUGUCAGCAGCAAUUGGUUUAUCCCGCGUAACGGCACCUGUAGACUUUCUGGCUUUUCUCUUAGAAAUGCUGGUGGUUCCACUCCUAGAAAACCAUCAUAAUCUUUCAUUCUAAAUAUACCAAACUAUCAUAAUUCAGAAUUUGAUGAAUGUAAACCAACCUUUUUGAAUCAACCUUCAGUUGUUUGCCUGACUCUGAAAUCACCUUGCCGUUUUGCUUUCGAGGUCUGGACUGUCUGCUCGUGCAUUUCACAAAGGACAAGACAUUUAUAACUAAACAACAGAUAUGGUAGCAAACAAUCAUGUGCGUGAAUUAUGCGGCAACUAUUUUACCGCUGAGGAUCAAUGGCAACAAUCACUUGGUGUGAUAGAGUAACAAGCCCUCUUCUUUAUUUUAUUUUAUAUCAACUGUAUAUUUCUCAUGGAAAUUAAAAGGAAAGACUCUUUUUCUUCUUGAUUUUAUGUUAUACUCACUCUAAAAUGUCCUUACCUCACAGAUGUAGCAUCAAGAUGCAGGAAAAUAAUUCUUCUCCAUUGACAAGGCAAUAUAAUAAACACAGUAGGAGAGGCAGGAAAGCCAAUUUUACCAUUUCCUUUUCUCAACAUGGAAAUAAACGAAAGGGAAAGGAGAAGAGCUUUUCAACACAUCAGUUCCAAAUAGACUCUUAACAAUAAAUUUCUCGAGUCUUACAUGGUUAAACAUAAAACUAAAUACACUAGAUGUUGCAGGAUUGAAAAUAGCAGCAUCAAAAUCAUUGGAACAACGGAACUUACUUCUCAGAUGAAGGAUCAGCAUUUGAAAUGUCAGGUUUUCGCUCCUGCAAAUAUUAUCACCACAAUUGCAAGACAAGGAAGUUACUUUGCAGAAAUAAGUUAUUGAGGAAAAAUAGCAGGUCUAAACAAAGAGAAAAGACCCACUUCAUCAUGCAAAAUAUCAUCUCCAAUUAGUUCCCACCGUUCCCUUCUGAGAUUUAGUAUCUCUUCAUCUCCAUCAGCAUACAAAACCUAAAAAUGUCAUCAGCAAAAGUGUUUAAGCUAUAGUAAGGAGAAACUAAAGAUGAUCAUGGAACUUUUAUGAUAAGAGAAGAAUUAAAAUGGUUCUGAAAAUUUAUACUUGCUCUAAACAGGGAUGAGUACUUUAAAAUGGUUGAUUUUGCAACAAAAACCAUAGGAGGACCAACUAUAAGAUAGUCCAAGGGGUCAUGGAUGUGAAAAGAAAUAAUUGCUCAUCGUUUAACAUAAGAGAUGCCCCUCAGAAGGGCCAGUAUAUGGAAAAUAAGAAUAGGAAACCACUACCAAGUGCGAAUAAUAGGUUCUAGAAACCUCUGUCCUAAAAUUCACACGGAGAGGGAAAAAAGAAGUAGAUGAAAGAAGAAGAACCAAGUAGGGUUAAGCUAGAACCAUCUCACCUUAUGCUUCUUUUUGAUAGGGUCAUAGGAUUCAAGUACUCCUUCAUAAAACCUGGAAAACAAGAAAACACAUUCAAGAAAACAAGCAUCAAUAUCUGCACUUAGAAAGAUCAAGAGAAAUUGUUACAAUGGAUAUAUGCAGAGUCCAGAAAUUUUAGCCAAUGAUGUCUAGUAAAUAUAAAAAAUCAAGAACUAAAAACAAAAAGCACUAGAAAAAGGGUUACUUCCUCAACACCCACCCCCCCUUCUCCUUCUGGGUGAAUGGUGCAGUUCUUUGCAAUAAGCUGACUUUAGGCAACAGAAUGCACCCACAUUCUCCAUUAACCAAUUAAUUCAAAUAAAUUUCAAAUCCUAUUCAGCCAGACUAGAUUUAGUCCCAGUUAGCACUAGUAAUUAUUAAACUAAUCCGAACUAAUGUGGCAUGUCAGUAUGGCAUUUUCCCUAGAGAGGAGCAAAACCCAGAGCUCUUCUAUUUUAACUGUUGUUCCCUUCAUCAUAUUUCAAAUGCCAUUUAAGGUUUUUGCACAAGAAUUAAGGAAAUGAUUGGGUAAUCCCAUUUUUGUAAUGAAAAAGUACUAAUAGAAGAGUAUCUUUGCAAUACACUUGGUAUGUUCUUAUUUUUAAUUUCCUGAGAGAUAUAUGCUAAUAGUUGAAUAAGAGAUCAAAUGCACUGGGAAUAAGAAUACACAAGGGUAAAGUUGGAAAAAAUUUAAUUAAUGCUUUCUUAAUUUUCUAAAAUGGAGAACAAAGUGGGACAAAAAGAAAUUUCUAAAAUAACAUUUGAAAUGGGACAAAGGGAGUAACAACUAUUAAGCUUACAGCCCUAUUGAUAAUCUUAAAAUAACAAGUAACCACUGAGAAAAUAUAAAUAGUUUUGAACAUUUAUUUGGUCACUUCCUGAUUGUAUUUCACAACUCUGUAACCAAGAGCAAACGCUCAUCACUUGCUAAUCCUGUCUACAUAGUAAAGACCAACUAUUAUCCUGAUGAUGCAACCACCUCCCAGCAAUUGUGCUAGUCUCCAUCUAUUUAUUCACUUCUUUUAUCAAAUUGUAUAUUGCAUGCCAUGGUAUUCAUAGGGCCAUAUCCUACAUUCAAAUUUUAAUUCUAAUUAAGAUUCCAGCAACUAGUCCUUUCUUUUCAAGAUUUAAGGUGAAAGCCUACAAAAUUCUGCAGAAGUAUUUAAUCCUCACUAUCUUCCAAAAUUAUCAUGAUAAAAAAUGCCUAUAUGAUAGUCUCAAAACGAGGUACUUCAUCAGCAUCAGAUUUGAGAAUUGGAAGUCAAAAUGUCGUCAUAUAUACACAUGACAUGAAACCUAAAAAAUCCUCCAGGAACAAAUUAUUGGACACAAGUAAAUAAAAGAUACUUUUGCAUUACUGAAACUUGAAAAAAUCAAAGAAAUUCUAAACAACCAACAAAAUAUAACAGAUAAAUGAACUAUAAUCAAAAUAAAAGCUUUAGGCAUCUCACAUCUUGUCUUUUGGCCACCAAACUUUUAUUCUGCUACCAACCAAUUGCUCACCAAGAUCAGGAGUCUGAAUUGGGGGAAAAUACAUAAAUUAUAACUUGAAGAGUGCGGAAGGAUGAAGCACUAAAAAUUCUCCCCAUCUAGUAGAACUUUAAGCAAGUACAAAAUAUAGAAAAGUUAUAUUUGAAAUUUUGCAGUAAAAGAAGUAUAUAUAUAUAUACCAAGAGCGCAGCAGCCAGCUCCUCAGACUAAUUAUUCAAUAUUUUGAUUAUCAACACUAACAAAGAGAAAACAGGACUGUAUCUUGGGCAAUGCAGUACAGAGAGUUUAGUUUUCCAAAUAUUGUGCAGCUUUCACGUAACUUCUAUUCUUUAUUGCUUGUCUGUUGGUUAAGCCAUUCCUAUUGCUUGUCUGUCAGUAAAAGCCAUUCCUAUUCGCAAUGAGUUGAAACACCAAAGAGGCACUAUAGAAGUUGCAAACCAUAGAAGAGCUGGACAUUUCAGGGUUCUAAUUCAUGCAAUGCUGAUAAUUCUAAGUUUAACUGCUAGGCCCAAAACCUUCCAAUUCAUUUUUUCCUGUUCUCUGGGAAAAUAGAAGAUGUCAAAUUCAAAUAUUAAAUUAUGAGAAAUAGAUAAACAGAAACUGUUACUUCUUAUUCUUAAAGAUAGAACUAAACAACUACCUAAAUUAGAAAGGAACCAGCACUAUUUAAUGAAGAACAAAUGCCCUAGAACUAUGAGGUUUUUUAUUUAUUUACUUAUUUAUUUUACUAAUACCAGUUCAGAUAAAUGAUCGCAACAAGAAAACAAUUCUCAAUACAUUCUUUUCUCUUCUUUCUUAAAAAAAGGCUAACUGAUAUGCAUAACUAUCAUCAACCAAGUAGAAGUUACAAGACACAAUGAAUAAAAUGCAUACCACUUCCUUCCGUGGUGUCCGCAUCCCCUUGAGAUUUGUUUUUGGGACCUGUUCAUCAUAAAUUCCACCUCUAGAUGAUUUCUUUUUCUGUACAGUUGACCGCAGGGAGAGGUAAAUUAAAAGCUCAACAAAUUAAUGCCCGUAGGAUAGUUUUCAAAAAUGAAGUUCAUAUAAAAUUAAUACCUUAACCUUAGAUGCUUGAGCAUCCACAUCUGAAAUACCACUCACUGAACUUCUUUUCCUAACAUCUGAUUGGACUAGCGAGCUGUCUCUUUUGAAGUUCCUUACCACCACCUUUGUUGACUGUUGCCGUGGUUUUUCCUCAUGUUCACCGAGUAACCCGGCUUUCUCAUCGGCAGAAGGCAAAGGUGCCCCUUCAGUAGCCUUUGCAGCAGAUCCAAAUUUUCUUGUGCGCUUCUGUUGCUUUGGUUCUGAGUUACGAUCAGCACCUUGAUUCAUAAUACCCCAAUUUUUCUUUGGCCGGCCUCUUUUAGGAUGAGUUCCAUGAGUAAGGCUUUGAUUCAGAGAUGGGGAAGAAGCAUCGAUAACACUAGCAGUUUCUGGUCUUAAUCCUGUAGGUUCCCUCAUACGUGCUAAUGGCAGAGCUACCUUCUUUGGAACUGUAUUUUCUGGGUUUAAAUCUACUCCCUUGUCAUGAGUUAUUCUCUCACAAGGUACUUUUGCAGUUUUUCUUCCUGAAGAAAUCCAAGAAUGAUCAUAGCCUUCCUCUGGAUUCAUCAAAGAAUUAGGUUUCCACCCCCUUUUCCUUGGGACGGUCCCUGGGUCCAUUUCCAAGUUGAAUUCUGGUUUGGUAUCCCCUAGUAUAUCACUACUUUCACUAUGCUGGAUAAGAGAACAGUGCUCCAGUAUUUUUGAAGAAUUAUUAUUUAUGACAUCACCAGCAUUUCUAGUUGAGGAAUUUCCAUUGGUUGUUGAUUUGGGAAUAGCAUCCACAGCUUGGAGAACUUCUCCAGGAGAAGCAGCAGCUGGUGAUAGCCCCUUAGUAGCCUCACCAGAUAAAUUGAAUUUUGCAGCAAUUAUUAGCCAUAGCUUACAUUGAAGAAUCAUGAUAUACAUUGAAUAUAGUACAGGGGAAAAACAAGGCAAAGUUGCACCCAUAAAAAGUUUCAUCAUGAAUCUUUAUUAUUUCUUUCCUUACAACUACACCAACAAAAUACAAAUAAAAGUAGCAACCUCCUAAAGUAAGAGGAGUCAAAUGUGAAAGGAACACAAAUACAGUUCCUUUGCAGAAACCAUAUGCCAUUUUAUGAGCAAUUUUCUGCAUUAAGGUGUGCUUCUAAAGAAUUCAAAUUUUGAUUUUUAACUUGUCACAUAAGGCUGAUAAGGCUGAUAAGUUGUUUUCUCAUGGAAUUUUUGUUUGCUUUACAAUAUAUAUUGAUUUGAUUUGCUAGAGGUCAUCUAACUGGUGAAAUCAUUUCUGUUAUCAACCUUUCCCGAGUCCGUCAAAAAAUUAUGUCCAUCUUCCACAAUUAUGGAUUCCAAAUUGCCCACCAAAAAUGAACUUAUACACAAAUGCACCAGGAGAAACAUGGUGCCAAGGAACUGUGAACGUACAAAUGAUAAUUUGCAAGUCCAUUAGAAAAAUGUUUUACAAUAUGUAUCCACCUUCUCCCCAAAAAAAUUGAAAGGGAGAUGAAAUCCACAAGAAAAGUCACGGGUUAAUCAUUAGGUAAACUUAUUUCAUGGAAAGAAAAUAAUGAAGUUAGGAUUUAUAUUCAGCAAGUGAAGAAACUUCCAUGUCAAUUUUAGUCUGAAAAAAAGUAGUAUACCAUUACAUCUCAUAGUAAUAGGCAGGAAGAAACAUACCAAAUCGUCCCCUGAACCAUUGAGAUGAUUCUGUUGAAGGGAAAGACUCUCAUCCUGGCAAAUCGAAGCAACUAUUGGAGCAUACUCAUCUAAAGGUAUGCCUAUGGACUGCACUGCCUCCUUGAGACAGGGAUUAAGUUUAGCAGCACAAUUAGCGAUAACUUUUUCACCAAGCUUCCAUGCAAUAGGAGAAACACUCUGGAGUCAUAAUGCAUUGAAUUGAUAAAUCCCACUUAAGCAAUAAAAACUAUAGUAAGCAAGCAGGGAACAGUUAGCAGAAAAGCACAUACAACAUACCUGACUUUCCUUUGUUAUACUGGCCAAAAGGGGAGUGAGAAGGUCAACUGAUACAUCUUCACUUUCAUCUAUGAUCAGUGUCAUAACCGUUUCCAUGGCCAAAAAUACAGCAUGUGGGUGAUUGGACCUUGGGUGAAUGUGAAGAAUCUAUCAUUUGUCUAUUAGAUACAAAGAUAAACAUAGGCAAAUAAAAUGAAAAUGGAAAACAGCCAUCAAAUUCCAUGAUAUUGGUCUGCCAAAACAGCAAAUAGGAUGACUGCAGUUAAAAAUAUAACAUCGUAGAAGCUUGCCAAGUCAAAGCGUGCAAUUUAAGGAAAUAUAUGUUUACUGCUACGAACUUUUGACAAGUACAUUUCUAUGUAUAGAAAGACCAGAAAGAUAAUUCAAACAUUGGCUUUGUUAAUCUUAGCAACUAUAAAACUUAGCUGCACAAGAUCUUUUAGAUGUUACUGUCAUAUAUAUGACAUUGAGAAGAGACUUAGGCAGAAGCAAGUAGCUAAGUCUGAUGAGGAAUAAAGUUCUCAGGAAUAAGUGAUUUCGGGAGGAAAUUAGAAAGUCAGUUUGGAUAUUGGUUAUAUGUUGUAGAUGAACAGAAACUGUACAAGAAAAUGAUCUCUGUUGAACUUGACCCUUCAAGUAAUAUGGUCCUUUGCAACUCUAAUCUUGAUAUUUUUACUAGUGAAGAGUUACUAGCAAGAAUGAUGUAAAUUUCCAAGGUAGUGAAGUUAAGAAAUGUACUGAAGAAGGAUGCAAGAAGCUGAGGAUAUCAAUGGGAAAGACUGCAUCAUUUGAAAAGCAGGACAUACAAGAAAGGCUGUCAAAGCUCUCUGGUGGAGGGGCAACUGAGGCAGAAUAUUUUCUUCAGGAGAAUUUUGACAAGGAGCAGUCUAAUCAACAACAAAUCAAGCAAGGUUUUGCAACGUAUCUUCAGAUGAAAUCAAAAGAUGGUGGGUCCUAUUCUUGUGACUUUAUAAUUCUUAGGAAGGAUGAAUUGGAGAUGUCAAGAAAGCAAAGAAAGGAAACAAUCUCCUGUAGUCCUCUGUUGCAGAGAAAAAAUAGAGGAGAGAGAAAUACAGAGAGUAAAAACAGCAAGGAAACUACUCAUACAUGAGCAUGUGUUGAUUCACCAAUUCAGGAAUCUGGUCUUUUGGUCUAGAAUUGCUGCUGCAACAUAUUUCCCGCAUGCCAAGAAGACCAUGCUACAGGAGUAGCAACUGAGGAGUUGCUUCAGAUGAUGCUACUUUGGAAGAUCAACCUUUUCUCCGAGCUCAAUAUCUAGAACUUCAACCUUUUUGGGGACAAGGUCCUCAUGAGAAGGGUACUGUCACAUAUAUGAGAAGAGACUGAGACAAAAGCAAGUAGCUGACUCUGACUUGGAAUAAGGCUCUUGGGAUUUGGAAAUAGGUGAAUUUUGGGGGAAGUUAGAGGGUAAGUAAGGAGAUUGGUUAUAUGUUGUUAAAGACAGUUGUCGUAGCAGUAGUAUAAAAGCAAAGCAUACCUGUAACAGGGAAUUAUCCAAGAAUCUAAUAACAAUCAGCUAUUUUUCUCUCAAUAUUCUUGUUCUAUUUAUUCCUUUCUCAUCUAUCUCAUCUCUGAGAUUCUUCUACCUUCUGUACUUUCUAUUUUUUCCCUUAGUAGAAACCGUGAUCUCAGGGUUGCCACUGACAGUUAUCCAAGAAUCAAACAUGAACUACAAAAAGAUCAAUUUCUGGCCAAAUCACUCUGGAUAUGGAAUUAUAUUGAAGGAUAUGGUACAAAUAUGAGUCAUUUCUGAUUCAGAAACUAACAUGUUCAUUAGCAGAUGAUGUACUAAAUGGUAACUGCUGUCCACAAAGCUCUUACCUAAUGAUCUUCAGGAAGUGUUGGAACAUCUUUGUGAUUAGUUCAUCCAACUCUAGGUCCAACAUCACCAAGCAUGACCUAACCCUUGCAACAGUGUCGAGAAUGGAAACUGCCUUUGUAUAACAGCGACUUGACACAUGGGACAAUUUCUCAAAAGCUGCUAUAGUCAAUUGAAAAAUUUCCUGCCCACCAAUGGAAAUGUAGACCACACAAGAACCAAAAGAAACUAUGUUUAAGCAGAUGUAUUGAAAUAUUUCAUUGCAUUUGAAAGCACAUAAUAAGGAUUGCCUGCAAAAUAUGAAAAUUUAUUUUAAUUUUAGCUGCCUAUAAUACCUUCAUAUGGUCAUCACUGUAAGGAGCAUCAGGUGCAGUUAUUCUUGUAAUCUCACUAAUACAAGACACAACUGAAACUUUCACAUCUGUAUCUGAGUUCCUCAAAAGGGCAUUGGAAAUCAAUGCCUUCAUGGGGGAUAGAAGUGCAUCUUGCAUUGAUCUUGAUGGUGCUUGCUCCACAUUUAUCAAUAAACACUCAAGUUUCUAGGAGACAACAAUACAAGUCAACUGAUCAAUCCUUUUAUCCAAUGAUCAGAAAAAUUAAGAUAUGCAGCUGAUUUGCAGAAAUUAUUACAGGCAAAAACUUGACUUAUUUACUGAUUAGAAUCUCAAACCACCAUAAGUUCAGAAAGUUUCAUGGUAUGAACCCAUGAAAGGAAUUUAUCAAUUGACAAUAAGCAUGUUUGUAGGCGUCAUCUAGCAUUAGCAAAAGAAUAACAGAAAUGAUACUUACAGUAUGUAAAUACCAAAUUGAAAACAAGCAUAAGACCGCUUUACAUGUCUCAUCUAAAAUUAAGAUAGAAAAGACCUGAAUAUCCACCAAGGCAAGUUAAAGUCACAUGAACAGUUACUAGCAUAUGCAGCUGCAAACCAAGUAGAAUGAAAGAAAAGGAUCCAUAUAGCCAAGUCUAGAUAGAGAUUUGAGUAAUAAGCAACCUUUGUUACAUAUCAGAAGUUCAGAACAAUAUCCUAACUGUAUAUCAAUUGGUUUAUAGGAAAAAUCUAAUUUGUGUAACUUGCAGAAGCUUUUACCACCAAUUUUACUGGGUAAUUAAAGAUGUAAUGGAAAUAAAGACCUCAAAUGUGCAUAAUGCUUUCUGUACACAACAGCAAUUCCAUAAAUUCAAAGGCUUGCACAUUUUGUUCUCUCCCAGUUCAUCACAAAAUUUUCCAAGAUAAUGGCCCACGCUCUUUCUACACAGUUUUACAAUGAGAAUCCCUGCAAGCAUCAAGUUCCAUCUCCACAUUCUCCACAAGGAAACCCAAUUGAUACUGUAAGUAUUAGUUUUAUCAGAUCCUUCACAUUCUCAAUUCCCUCACUAUUCAUGGACAAAUUUGAAUUUCACCUAGAUAAUCUAACUUCAACCAUGGGCAUAAUCUAUUGCAUUUUACUAUAUGAUUCCAGAUCCAAUAAAAGUACCAGAUACAAUAAACAGGAACGCCCAGAUAUCAUAAACAGGAAGGCAAAUGAGUAAGCCAGAUAGGUAUAUGGAAAUUAUAGCCAAAUUUAUGGCAAUAGGUCUUGCCUGGCCUGGAAAGAUUACAAGUUUGUUGUUUUUCAACAAUGUUCUUGAACAGGAAUAUACACAUGAGCUUCUUAAGUAAUGAAUCAUACACACAGAGAGAACUGAAAGGAUAAUAGAAGAAACUAUAAAAAAACACCAAUUACACAUAAAUCAAAAGUCAUGCGGCAAAAUUCAUGGCAGCAAUUGGGAAGAGAUCCCACACAAUGACAAAACUUGUUGAUCUCCAAAAUCCACUACACUGAUUCCACAAACAAGGAUGGAUCCAUGAUUUACUAAAACACAAAUAAGUCAUCUGAGCCAAAACAUAGUACAAGAAGCUAUAUGCAUAUGAAUGAAAAGCUAUUACAAAAGCAACAAUUUGCAACCUUUAACAUUGACCAUACAAUCAAACCCACAAAUUAAUAAAACAAAUAACUAUAUUUCAUGUUUUCAAUAUCAGGAAAUUAAAUUGAUCAAAUGAGCUGCUGAUUAAAAUAAAAGUUCCUAUGAGGAACUUGCUGUUCCAUUGACAUUCCAAACGAAUAAAGUACACAAACAACAUCCAAAAGACAUAUACAUAUUCAUAGGAGUAUCCAUGAAAAAUAAUAUAAAACCCCCAGUUAAACCAUUACUUGCCAGCGAUUAUACCAAAUACUAAUCAAGUCCAAAAGCAAUACUCAAUUGUAAUUUAAAAGACAAGUAAACAACAAAGCAUACACACAGACAUCGACAUGUAUGAUUAAAAAGCAAUAGGAAAAUGAAAGCCUAUAUAACCCAAACAACAUUCCUGAUAAAAGAAAAACGAUGACCAACAGAAAAUGAUUAAGAAAAAAAGUCCGCCCCAAUUCAACAUGCCACUCAAACAAAGUCACCAAGAAAUUGAAACAUAAAAUUCCCAAAUAAACACGCAUGCAUCAACAAAACCCUACAAAAUUGAUCAACAGUACAAUUCACCAGUUCUAUCAACAAUACAAUAUAUCAAUAGAAACCCAAAAAGAUAGACACAAAUAAAGUGGAACGAGAAAACAAGUGCAUUACAUCAAGCAAAUUAAGAAGCUCGUCAAUGGAUGAUGGGGGGUCUAGGAGCCUAUUCCCAGUCUCUUUAAGCUGCUCCUGGAGCUCAAUCUCAUUGACAACCAUUUUUAACACUCUCGGCUACAAAAUCCAAGAAACCCAGAAACAAGAAACUAGACUCACUUUCUCCCAAGCUCUGUACUUUUGCACAUUUUCACUCAAACCCACAUAACAAAGAGUCCCAUUUAUAACCCUAAAAGCAAAUAAAGCAUUGCUUGUCUGUUUACAACUCCCCCAGCAACCUUAGGGGUGAUAAGCUAAGUGUAGAGCAUGCAAACAAAUUAACGAGGAGGCACUUCAGGAUUGGUUAAUUUCAGAGGCUUUGAAUCCGAUGUUGCUUCGUCCUAGACUUCUAAUGCUGUGUUAGGUAUUUUGGGUUUCUCCUUCCCAGCCGUUUAUGGUCCUUUAUAUUGGCCUUUGGUAGUGGGUUCUUGCUUCCUCGUUCAUUGGCGCUUUAUUUUCCAAUUUUCUCUCCUUGAGAGAGCCAAGCAUAUCAUAGUUGGAACAACUUUGAUCAUUGGAAAGUACAUUAUUGCCCCCUGCCCCCUGCCCCAUCUACCUAACACAAUUAUAAACCAUCUUCACCAAUACUGACUGUUUUAAUAAUUUUUAACUGUAAUUAAAACUAUAAAAUAUUUUUUUAUAAUCAGCUCAUUCCACUUUUUAUAAUCCCUUCAAAAUGUUUUAUUUUUUAAAAAGUAUAUUAUUCAUAAAGUAUUUUUAAAAAAAUAAUUUAUUAGAAAGUAUAUAAUUAUGUAUACGAUUUAAUUUUUAAAUAAAAAUAUAUAAAAAAUUUAUAAAAUAUAUUUUUUAUAUAUUUUUAUAAAUAUCAUUAUAAAAUAUUUAUAAAUAUUUUUUAUAUAAAAAAAAUUGCAUCUGUACUGCCACAGGGCUUUUAUGGGUACUACAAUUUUUUACCGACAUCUUGUUGGCUCCUUAGGCUGCCACCUUAAACCUUGGGUUGGGUCUGUUCAGUGUGGUCUAGUGGGCAAGCAGAUGUUUGGUUUGAAAUCCCUUUCAUUUUUAAGCCUUUAAUCAUUCUUUGAUAUAAAAAUAUAUCACUAGAACAAUGCUCUAAAGAUCAAUAUUUGAAAAUUAUAAAUAAAUAUAAUUAUGAAAUAUAUUUUUGUGUUAACUUUUAACCCUUGAAACCAACAACUAAAAUUUAACUGUUCAACCUUUCAUAGUAUUUGGAGAACAUUUGGUUUAGUUUCUAUAUAAAUUGUUAAUGUCAUUGAUAGUUAUAAAAGAUUAAAUAUUUGAAUUUGAUACUCAAUUUUCUUUUAAAAAAAAUUCUUAUUAGGAAAAAGACAGUUGUGUUGAAUGCAAUGUAUUGGCCUUCAAGCUUAUUUCUUGGAAGCUUCAAAUCAAAUUUUGAAUUGAUGCUUGUGGCUUAAAUAAGUAAGAGGUUAUUAAGGUUUUCUUCACCCAUAAAUGUCUCAGAGUAAUACUUUUGAAGGUAAGAUGAGAGUUUUUGAAUUAAUACGGCUAUUUUGAAGGUUUUUAAACCCUAAAAUCUUACUUUUUCGACCCAUUAAAUUAGUAAUCAGGAAAAAUUUUACUACCUUAAUUUAUAGAACCGCCCCUCAUUCCACCAUUGUUGGAGGACAAUCACACUAUCUAAAAUUUUAACAGCAAAUCUGCCCAUAUAGAUGGAAGGCAAUUGUGCUCGACUGAACCCAAAAUCAAUAAAUAAAUAUCAUUGAGAUAUCUAAAUGCAACCAUUAGUUGACAUUAGAUGUGCCUGUUCAGGUCCAUCUAAGAAAAAUAGGGUGGAAAAAAUAGCAACACAAAAAACCAUGACACUGCUGCAACAUGAGAUCCUGACUCUGAGAGUAAGAUAACCAAAAGAUCAAGUAAACUAAUGUUGUAAGUAUUCAUUUACAGAGAAUUCCUGAAUCCUGAAUAAUGGAGAUGAGGCCUAACUGAUCUGUUCAUGAAAAUAGUCCAGGCACAAGAGACGUUGAUGAUCUUGAAUAGCGUUCGAGAAGUGAUAAAACUCUUGUAGCCUUCCUCCCAAUUCCGCUAUCCUCAUGAACAUUCCUCCCUGUAAGGCUAACAAGAAGAAACCUAGUUGUUGAUUUAUAGUAUUCCACCAUGUCCCUUGACAAAAAUACCUUCUCCAAGAGUGUCAAAGCCUCUUCUUUUAGAGAAUCUGUUCCCCGACUUAAAAUCUCUAUCACAGGCUGUAUGGCGUCAGCCUCAUGCAACACAUUGGCCCCUCUGUUAGGAGAGCCUUCCUGAACCAGUGUGGAGAGCGUAUGAAUUGCUUCAUGAGCAGUAGCAGGAGUCUCUCCAUGCAAGAGUUCUACCAAGGAAGGCAACGCAUUUGCCUUCAAGAGACAAAAUGUAGUUGUUACACCACAUAUGCCUCCAUGUGCUGGACAUAAAUUAGGGCGUGUUGGCCGAAAACACCAGCAGCCAGUUGGAUUGGAGACAAUAACAAGCUUCGGACUGCUCAUGGAAAGAUCACCAAUAAGUGCUGCUGCUCUUGCCUUUGCAGUUACAGAACCAGUUCUCAGUAAGUUUACAAGCAAAGGGUAAGCUCCUAGUUCAACUACAAUACGUUGUGACUCAAGAUUUGUGGGAUCUGUGAACCUGAACAGUGCACUUAGAGCAUUUUCUUUUGAUUCCAUGUCCCCUGUUCUUAUGAUGUUUAUGAGUGCAAUAAGCCCAUCCAACUCAACUAGUUUCAUAGUCAGUGUUACCUCAGAUUUGGGAAGAUUGGCCAAUAAACCAGCAGCAGCCUUCUGUACAUCUCCCUUGUCAUCAUUCUCAAGAAACCCAACCAAAGCCUCCAGCCUUUUCGGCUUAAGCAGGUAUUCCACCACUCCCUGCGGUUCAUGAUGGGAGAAGAGGAAAAGAAGAGUAAUUGCAAUUUCACGAAUUUCUGAAUCUGUGUCAUCAAGAAGGGGAAGUAUUAAAGAUACACCAUUGGCAGUAAGAACUGCAGUCUUAACCAACCCUGCAUCAAACUUGCAUAUCCCGAGAAGUGCGCGUAAUGCAGGCCUCCGAACACUGUGGGAUGAGCUUGGGACCUGUUGCAAACCUAACAAAUUCAUGAUAAUUGGUUCUAAGUCGAGCUGGGUUCCAUUUUCAUCAAUGAAGUACUUAAUUCCAUCAUCAGAAGAGGAUAUUUUCUCUAGGAUUUCAGCACAUUUAAUAAUAAUAAUUGUUCGUAUGCGGGGAGAGAACAUUAGUUUUAAAACAACAGAAAGCCCACCAGCAGCAGCAAUAAGCUCUUUGUUUAAAUUGCAAUCAGAUAGCUUAAGCAAAGCAGACAAGGACAACUCCUUUGAUCCGAUAUUUCCAGAUCCCACCAUUUCAAGCAAAGGAGGUAUUAUCCCUUCCUCACCAAGUACCUUUAAGUUUGAAUCAACGAAUUCCAUAUUAACUAUAGCUCUGACCAUCAAAAUCCUUGAAGACUCUGGCCCUGAAAAAUUAUCAUAAUGAUCAAAACAACAUCACAAACUUUUCACGUCUAUGGAUAAUAGUCAACCAAGCACAGACAACUAAGAAAAGUUCCGGAUGCAGUUGGAAAUCCUAUGAAGAUGACUCAAGCUUUAACCUGCUCAGAUAGAUGUAGAAGUACAACUGUGUCGAAGCUAUCUACAGCAUCUAAGUAGGAUUCACCUAGAGUCUCAAUAAUUAAUGAAGUGGGUUUUACCAAUAAGAGUAGGGUACUGUCCAAUUAUUAUUUUUUCUUUUAUGCAUUUUUAACUGAACAGAAGUAGAGAAAGUGGAAUCAUUUGAAUGGAUAUGCAUGGUUGCUUCAUAGAUCUUAUAGCAUCAUAGCCUGUCUGUUGGUAAAUAAGCUACACAGCCACAACAAAAUGACCUGAAAUGAAAUGGGUUCCAAAGCCUCAUUAUUUGUCAACUUAUCUUAACAUACAAGUUAAUUACUUGAUAAACUUGAGGUGUAGCAUGGACUAUGUUUGCAAUAUGAUUGGAUGUUUACUUCAGUGUGAGUCUGUACGUCCAAAAUAGAUUUUUUUUUUCUUUUUCUGAGAGGUGUGCGUGUGCUAUAGACAUUUUUGUGUGAUCUGAGGGUUGCUUGUGGGCAAGAGUUUUGAGAAGCUAUAAUAAAUUUACAUUAGUAGCAGAUUGUGGAGGGGGAUAAUUUGCUGAACCAGCUUAGAUUCUUAAUUCCUACUAUUUUACUUGAAUUACUUUGCAGGUUGUUUCACCACAUCUGUGAUCUGUUGCCUUAGUUCCACUUAUUUUACCUUUGUUUAGGGUUGUGUUCUGACAACUAUUCAAAGACAUGUAAAUAUUUUCUACAAAAGCUUCUACCUUGGACAUUUAUUUCAUUGCAUUCUUGAUCAGCAUGUUAUAGAGACCAUUUUUCUUUUUUCUUUUUUUUUUUUUCUCUUUCAAUAAACCAUUGUGAAAUUUAGUCUAGAGGGUUAUACAAGUGUCUUGCAGCUCAUCAAUUCAUUAUCAAGUCUAUACCAGACUUUUGUUUAAUCAACCAAUUCAGAGCUCUAUCUAUACCAGACUUUGUUUAAUCAACCAAUUCAGAGCUCUAUCACAAGACAAGCAAAACUUCCAAUGAUUUUGUAGUUACUUUCUUAUUAAUUUUCAUAUUGGAUAUGUCCAUUUCCAAUUUAAAGGUAUGGUUUUAUAGAGUGAGUUUCUCGCUUACUGUUCUCUUUUACCUUAUGUUGAUAUACUCUUCCUAUUUAGGAAUUCUUUUUUCUUUACUGCAUAUAUCUUAAUUAGGGCCAUAAUUAGGGUUCCUAACAAAGGUUGUAAAAUAUAUAUAUUUAUAUUUUAUAUAUUAUAAUUUCCUGGUUUAGAAUAUUCCUAUUGUAAAAAUAUUGCGUUAACCAAGUUGACUUCCAGAGUUAAGACAAAAGAAUUACUUCGUUCACUCUUUUGUCACUUCUUUAUCAACACUUUAUUUUCUCUAGGAUAUCCUAAUUACACAUUGAAGAAUUAGGCAAGAGUGGACAACAGUGUAAAGCAUUUGGAUAAUCUGCUGCUAAUAACUCAGAGCUUAAGUUUUGGGCCCCAUGACUGAACCUACUCCAUCACAGUAUUUCAGCAUUGUUCACAAUCUUACUAAAAUACACUUCAUAUCCUUAUUCUUUGCUGCUGAAAAACCAAAAACUUCUUAAAUUGCCUGGCUGUAGCCUGUCAUAAUAACAGAAGUGAACAGAUUACACAAAUCUGUCCAGCAAAUGCAAUAUUUAUCGGGAACCAGGCUUCAGCAAGAAUUUAUGUUUUUGACAGUAGCAAAUGACUUAAAUGUGGACAAAUUGACAUUGGUCAAAAAAUGAAAUCUUAUAAAGUAUAGAUGGAAAAUAGUUUUCUGACCUUGUACAAUCCGAUCAACAAGUGGCUUGUACCAGCCUGAUUUUGCAGCACGGGGAAUAUUCUCCUCAUCAACUUCAAAAAGUUUAUUCAAGAUUUUUUCAGCAUAAACUGCUGAUUCUGUGACAGGACUAUUCAAGAGGGUGACAAGGAAAAGAAUUGCACUGCACUGUUGUGAAAGUUUCCUGCAAACAGAAACAUUCCAACCAGACCUCUCUUGCAACAACUCAAAUAGCAAUUCCACUGCAGCCUUGGAGAUGCUCGAGUCACGAGCUAAGCAGGGAAUAAUGUGAUCCCAACCUUCAUGGUUGAUCAAUUUUUCCUACAACAAUUGAUUCAAGUGGAUAAAUAACACCAAGGUUUAAUAUGUUUGUGGUGCAUAUUCUUACAUUAAUAGUGUUAUAGUGGGGAAACGGUUUUUUUUUUUGAAAAAGAUAAAAAAUCUAGAUAUUAUAUUUAAAACAAAUAUAAAACUUCAAUUUGUUAACUUCUCUCCAUUUAAUAACUAACACACAAAAAUUGUGCAUCCCAGGCCCAGCAUCAAAAUAACCAUAGAAGCUGUACUAGUCUAAGCAUAAAAAAAUAAAAUAAAAUACUAUUCUACAAAAUGGAGAAUGUGUGAGAACUAGGUUAGCUGGAAGAAUUAACAAUCCCCUGUUCCAUUAGGUGUGUUCUCACAAGAGCUUACCUUAUUCUUUGCAUGCCCUUCAGCUAUAUCCUUUGAAGUAACUAAAAUCUUCCUCUUUACAUCUUUGUUAUGAGAGCUCCCAAGGAUAGAUAUGACAAUGUCUGUAAGGCCUCCUAUAGAUACCCAAUCCUUGUUUAUAGAGUUUUCCCUCAUCAUAUCCUGCAUUUGGCUUAAGGCAUCUUCCACUAAGGAGUCCACAUUUGAUAACAACUUUGCCUUACAAGUUCUUAUUCUAAGGCAAUAAUUCAGUUCUCUCCAUUCCUCUAUUGAUUGUCUAAGGGGAAGGUUUGACCUCAAAGUUAUGUCCUCAAGAAUCUCACCAGUUUCUGGGUCAGUUCUCUGUCCACAGUCAAACCAAGCUUCAAUGGCAGCUCUCUCGCAUGUAGUACCAGUGCAAAGGCUAACAGGAUCAUUCAUCACGGUCCCAUUUAUACAACAAAGGAAAGGAGUAAGAGGAACUAUAUAUUCCUCCCUCUCAUCAUACCGUUCUAUCACUUGAACCCUCUGAAAAUACUGCUUCUUGACUUCUUCAUAGUCUCGGGCAGCAUCAGCUCGAGAAAGCAGCUCAAUAACCUGUUCUAAGAAGAGAACUUCGGCCCUCUCUUUCCGGUUGGCAGCUUCUUCUUUUUCCUUUCUAAAGCUUGCCAAUUCUUUGCUUAUCUCUGAAGGUUCUACAGGUACCCCAACUGCCCGGGCUAUUUCUUCCAGCAUAUCAUUUGCAAAACCCUGAUCGAGUUUCUGAUCUCGAAGACCCUGGUUUAAUUUGUCAACAAUUUGAAGCUGAGAAUGUGAUGCUUCAAAUUCCACUCUUUGCAUUUCAUUCUGUAGCCUAUUCACCUGGUCAGAUAUUUCUGCAAGGACCUCAGUAUUGGCAAGUGAUAAUGCAGCUAAAGAUCUUCCAAUAUCCCUAGUGACUUCCUGUACCUCGUUGACAAUGUGACGGCACCUCAACAAUAAAUAGAAACGGCCUCGAUUUUUAUAUUUCUCAACCAAGUUAUUUGCCUUCUUGACAUCUGAUUCAAGUGUUUCAAGUGCUAGCCUUGCAGCUUGAGAAUCAUUCAAUUUUUUAAGUUGCAAUUCCUUUAACACAGGUUCAAUAUCAAACAGAUGCUUUGACAGAACCUUGAAACUUUCCUUCUCAAAUAUAACAUCUUUUGCAGCCUGAGCUGUUUUCAGGACCUGACUCGUCAGCACAGCCAAAAUUGUUCCUAUAGGUAUGAGCUCCAGUGACAUUUAUGCCAGAUCCUAUAAGGAACCUACAGUGAACUUGGAUGAUGUCACUUGCUUAUUGAUUCAAUUUAUAUUCUACUACCAUUAAGCAAAUUUUGUCUGCUACACUCCUCUAUAUAGCUCCUACCACUCAGAAGAAACAGCCAUGAAUAACAAUUAAGGAAAUCUAAAAGCUGUAAAAUCAAAUGCAAAGCAUAAUUUGUUUCCAAAACACAUCAACAAUUUUAUUCAGCCACAAAAUAUUAAUAAAUUGAAAUGUGCCCACUAGGACUGAUUGUCAACCAAGUCAAAAGUCCAGCAAGUCACGGAACAAAGCCAACUUCAGGGCUCGAGAGGCCAUCAUACAACCCAAACGAAGUUGUCCACGGACUUGCUUAUAAUAAAAUUUAGCAUUCAACACCUAUGACAAUCAUAAUUUGUUUGCAUAUAGAGUUAUACAGCUUCUUUCUGCUUCUCUAUUAAUUGUAAAAUGUUCACGUUUCAUGCAUAAUAAUUAUUUGGUUUUUUCUUUCCAUUUAAUUACAAUCAUAUUAGUAAUUAAAAAAAAUUGUAAUAAUUCAAUUCUUAUGAGUUCUUUACUUUGAUUUGAAAAACAAGGUCCUGAUGAAUGAUAUAUUCAAAUUGCAAGGAAUACAGUUUAAUAAACUCGAGAUUAAGAAAAAUUAGAUUUCUAACCUUUAAUCUUCUGUUUGUAGGAACUAUAAAUAAAAGUACGGAAUCCAAUCUAUAUUAUCUAAUAAUACAAGAGUUGAACACUGCCCCCCAAGUAAAAUUGCUUGCUCCACAAACGGGUUGGAGAGUAUUUCAGUAUACAGUAGCAAAUUAAACUGUACAACCAAUAAUUCAAGCAAAAUUGCAAGAAAACAAUCAGAACCAGAAGGAAGAUCCAAGCUCCAAAAGCAUAAUUCUGCAGCUAUUAAAUUAAACAGAAGCAAACCCACUUCAGAAAAUGAAACAGCCAUGCAAAAUACUGCGAGUAUACAGCAACUAAAACGAUUUGCGACAAACAAAUUUCCUGAGAGACCCAUUAAUGGCAGAGAGAAAAUUUUCUAAAAUAAUAGAAGAAAGAAGUUCAAAAUAAACAUAUUAUAUAUAUAUAUAUAUAUAUAUAUAUAUGUAGAAACAGCAGUGUGUGAGGAACCGAAAAGAUGUAUAUAUGCAAAUUAAUUCCAUAGAAAGCUUAAGAAGCAGAAAUUUAAUUACCUAUGAAGCUUGGCGUGGAUGGAAGAAGCAGAAAUAGGGAGAAAGAAAAGGAAGUGAAAUAAGGUGUGGAUAUGGCUCAUUACCGUUUUAUUGGAUCAUUGACUUGUGAGAGCUUCAAGUCAAGGUGAAGAGGGAAAUUCCUUGGAACAUGGCUAAUGAACCAGACAUUUGAAUUGACCGUUUUAAUUUUAAAACUUUUAACUAUAAGAAGAAGAAGAGGAAGAAGAAGAUGCGAUGGAAUUUACCAGAGACAAGGAGGGUCCACCGUGCUAUCAUACGGUAAAGCCAACGCUAGCUAUUUUAUUAUAAUAGGAAUCCGUAAAUAUUUAUUAUAUAAUAUAUUAAUAUCAAAUAUAAAAUGUUUUUACUUUAAACAUAAAUUUUAAAUUUAAGAGUAUACAAUUUAUUAAUAAAAAAAAUAGAGAUCAUAUUGAAAUUAAGGAGCAAUAAUCUUUUUAAAUUCAGGUUUGUAAUAUGACUAGAAUGGUGAUAUCAUCUAAAGUUUAAAAUUUUUAAGUAUACAUUCCAUUUAAUCGCAAUUCGACUUUUUCAAUAUCUCUAAAUAGGAGAAAUAUUCUCCGGUUGAAGAGUGAAUGAUAAUAUAUAAAAUACGGUCCUUUGAAUACUAAGAUACAUAUACCGAACCAUCAACCUACAUAGGUCUCUAGCCUUGUCACUAACCAAUUAGGCCAUUAUAAUUUCGGCCUCCUAAAUGUUAGACUUCCGACCUUUGACGGCCGUGUGAGACUUUAACUAUUUUAACACAAUAUGUAUGUUAAACAAAGCAUAGUUUAAUCUAACUAAAUAUUAAUAAAUCAAUUGCCUAAUCUCUUUAAAAAUCUAUAAAAUUACAAUUGUCCUCUUUGAAGGGAUUAUUGAAGGAGUAUGACGUACAAAUAUAGUAUGUAUACUCCUAUAAUAUAGUAUGUAUACUCCUAUAACUCUUGAGAACACAGAUGAUCUCUUUUGUUUUCUGAAACCUCCACUACUUCCCUGUAACUAAGAAAUCUGAGCUCCUCUAAAGUGUAUCGCUUAACUUUAUUACUACCUUCAUUACUGACCCGCUUAACUUUAUUAAUACCUUCAUUACUGACCCGAGUUCAUUUACUCCCUAAGAACACCAUUAAUUCCACCACGUCUCACUAUCCUGUGAUCUCCUAAUUUAAAGAUUCAUCGGUGGGUUUAGCUCUUCCUACUAUCAAGUGGGAGNNNNNNNNNNNNNNNNNNNNNNNNNNNNNNNNNNNNNNNNNNNCUUUGUUUCGAUUUUGAUUUUAUUAUUUGGAUAAAUUACACUUCAGUUCAUAAAUUUUAACGUAAUUAAUAGAUCGAUUCCUCAAUUUUUAAAAUCUGAACGCUUAAACCUCUAGUUUUAAUCUCAUGCAAAUAGAUGCUUCCAUCGAUAAAAUCUAUUAGUCAAGUAUUUAAAUAUGAUAAAAAAGAAAGAAAUCAUUUUAAUACCUCUCUCCUUCUCAAGUGAUCUGACUUUCAAUAAUAAACCCUCGUCAUCUUCAAUAAUCACAACAUUAUUCCUUCAAAAAUCACAAUCUAACCAGUCAAAAUGAUUCUCUAGAAAUCAAUAUCUACUUUGAAUCAGGUCUUCUUGUGAGACAAAUCAUUGAUUAUGUAAAUAGAAACAAUAACCUCUACGAUAUUUGCGUCAUCGAAUAGCUUCUUCUCCUUCUUCUCACGGCACUCCUCGACCCUCAAUGAAGAAGAUGGCUGCUCCUUAUGAAAGAGACUGAUGAAUGUUCCUUGCUACGUGUCAGAGCCCAGGUUUUAGCACUUACUUGGGACUAUAUGGAACUUGACUUGAACACUAUUAAGACAAGUCAAUCGAUGUAUUUACACGUUGAACUGCAUAAUAAAACAUGUUGAUUAGCACCGAGUGGCUAGUAUAUUAUAAAAGUGAGCAAUAUAUACAUAUCAAGCGGAUAUCAGCAUCAAACAGGCGUAAUAGCAUAAGCAACACAAAUAUAGAAUGUAUGCACAAAGAUUUUAAUAAAAGAGCUACUCAUUUUAUUUCAGGGGUAAAAUAAUCAUUAUACAAUUCAAAGCAACGAUCCUCACACCACUUGUGGAUAGGGGGAAAUGCCUACAAGAAGGGGAGGCAUAGCACAGGGAUUCAAUAGGCCUACGGUGGCAAGCUGGGCCCAGCCCUCACUGGUGGCAAUUAGUCACUCCCCCCUAAAGAGCUUUAAGAACAAGUUGAGCUGUGACAAAAGGAGACAUCAAUAUGUCUGAGGUAACACUCCCCCUUAAUAAAUACACAAAAAUGAAUUAUAAGUAACUAACACGGCCCUUUUAAUACUACUAUUUUCUACUAAUUUCUACCUAUCUUGUUUCUAAGAAAUCCCAUGUUAGAAAAAUUACAUUUUAGUCCCCCAAGAUUCUAAACCCCUAACACUCUCCCCCACUUAAACUGUCGACGUCCUCGUCGACUAAGCUUGUUGGAACUCCUCAAUCUCCUAUGAAUGUUGUUGGAGGUUUGACUCUUUCUCCCAACUGGUUUCUUCAGCACUCAGACAUUUCCAUUUGACAAGAUGUUAUUUGUAAGGAGGACGCUUGGUAGUCUUGACAACUCAUUCAACUAAGAUUUCUUCAAUGCCUUGAUGCACUGAUGCUGCUCGUGAAACGGCUGGUCUUGAGGGUUUGUUUAUGUUAUUGUCUGUCUCAUCUGCAUGGUAUGACUUGAGUCUGCUCACAUGAAGUACUGGGUGGAUCUUCAUCCAUUGUGGUGGCUCAACUUUAUAUGCUACAGGCUCGACUUUAGCAAUAAUUGGAAUUGGCACUUUAUAUUUGCGAACCAGUCUUCGGUCUCGGUUGCAGAGGAAUCAUAGUUGGUCUGGUAGUAGCUUGAUUAUCACUAAGUCUCCCACUGCAAACUCUUGAGGCCUUCGAUGUUCAUCAGCCCUCUUCUUCAUGUACUUAGAUGCCUUCUCUAAUUGAGCUCGUGUAAUAUCCGCAUUUCGCUUCCACUCCUUCGUGAAUUGGUAUGCUUUGGGGUUUCUCCCUGUGUAUAAGGCACAUCGAGUGUAUGUGGUGCCAGUGGUUGUUGACCUAUAACAAUCUCAAAAGGGCUUUUAUUAGUAGCAGAGCUCUUUAAGGAAUUAAAACGAAAUUGUGCAACAUCGAGCAAUGAGGCCUAGUUCUUUUAGCUGGUAUUGACAAAGUGUUGCAAGUAUUCCUCUAACAACCCAUUGAAUUGCUCUGUUUGUCCGUCAGUUUGAGGAUGAAAGCUUGUUGAAACAUUCAGUUUUGUGCCUAAGAUGUUAAAUAGCUCAGACUAGAAGAUAUCUAUGAGCCACCCAUCUCUAUCACUGACAAUGCUUUUAGGAACACCCCAAUACUUCACAACAUUCUUAAAGAAAGCUUUGAUUGUUUCUUCAGCUGAACAAUAUCUCGACAUUGGUAUGAAGGUGGCAUAUUUUGAAAACCGAUCUAUAACUACUAAGAUGUGAUCAUUUUAGUCCCCCAAGAUUCUAGACCCCUAACACUCUCCCCCACUUAAACGGUCGACGUCCUCGUCGACUGAGAUUGUUGGAACUCCUCAAUCUCCUAUGAAUGUUGUUGGAGGUUUGACUCUUUCUCCCAAUUGGUUUCUUCAGCACUCAGAUAUUUCCAUUUGACAAGAUAUUCUUUGUAAGGAGGAUGCUUGAUAGUCUUGACAACUCAUUCAACUAAGAUUUCUUCAACGCCUUGAUGCACUGAUACUGCUCGUGAAACGGCUGGUCUUGAGGGUUUGUUUAUGCUAUUGUCUGUCUCAUCUACAUGGUAUGGCUUGAGUCUGCUCACAUGAAGUACUGGGUGGAUCUUCAUCCAUUGUGGUGGCUCAACUUUAUAUGAUACAGGCUCGACUUUGGCAACAAUUGGAAUUGGCACUUUAUAUUUGCGAACCAGUCUUCGGUCUCGGUUGCAGAGGAAUCAUAGUUGGUCUGGUAGUAGCUUGAUUAUCACUAAGUCUCCCACUGCAAACUCUUGAGGCCUUCGAUGUUCAUCAGCCCUCUUCUUCAUGUACUUAGAUGCCUUCUCUAAUUGAGCUCGUGUAAUAUCCGCAUUUCGCUUCCACUCCUUCGUGAAUUGGUAUGCUUUGGGGUUUCUCCCUGUGUAUAAGGCACAUCGAGUGUAUGUGGUGCCAGUGGUUGUUGACUUAUAACAAUCUCAAAAGGGCUUUUAUUAGUAGCAGAGCUCUUUAAGGAAUUAAAAUGAAAUUGUGCAACAUCGAGCAACGAGGCCUAGUUCUUUUAGCUGGUAUUGACAAAGUGUUGCAAGUAUUCCUCUAACAACCCAUUGAAUUGCUCUGUUUGUCCGUCAAUCUGAGGAUGAAAGCUUGUUGAAACAUUCAGUUUUAUUCCUAAGAUGUUAAACAGCUCAGACUAGAAGAUAUCUAUGAGCCGCCCAUCUCUAUCACUGACAAUGCUUUUAGGAACACCCCAAUACUUCACAACAUUCUUAAAGAAAGCUUUGAUUGUUUCUUCAGCUGAACAAUAUCUCGACAUUGGUAUGAAGGUGGCAUAUUUUGAAAACUGAUCUAUAACUACUAAGAUGUGAUCAUACUCCCCCACUUUUGGUAAGCCAGUAAUGAAAUCCAAGGAAAUACUCUUUUAAGGCCUGCUUGGAA
This 94877-nucleotide long non-coding RNA is filed under the name Manihot esculenta (cassava). RNAcentral's name for it is "long non-coding RNA (MESC_LNC002500)". The record is from RNAcentral. Lineage: Eukaryota; Viridiplantae; Streptophyta; Magnoliopsida; Malpighiales; Euphorbiaceae.